GUGUUAGGACUAGUCGAGCAUGAUUUGACUUCCACUCUAGCUAUAUGUGCUAGAGCAAAAGGCUGACUGGACCCUAAGGAUAUGUGUUAGGGUUAGUCGGAUGAAUUCUAAGUAUAUGUGUUAGAGUUCGAAUAAACUUGAUAUCAUUUGACUGAAUUCUAAAUAUAUGGCUUAGAACUCUGUCGAUUUGGAGAUGUUUUGCCUUAGUUAUAUGUGCUAAGGCGAUCGACUUAGCCCUAAGUAUAUGUAUUAGGGGUAGUAAAUAUUUAAUUUUCACUCUAGGCAUAUGUGCUAGAGUAAAAAAUGUUCAUGAUGAACUUGGGUUUAGUUUAACGACUUUACGGUCGUUUGAUUUUGGGUUUAGUUUAACGACUGUACGGUCGUUUGUAUUUGGGUUUAGUUUAAUGACUUUUCGGUCGUUUGAUUUUGGUUUAGUUUAACGACUUUUCGGUCGUUUGAAUUUGGGCUUAGUUUAACGACUUUUCGGUCGUUUGAAUUUGGGUUUAGUUUAACGACGUUUCGGUCGUUUGGAUUUGGGUUUAGUUUAACGACUUUUCGAUCGUUUGAAUUUGGGUUUAGUUUAACGACGUUUCUGUCGUUUAGAUUUGAGAUGCUUUGGAUUUUGGGGUUUUAUUUGUGGACUUUAGGUCUUGGGAUUUAUUUGUGGACUUUGGAUUUUGGGAUUUAUUUGUGGAUUUUGGUUUUGGAAUUUAUUUGUGGACUUUGGUUUUGGGAUUUAUUUGUGGACUUUGGUUUUGGGAUUUAUUUGUGGACUUUGGGUUUUGGUUGGCUUAAACCUCUUGUAUUUGAUAUGGGAUGAACCGUUAUGUUUUGGUUCGGGACCCAUCAAGACUUGGUUUGAGUUGGGCGACCUUAAGUUUCUUUGGUCGCUUUGGAUUUGGUUUGGGUUGAACUGUUAUACUUUGGUUCGAGACCUAUGAAGACUUGGUUUGGGUUGAACCGUUAUGCUUUGGUUCGGGACCCAUCAAGACUUGGUUUGAGUUGGGCGACCUUAAGUUUCUUUGGUCGCUUUGGAUUUGGUUUGGGUUGAACUGUUAUGCUUUAGUUCGAGACCCAUCAAGACUUGGUUUGGGUUGACCCGUUAUGCUUUGGUUCGGUACCCAUCAAGACUUGGUUUGAGUUGGGCGGCCUUAAGUUCAUUUGGUCGCUUUGGAUUUGGUUCAAGUCGAAUCAUAUUUGGUUCAGUUCAGACAGGAUCCGGUUUGGUUCGGAUCUAGUUCGGUUCAGCUCUGAUCGGAUUCGCUUUGGUUUAAGUUGAAUCCUGUUCGGUUCGGUUCAGACAGGAUCCGGUUUGGUUCGGAUCUAGUUCGGUUCAGCUCUGAUCGGAUUCGCUUUGGUUUAAGUUGAAUCCUGUUCGGUUCGGUUCAGACAAGAUUCGGUUCGGUUUGGAUUGGAUUCACUUUGAUUCGGGUUGGAUCCUUCAUGAUUUGGUUCGGAUCGGACCACUUCGGUUCGGGUCGGAUCCUUCAUGACUUGGUUUGGAUCGGACCCACUUCAAUUCGAGUCGAAUCCUUCAUGGUUUGGUUCGGAUCGGACCACUUCGGUUCGGGUCGGAUCCUUCAUGGUUUGGUUCGGAUCGGACCCACUUCAAUUGGAGUCGAAUCCUUCAUGAUUUGGUUCGGAUCGGACCACUUCGGUUCAGGUUGGACCCUUUAUGAUUUGGUUCGGAUCGGACCCAUUUCAAUUCGAGUCGAAUCCUUCAUGAUUUGGUUUGGAUCGGACCUACUUCAAUUCGAUUCGAAUCUUUCAUAGUUUGGUUCGGAUUAGAGCCACUUUGGUCCGAGUAGGACCCUUUGUGGUUCGGUUCAGAUAGGAUCCGGUUUGGUUCAAUUCAGAUCAAAUUCACUUUGGUUUAAGUUGAAUCCUUUAUGGUUCAGUUCGGACCAGAUCUGGCUCGGUUCGGAUCCGGUUUAGUUCAGUUUGGUUUGAUUCAAGUUGAAUCUCAUUCGAUUCGGACCGGAUCUGGUUUGGUUCAGAUUGGUUCGGUUUAGUUCAGAUCGGGGUUUACUUUGGUUUAAGUUGAAUCUUGUUCAGUUCGGACCAGAUUUGGUUUGGUUCUGAUCCGGUUCGGUUUAGUUCAGAUCGGGUUCACUUUGAUUCAAGUCGAAUCCUGUUCGGUUCGGAUUGGACUCAUUUCGGUUCGAGUCGGAUCCUUUAUAGUUCUGAUCGGAUUGGACCGGAUUCGGUCCGAGUGGUUCAAGUCAAAUCCUAUUCGGUUCGGUUCAGAUCGGAUUCACUUUGGUUCAAGUUGAAUCCUUUGUGGUUCGAUUCAGAUCAGAUCCGGUUCGGUUCAGUUCAGAUCGGACUCACUUUAGUUCAAGUCGAAUCCCUUAUGGUUCGGUUUAAGCUGAACCGACUUGUAAUUUGGUUUGGUUUGGUUAAUAUCUUUAAUGGUUCAAUUUUUGAUUGGUAUGAGACUCAAUUAAAAUUAGACCGGUUAGAUUGGAUCGGCUUAUCGUCCGAUUUGAUUUAUCAUUAUGGCUUGGCUCGCUCGGGUCAAGCCUAUCACGAAGACGACAACACGGUCUAAUUGAGCCGAACUCGGGUCAAGCCUAUCACGAAGACGGCGACCCGGUUUAAUUAGCCGAACUCGGGUCAAGCCAAUCACUAAGACGGCGACCCGGUUUAAUUAACCGAAGUCGGGUCAAGCCUAUCACGAAGACAGCGAUCCGGUUUAAUUAACCGAACUCGGGUCGCGUGCCAGUAUAAUAAAUCAGUAUAAUAAAUUCAAAUGUUUUUUAUAUGUUAAUUAAAUAAAUAAAAAAUUAAUUAAAAUCUAUUACGAUGGUUUUUAAAGUUGUAGAAAAAUCUUUUUUACCUCUCUUUUAUAUCCAAUCUCUCUCUCUCGUAUUAAUUUAUUAUCCUUCUCUUUAUCUCAUGAGCUCUAAUCUCCCUCACUCCCUCAACUUUAAAAUCUUUUUCCCUCCUCUCUCUCGAAUCAAAUCUCUCUCUUUUUCUCAACUUCAAAUCUCUCUUUUUCUAUUCAAAUCUCUUUCUAUACUCCAAUCUCACAUUUCCUAUUAUUAUGAUUGAUCGGCCGCCCAUCCCUCUUUCUUUCUCUAAUCUGUAUAAUACUAAUGGGUUAAGUAAUUAUACUCCUAUGGGUGAGAGGACGUUCCCUUACUCUAAUCAUGAAACCCUACUUAGAGUAAGGGUUCACUUAGAUUAUAAUGGUUGAUUUAAUGAAUCAUGGAAAUCAGUUUGUGGUAGUAUAAAAAAAUAAGGGUAACGUAAUGAUCCUUAGAAUUUUUCUAUCGUGCUUGGUUUGCGUGGGAUUACCACUAGACUCUGUAUUCGAGAUAUACAAUCAUGUGAUCAGGCAUAUCGUAUGUGGUUUACCAGUUCGAUAACUAUUCCUGAACUUGGAACGACUCAACUUUCAUACCUCUUACUACGUUUGGUCAAACGGUGAGUUAAGAUCUUUUGAUGGUUAACUUGAAGUGUCGUUGGGAUCCUAGGACUUCAUUUAGUCUUACCAGUUAGUUUAGAGAAAAAAAUUAAUUAUAUUAUCUCUUGUUAAAGUAAUCAACGCUUCGAAGUAAAUUUCUGGAUAUAUUUCGGGGUACGUAUGUACGUCCUAUGUUGUGAGUUGAGUGGAUUAGAUUUCAUAGGAAAGGGAGUUUGAAGAGGAUUGUUUCUUUAAUACUUCAAGGGAAGUAUUAAGAACUGCUCACAACUUUUCCACUACAGUUUAAUUGGGUCGUUUGUUAUCGUAGUUCUACUGAACAUUAAACUAAAGUUUAUAUAUCGUAUGAUCUUUACUAAAAGAAGUAUACGAUUCAUACUCUCUUACUCACGAACAAACGAUUCGAUGUUAGUAUUCACUGAAUAAACAAAUAAAAGAAAUAAUUUAAAAACAUCUAAGAUGUUCUCACUCCUUCUUCCCAGCCCCCCACUGAUUUUUACAAUUCACCAAAUUUUUCAAAUUCGGCCCUCUUUUCUCACGUCAUUGCUAGCUAUUACUGAAUUCUUCUCAUCACCGUUCACUACAACAUGUAAAAACAACCCUAGUUUUUUAAAACUUUAAACUUUAAGUUUAACUCUUAUAUCUUCCUUCCCCUAUUUUACUUAACUCCACUAAUUAUCAACAGAAUCUACUGGUUGAUAAUUUUCUUUUUCUUUAUUUUUAUAUAACAGUGGAAUAAAAAUUUUUAUAAACUUAACAACGGGUUUUACUUCUCCAGGUUUUUUUGGUGAUAUUUAACCUGGUACUCUAAGUUUUUAUUUAAGAGAAUCUCUUCCCCCCUCCCCCCCUCUUUGUUUUUUUUCGUUCUCUUUUCUUUUUGUUUUUUUUCUUUUUCUUUUUCUUUUUCUUUUAAAAAACAAGUAGGGGGGGAAGAGGACGGCACGUAGUCGUUGUUUCCCUCCCCCGCACGAGUGUCGUGUGGGGGGUUAGGCAUGUGUUUUCUUGUUUCUUUCUUUCAGCAGAGAAAGUAAAACGCCGCCGCGCUGCUACUGCUGCUGCUGCUGCUGCUGCUGAAGCUGUUGCCGCCGACACUGCUGAAGCUGCUGCUGUUGCCACACGCUCCUCCGGAGUACUGGAGGAGAAAGAAGAAGAAGAGGCUGCUGCCGGCUAACCACAUAUGCACGUUUGCAUAUCAGUGCUAAAUAAACAACCAAACUAGUUGUGCUGGCAGAAGUACUAUCGAACUGGGCUAGUUUAGGCCGUAACCUAGCAAUGAUAUAGCAUGCGUGCAUAAGUGAUUUGCAGGCAGAGGAGUUGUAGCUGCUUUCUAAAUGUGCUCGCACGCUUACUGCGCUGCUGCUUGGAGGUUGGCUAAACUAACACGCCGGCAGAAGCACUAUCCGAGCUGUGAGAGUUUAGAUUUUUUUUUACUAUUAUUUUAUUUUAUUCUAUUAUUUUAUUUAUAAACCUAGCGGCAGAAGCACUAUCCGAUCUAGGUUAAACUGUAUUUGGCCCAGCGGCAGAAGCACUAUCCGAACUGGGCUCAGGCUAAUUAACUCGGCCCAGCGGCAGAAGCACUAUCCGAACUGGACUCAGGCCAAUUAAUUUGGCCCAGUGGCAGAAGCACUAUCCGAACUGGACUCAAGCCAAGUUUAUUUGGCCUAGCGGCAGAAGCACUAUCCGAACUGGGCUCAAGCCAAUUAAUUUGGCCCAACGGCAGAAGCACUAUCCGAACUGGGCUCAAACCGAUUAAUUUGGCCCAGCGGCAGAAGCACUAUCCGAACUGAGCUCAAGCCAAGUUUAUUUGGCCCAGCGGCAGAAGCACUAUCCGAACUGGGCUCAAGUCAAUUAAUUUGGCCCAGAGGCAGAAGCACUAUCCGAACUGGGCUCAAGCCAAUUAAUUUGGCCCAGCGGCAGAAUCACUAUCCGAACUGGGUUCAAGCCGAUUAAUUUGACCCAGCGGCAGAAGCACUAUCCGAACUGGGUUCAAGCCAAGUUUAUUUAGCCCAGCGGUAGAAGCACUAUCCGAANUGAUUCAGCCCAUCUAGUUAAGCUUUUUGAGAUCAUUGGAACUAUCAUGGAAGCAUUACGAGUUACAACAACACAAAGCCACGCACAAAGUAAACAUUACAAUAAAGUAAAACAAAACCUAAUAAAACACCAACACUCGAGAUAUAUAUAAAAAAGAAAAAGCACGAAAUUGAAAAGGAGAAACUAAACAUUAGUUAAUUACGCAGUCCAUCCUCAUAAGAAAUGACUACUAAAUUAUUAUAUUCUUUGAUAAACCAGCUUUCGAGUUUGAGAGAUUCCUGAGUUCAGAUCAGAGGUGGGCAGGGUGGAAAGAAUCCCCAAAAAGAAAAAAUUAAUACACCUCACAAAAUGCGAUUAUCUUACUUGCUAUAUCAGGAGGGGAUGAAGGUAAAUCAGACCCAAUUGAAGACGACCCAACAUGACUUGGUGUUGUCGUUGCCCGUGACGAAGAGGCGCUUGAACCCACCGUAGUACGUAAUGUUGAAGCUCUCACCAUCACCUUGAAGAAAUAAAAAUACAAUAUAUUAUUCCAACCAUAAUAGAUAUAUUAAGUAUCAACAAGUAAUAUACUUUAAAUUAGAAAUAAAUCUAUAUUGGCAAUAGUAGCAAAAUUGAACAAAUGAAAUCUAUAGAUACAUACCGGCAAUAGUAGCAAAGCACCUAUUAACUGGACGGAUUCGAAAAAUUGCUUGAUUAGGUCUAGGCAAAACUUCUUGUCUAUAGAUACAUCAUAUGCACAAAACUUCUUGUCUACAUGGACACAGUCUUUGCUAUGCAUGCACGACAGCGGGAUACAAAGCAUACAAUAAUUUAUCAAAAUAGGAUAUACACAUCCUACUGUUACAACCAUCAAGCACAUGACUCACACUACAAUAACCAGCAGCAUGAUUGAUAAUGUUUCCUCCGAACCCUAUAGACAUGACAAGCCCUCCAAUCUCCGAAUACACUGAACAUAUCACUCCAGUCCCCACAAUCAAAAUACAAAUCACCUCCAUUCUCUGGUUCCUUUACAUAAAAGCAUUUUUUUUAAAUCCGAGAUCACGAGAAAAGAGAUAACUAUUCUAAAACAAAACCAUUACAUAAAACCGAUUAUCAUGAUCCAGGCACAAUGAAAGGAAACUUAACUAAACAAAAUAAAUCGGUACAUAUAUCCAAAUUAACCAUGUGAAUCCAUGACUGAACAUAAGACAACCCAACUCUACAUAUAUAUAAAACAAGUUAUUUGCCUACUUGUCAUGUGUCAUAACCGAUAAUAUGAUGUCUAUAAUCAAGUACCUGUGAUACUACCAGUCGAGAAUCAUAGUCAAUAUGAACAUGUCUACCAGGAUGCAUGAUAACGAUCACAAGUAGUGAGGCAGUUUAAGGGCCAUGUAAUCACAACAACAGGUAAUAAGGCUAGUAAAGAACGAUACUAAACAUCUAAGCAUGGGUAGAGUAUCAGGUAGAAUAAGGAAAUGCCAGCCAAGUGAUUAUGUACCAAUGCUGAAUUGAAUCACCCACCUAUACUUCAAAGUUGCUCGAGUCUUCGAUUCAUUCCAAGUCCACGACUACUACCGUUGCCUGCACCUAAUCAAGCACACAAGUGUUAUACCCAGCCUCUAGUUUAGCACACAGACUUCUCCUAUUCAGACAACAUAUGCCUAAUUGAUAUUAGCUUUAAUAAAUGCAAUUCUAAGAAGACAAAGACAAGCUUGCAAACCUGAAACUAAUUAAUAUUAGCUUAUUCAUCUAAACUAUCUUUGAUAUUAAGCAAAUCAAUAUUCAACACAUCAGCAUCUAUAGUAAUCCCUUCUGUAUCAUUUCGUAUUAACUCAAACCCAUCAUCUUCAUCCUCAAUGUUCAUGUAUCCACAAUGUAGCCAUAUGGUGUGUCCACAUUGGCGGGUUUUAAUUUAACCCGAUCCACUUAAGAUGUGGAUUGGAAUUUAUCUUAAUAAGUUUAGGAUAAGAAUCUAUAUAAGAUUCAGGAUAUUUAGGAGUUCUGUUAUUCUAUAUAUACGCCCCAUUUUUCUCUCCGAAAAAGAGACGAUCGCAUACGAUCAAAUUCGUAAGAACCCACGAAAUAUCUUCCUUUUUCUCUCUCUUCUUCCUCUCUGGGAUUUCCACCUACGUUCCCGGGGUUUUGGAGUGUGGACAUAGAAGAGGACUCUGGUAGCCCUCUUCGAUUGGCAUCCGUCGCAUUAGAUCCGCAUCCAAUCGGUGGCGUAAAGCGUACGCGAAGGAGAAGGCGAGAAACGUGGGAGAUCCAGAAGUUUCAAGGCAAGGACGAUCCAAGAAGGCUUGUAAAACAAGCAAUCCUAUCCGAUUUGGGUUCCCGGAUACGUUGGCUAUCCAGUUUGUAAGUUUCCGCUGCUUAUAAUUUCCAACACACAAGAAUUUCCAAUUAUCUCAGCUUCUUGGAUGAUCUCCUCCAUUAUUGAAGAACUUUGAACGCCAACUUCGUUACUCUCCAUCGUUGGAAUGUCAUACAAAUCACGCGGUAUUGUCUUAAUUACAAAAUGCCACUUUGGAUCGUUAAUAUCUUCCACGUAGUAAACUUGUUGCCAAAGCCUUAGGAGCUAGUUGUGUUUCCUUUUCCCCAUUAAAUAAUUUUUUAUCUUUUCGCCAUUUAUGACCAGGUGGCAAAAAGCGACGACGACCCAUAUAGCAAAAUUUCUUGCCAUGCCUUAACUAGGAGGAAGCAGUGUCUUUAUUAUAGCAAGGACAUGCUAGUUUUUCUUUUGUGCUCCAACCUAAUAAAUUGGCAUAUGCUUGAAAGUCACUUAUGGUCCAAAGUAUUGCGGCACGCAUUUUGAAAUUCUCUUUCUUGGAUAAAUCAUAUGUCUCAACCCCCGUUUCCCACAACUCCUUCAAUUCCUCAAAAAGAGGUGCCAUGUAUACAUCUAUGUCAUUUCCAGGAGCCUUUGGACCAGGAAUAAUUAAAGAUAUCAUAAAAAAAUCACUCUUCAUGCACAUCCNNNNNNNNNNNNNNNNNNNNNNNNNNNNNNNNNNNNNNNNNNNNNNNNNNNNNNNNNNNNNNNNNNNNNNNNNNNNNNNNNNNNNNNNNNNNNNNNNNNNUUUUAGCGCGAAAACAACCGCCGCUAGCUCAAGAUCGUGAGUCGGGUAGUUCUUUUCAUAACUCUUCAACUGGCGCGAAGCAUAAGCUAUGACUCGGCAAUUUUGCAUUAAGACACACCCGAGACUAAUGUAUGAAGCAUCACUGUAUACGACAUAACUCUCUACCGACGUCGGCAAAGCAAGCACCGGAGUAGAUGUCAGUCUAUUCUUUAGCUCCUCAAAGCUCUGCUCACACUCGGGGCUCCACACAAACUUCACCCCUUUGUGCGUAAGGCGCGUUAGUGGAGUCGUUAUCCUGGCAAACCCCUCCACGAACCGCCGGUAAUAGCCCGCAAGUCUAAGAAAGCUACGAAUUUUCGCUACACUUGUCGGGCGAGGCCAAUCUUUAAUCGCCUCAACUUUCUUUGGGUCCACCGAGAUGCCAUCUCCGGAUACAACGUGACCCAAGAAGGUAACCUCCGAAAGCCAAAACUCACAUUUCUUUAGUUUUGCGUAGAGCUUUUCCUUCCGGAGUAUCUCCAAUACGAGUCUUAGAUGCUCAUCGUGUUCUUCUUCGGUCCGAGAAUAUACCAAUACAUCGUCGAUGAAAACCACGACGCACCGGUCCAAUAGCGGACGGAAGAUUCGAUUCAUUAGGUCCAUAAAUGCCGCCGGGGCAUUAGUGAGCCCGAAUGGCAUGACCGUAAAUUCAUAGUGGCCAUACCGCGUACGGUACGCCGUCUUAUGCACGUCCUUGGGCCGUAUCUUCAACUGAUGAUACCCCGACUGCAGGUCAAUCUUUGAAUAUACCCUUGACCCCUGCAACAGGUCGAAUAAGUCAUCAAUUCUCGGCAACGGGUACUUGUUCUUGACCGUCACUCUAUUCAACUCGCGAUAGUCAACGCAGAGUCGGAGUGUGCCGUCUUUCUUCUUUACAAAUAGCACCGGAGCUCCCCACGGGGAUACGCUCGGCCGCACGAAGCCUUUGUCGAGCAAAUCUUGCAACUAGGCUUUCAACUCCUUUAGCUCCACCGGUGCCAUUCUAUACGGUGCCUUCGAAAUUGGCGCCGCCCCGGGAAUCAGGUCAAUAACAAACUCGACUUCCCGAUCCGGGGGCAGUCCCGGUAACUCUACCGGAAAUACAUCCAGAUAUUCCCGCACAACUCGAAUACUUUUCAGUUCCGGGUAUUCCUUUGGAGGGUCUACGAUGGUCACCAAAUAAGCCUUGCAACCACCUUUAAUCAUUCUCUUUGCCCUCACCGUCGAUAUGGUCGCCGCGAAGGAUUUGCCUUUGCACGCCCGAUACACAAACUCCUCCUGAUCAGGCUCACGGAACGUGAUCACCCUUCUUUCGCAAUCUAUAAUCGCGUAAUACUUGGAGAGACUAUUGAUCCCCAAGAUCACCUCGAAGCCCGACAUUUCUUUUAACACUAGAAGGUCAAUCGGCAUAAUCCAAUCACCUAUCUGCACUGGGCAGUCCAAGCACUCAUCAUGAACGUCGAACGAGUGCUCGGGGGUGUUCACCGACCAAUACUCCUCGCUAUGAGUGAUCUCUAUGUUAUGAGCUUGUGCAAAAGAUGAUAAUAUGAAUGAAUGAGAUGCACCCGUAUCGAAUAUGGCUCUAGCUCUAGUGCCUCUGAUAAGAAUAAUACCUGCCACGACGUCGUCGGGAGCAAUAAUUGGUGUCUCCUCCACCUGAGUGGCAAAUACCCGCCCACUAGGUGCUCGAGAGGCCUCCGGCUGAUGAGGCGCCGACGAUCGUCGAGCAGAUGUUGCAGGUGGCAGUCCCGCUAGCUGUCGCUGAGUGUACUGGACAGAUGCUGAUGACGGGGCUGGGGACACGCCGCCCGGNUGCGAGCCAUGGGUCGGAACACUGUCUACGACCCUCCAAAAUAUCUGGAAUAGCUCGGAACACAGACCAAACACUCGAACCUCGCAAUUUGCAAAGGUCCAGUGUGUUACAGGUGCUUCGGCGGCCUCCUAAAGUGCGUCUCACUCGCACUCUCAGCCGCGGGCCUUUUGCCCUUACCCUUGUCCUAGUCUUCUCUCCUUUCCUGCACCUCAGCCGCGCCGCUCUCCACGACGAGCGCGCGAUUCACCACUUUUCGGUAGGUUUGGAGGUUAGAGGAUUGCACGAACCAGAAGAUAGACGGUCGCAAUCCCCGCUUGAAGAUGCGGUCCUUGUCCUCGUCGUCCCGCACAACAAAAGGCACGCAAUGUAGAAGCUGCAAAAACUCCCUCUCGAACUCUGCUACAUUCCGAUCUCCCUGGCGCAAGUUGCGUAAGUCCUGCUCCAUCUUCCUCUUGAUGAUGACGGGGAAGUAGUGCGCCAGUAGAAGUUGCUUGAACUUCUUCCAGGUAAUGGCUGCAAGGUCGGUGUUGGGGUUCUCCUGGAUGUCCAACCACCAAUGGUAGGCCUCGCCGUCCAAGUGGUGAGUGGCGAGCCAAACACAAUCCCUCUCCUCCACGAAGGUGUCGCGGAAGAGCUUCUCCAUGUGCAUCAACCACUUUUCCACGAUCCAGUGGUCGACCCUCUCGCCGUCGAAGAUCCAGGGGCUGCACCUCCUGAACUCAUUGAGGCGCUCCAUCAGUCGGUCCCGCUCCUCUCCAACAGCCGUCACGGGGAAAGCCGCCCCCGCCAGAGGCACCUAAGAUGGUGGUGCCGCAAUCACCUCCUCCCGUGGCGCUACCGCAGGUGUCUCCGAGAUGUGUCGAGAGCAGGGGACGACCCUCGGGGUGCAACCACCUCCACCGGUGCGGGUGGUGUAGGAACUUGAGCCUCUCUAGCAGCCGCCUGCUGCAUCAGUAAUUCCUCCAGGCGCUUCAUCUGCGCCUCCUGUGGACGCGCUGCCUCUGCCUGCUGCUGAGCCACCGCGGUCUGCUAUGCAACCAAUUCGGUGAGGGCCGCAAGUUGGCCCCUGAACUCACGGACCUCGCUGGAUCCGAAGGUAGCGAAGGUCUCAACCUCCUCCAAGUGUGCCGUAUUAUCGCUCCGGCAGAUUGAGAGCGAGUGAUCAGCAUCUCACUACAACAUCAUAAAAGCGUAAGUUAGUAAAACCCACGCUAUCGAAUAUCCACUCAAGAAGACAACACCCAAAUCAUGCGAAAGUAGGGAAGGGUUCUUCACUACUAACUCGCGAUGUUACGUUGUCGGCCGCCAACGUAACCCUCCGCGAAGUUAGAAGCCAGACACUUCGAUUAAACUCUAACUUUUUAGAGUUAUAAAGAAACCCAAUCAAGAUACUUUCGCUUACAAGUCAAAUAGACAUCGUCUCUCACGAGCCUAUUUCCUAUAGUGGCCUAAGGUCUGCUAGGUCCACUAAGACUCAACCCUAGGCUCUGAUACCAAAAUAAUCUAUCACGCCCCGGGACCCGGCGGAAGCCCGCCCUGCGCGUAUCCAGACCCGUCAUACAUCUAAAACAUAUAAGGCGUCUACAACAAAACGAUAAAUAAAGCAAUAGAAGAAGAACAUCUAGGAGUAUCAGAGCAAAGUACAAGUAGAUUCUACAAUAAAGGAAAGAACAUAAGGCUAAACUCCACUAAAUAAAACCAUAAAGUGGUACAUCAGAAAUCCAAGUACAAGAGCUAAGAAUAAUACAAUUGUAACACACUGGGCUUUCGCAAAUAGCAAGAUUCGAGUGUAUUCCCAGUUUUUUCAAAUAUUUUGGAGGGUCGUGGACAGUGUUCCGAUCUAUGGCUCGUAUCCCGAGAAUUGUAGUAUUUAUAGUAGCGCUAAGGUCACCAAAAUGAUGGACUUAGGCUGCUCUCGGGUUGCUGUUUGCACGGCUGUGUACCGGUACAACAUUAAUGUUGUACCGGAACAGAUGGUGUACCGGUACAGCAUCGAAAGUGUACCGGUACACAUGGAGAUUUUUUGCAAACCCGAGGCUCAGGUUUGCUGUCGCGCAGGACUUGUACCGGUACACUUUCCCGUGUACCGGUACACUUUGCUCUGCGGGCUGAUGUUGUGGGGGGUGUAUUUGCAAUUGUUGCAAACCCUAUAAAUAUCACCCGAGCCCCCUUAGAAGCUCUUUUGAGCCCUAACCUGUGGAGAAGUAAGGUGAGACUCUUCCCCUUUGAUUUCUUCUUCAUUUUUGGUGAAUUUUGGUUAGUUUUGAUCUCUCCUUUCUUCUCCUCCUUACUUUUUGUUGGGUUUCCUUCUUUGUUGAAGACUUGGAGCUUGGAGAGGAGUUUGUUUGAGAGGAGAUUUUCAACCCUAGCUGGUUUGGGAGCUUGGUUUGGGACUCUUGGAGGGUUAGUGAGCUUAAUCUCCUCUUUGAUCUAUGUUUUAGUGGAUUUUACUUGUUGGAACCCUAGAAUUGGAACUUAGGGUUUAUUUUGGGAAUUUUGGAUUUGAGGGUUUUGGAGCCCAUUUGAUCUUAUUAGGAACCUUUGUUUAGGUUGGUUUGGAAGGACUCUAACUCUCAUUUGGAGAUCGAGAGAGUUUCCUUCGCAUUCGGUGAGUUUUCACCCUUUUGCUUGAGUUGUUUAAUGUUCGAACCUAGGAUUGUUCGUAACGUUCGUGUAUCUCUCUUUUCUAUACCUUUAGGGUACUAGGAGAGUGGUGGACACCUUCGUCGGAGCAAACGAAGGGUUUUUAAUAGUUUCGGUGGGUUUGGCUUCAUUGGAAUAGGAGAAAACUUCUCCUAAGUGGUUAAAUGUUUUUGUUUCAUCGCAUCUCAUGCAUAUUCAUGCUAAAUAGAAUUUAUGUGAAUUUUAGAAUGCUUAAAAUGCGUGUGUUAUGUAUUAUGAAAAUUCAUCUCUGUAUAGUAGAGCCUUAUGUGGAUUAAACAUGCAUGUGAGUAGCAUUCUUCUUGUGGACUGGAAACAUGUGUCAUAUGACGAAAAUGACUUUAAUGAUGUAUUCUUGAACACUAAACUCGUGCUUGGACUUGAUGAACAAAAGUGCCAUAAAGGGGCACUCGAACUAGUAAAUUGUUAAAUUGCAACAUUGAGGACUUGGUACUUGAGAUAGACUUUUACGCUUGCUUGCCUUUGUGCUCAUUCGCACAUGCUUGUGAGGGUCGCUCCCUACAAGCCGGCACUCCGGAGAUAGCCAUCGCGACAUAUGCUCCCCCGUGCGAGAUUGGGUGCCGAAGUGGAUUGCCGUGGGGGAGGCUUAUUCCUAGCGUGCGGAUGUUGACUACCACAGGGCCAUUAGGCACGGCGCAGGCCAGACAGCCUUCGGGUGGGUCUUACAAGAUUGAAACUAUGAGAAGUUAAUAUGCCAAGUGAGCUUGGACUAGAAUAGUAAACAAUGACAUCUUACUAUUUGCGUUGUGGACAUUAUAUUGGUUAUACAUUCAUGCUUAUUCUUGCUAGAAUAGCUUUCUUACUUAUUGUGUAUGACAUCUUACUAUUUGCGUUGUGGACAUUAUGUUGGUUAUACAUUCAUGCUUAUUCUUGCUAGAAUAGCUUUCUUACUUAUGCAAAAUCAUGCUAAGUAGAGACAUCAUGUUGUAGUAAGCAUUCAUGUUAUUUACUUGUUGUUAUCUCGUUUAUACUCGCAUCUACUUACUUGCUUAGUUUUGGGCCUAGUGGUGCACUUAUUUUAAGUCAGUAAUUGCCCACUGGGAACUAUUAUCUAAUAGUUUUCACGCCCUCUGUUCUAUGGUUUCUUUUCAGAGCCUUCCACUCCGGGAGAGGCUCGGGAUCGCGGGAAAGGUAUCGCCUCGAGUUAGCUUGCGAGGGGUUCGGCGAUAGGUGGUCCACCUCUCUUUUGAGUUUUGUUUUGGAGAGGUUAAGAGAGACUUGUACCUUUUUGUAGAGAUGUCACGCCCCGGGGCCCAGCAGAAGCCCGCCCGGUACGUGUCCAGACCCGCCAUAUGUCUAAAACAUAUAAGGGGUCUACGAUACAGCAAUAAAUAAAAUAAUAAUACAAAGAGACCUAGCGAUAUCAGAGCAAAGUACUACUAGAAUCAACAACAUGAGAGUACAACAAGAGCUAAAAUCCACUAAAAUAAAUCAUGAAGUAGAACGACAGAAUUCCGAGUACAAAUGCUAUAAGUGGUACAAUGGCGGUCUCUAUACAUGGUAACAAAACUCUCUCUCACCAAAAACACAAAAAGAAAGUAGACCACCUAGGAGCAAAGGCUGGCUUCGCACUAACUAGCUACGCGACUCCCUCGCCGCGAUCCCGUGCCUCCGCCGGUGCUGAAGGCUCUGAAAAAGGUAUCAAACAGAGGGCGUGAGAACUAUUAAAUAAUAGUUCCCAGUGGGCAAUUACUGACUUCAGUGAAAUGCACCACUAGGCCCAAAACUAAGCAAGUAAGGUAAGCGAGGCAGGUAAGAAUAAUAUGAACAAUUAAAUCACUGAAAUGGAAGCUCACUAUAGCAUAAUGUCACUACUUUCAUCAGUAAUAAUCUACCACAUGAUCUCUACUUAGUAUGGAUUUGCAUAAGUAAUAAACUACCAUGGCAUAAUUGCACAAAUAUAAGCCGAACAUAAUAACCACAAGCUAGAAUGGUAAUGUGUCAACAUUUACUAUUCUAGUCAAUGUCCAAAUGGCAUAGUAUGUCACUAGUAACCCAAUCCUGUGGAAGCUACCCGUAGGUAGUCCGGUCUGCGCCGUGCCAACAAUGGCCCCGUGGAAGUCAACAUCCCCACUCUAGGAAUGAGCCUCCCCCACAGCAUCCCAUUUUAGCGCGCAAUCCCGCACGGGCGAGCAUGUGUCGCGAUGGCUAUCUCCGUAGUGCCGACUUGUAGGGAGCGACCCUCAUAAGUAUGUGCGAAUGAGCACAAUGACAUGCAAGCGAAUAAGUCCGUCUCAGGUCCCAGUGGUUCAUCACUGUUUCAUCGGAUCUAAAAUCCGGAAUACAGCACAUGUCCCAAAGGCCUGCCUCUAUGUCAUCGUGUCUAACACACGGAAUAUAGUAACUGUCUCAAUAGCCUACCUCUAUGUCAUCGUGUCUAAAACACGGAAUAUAGUAGAUUUCCGAUGGCCUAUCAUCAUGUCUCUAAGUUGCAGUUCAACAUUUUUCUAGUUCAAGUGCCCCUCUCGAGCUAGGCAGCUGAUCAGCAGAGGCUGCGUAGCCUAUUUGGCUAUGUCACGCCCCGGGGUCCCUUUGAGUUUAAAAGAUAGCGGGAAAGCGUCUGAAUUUUUUUUUUUUUUUUUUUUUUUAAAUCCUGACCCCAGAGUAUGCCAGACCCGCCACAAAUACAGAGAUUCCACUGUUCACACGGACAGAGUCUCCCCUGUAUUUGCACGGCGUCGCACAAGUACAACAGUACAAACAGGAUACAACCACAACUAUAUGAAUAUAGAAAUUACCAUACAUUCAUACAUUCACCAUUCAUAUCACAGAUAUGCAUUCAAUGUCUAAAUAUAAAUCCAUAGAAAAUCUUUUGAAAACUGUUCCCUACACAGGAACCUUUAUUCUUUAAAAAUGCUACCACGAGGGGUAGAAAACUUUUUAUUUUACAAAAUCCAGAAAUCCACAUUUUCAAAUGUAAAUGAACACUGAACCACAUAAACCAACUAGACUAUUCAUCAGCCAAAAUAAGAAGGGUAAGAAAGUAAACCGAAUUAACCUGGGUCGAAAGCUCUAUCGACCGCUACAAACGUACCUCACGUCUCGUCCCAAAACCCAAUGCCUGCAAUACCUGAAAAACAGUGGGGGAGGUGAGAACAUGUAAACAUGUCUCCCCUCCCAGUGGGUACCGCAAGCCGAAGAAGGCGAGGAGUACUCACCGGAUCAGGAAGAGAUAACCAACAGUAUGGGUAAGUAAAAUACAGUAGCAACGAUAAUGAACGAACGAGAUAUAUAUAUAUAUAAAGCACAACUACCGCUACUGUAAUGUACAACUGCAAGCAUGCAAGGAUAUCAAAACUAUAGUAGCAAGACAACUGUAAAGAAAGAACUAGAUGUACAUAUGCAACAACCGCUACUAUAGCUAUAUGCGUCAACCGGACGAGAAGUCCCAAAAGUACCCAAUCUAAACCGCCGUGUCGGUCUAAGGACCUCAGGCAAAAGCCACUAUCUGCUCACACCUGGCAUGUAACCCUAGCACAAAGAGAACACCGCUGGGCUCACGGGUCGGAUGUACGACCACUUUUCCGGAAAAGAACACCCUCCUGCGGGGGAUCAACCCGCUGGUGUACGUGAAAUGCACUCGAGCUGUGGCGAUCAAUGCGGAUAUGAUCAAUAGCCAACCGUCGGCAAUCAGCCGACAAUCACUGCCCCUCGAGGCUAACCGACCGUGUAGGUCAUCAAGUAACAACGUGAACCGACCAAGAGAGGUCAAUAUACGGAAAGUAACGAACGACCAAACAGGUCAUCGAUGCAAACAGGAGAACCGACCAACCAGGUCACAAGUAUAGUAUAUACGAAUGCCAUCUAUUCUACCCCUAUACAGGAUACUACACAUAGAACAACCAGGCAGAGUAAAUAAAUAUAAUAUGUAGAUACUGCUCGAUGUCAACUAAAAGUACGAACGCAAGAACCGACCGAUAGGUCACAGGAGUGUAUUCGAUAUAGUCCAGAACUACCGUCAGCACCAGCCGACAAUCCUACCCCUCAGGGUACACCGACCUCAAAGGUCAUCGAACAACAGAAGUCAAGAAACAGACCAACCCAAUACAUAAUGCAACGACCGACCAACCAGGUCAACAGAUAUAAGAUAAAAGCACCGAUCAACUAGGUCACCGAAACGAAGUACGAGAACCGACCAAUUAGGUCACCAAAGUACGAGAACCGACCAAUCAGGUCACCGAUAUCACAUAUGGAUAAACUACUCUACUCCUACACAUGAUACUAAGCAUAGAACAUAUGAGUAGAGCAUAAUAGAAACAACGGGGAUGCAAGCUCAAUAUAUAAUACGAAAAUAGCACAGAAGAACAGGGAUAGAAGAAUAUCACCGAGCGUGCACCACUGUACCGACUUCGGAUCGAAGUACCCACCUGUCACUGUCGCGUCGGAACACUGGGUACGCACAAGUCAACCGGACCUACGAAGAUCCCACGGGUCAGUAACCAACCCACUCACCUGAAGUACACUGUCUCACAAACCCCACACAGAACCCCGUAUCGGUUUCCCAAAACCGAUCAUCGUAACUCACCGGAAGUCUCGAAAACCACACCGGGACGCCGUCGGGACCCACUAAGUGUCCCGAACUCACCGACUCGUGCCACGAGUCACCCGCUGCCCCAAAACACUCCGAUUUGGAUGCCUUGGCAGCGGACACGAGGUGACACAACCAUACGAUCAUCGCCGGAUAAUCGUACGAAUCCGGGUUCCCGGAAGUGUCUAUUUCGACACCGGAACCUACCGUCGCUCACCCAUCAUUUCAGAACCCUCAAAAUGAUGCCAGUGACCAGCCGACAAGGCUCAGCGACUGCACAAUUCCUCACGAAACACUGUCGGAAGGAAAUCGAACCGAUCCCGCGUUCCGUCGGCGGAUUUCGCCGAGAAACGCGCCGAAAGUCUCAUUCUGACACUUGCAAAGGCUUGGGGCCUUGGACGAUCAGUCCAGAGGUUAUCCUCAGCCCUAACUCGCUGCCAGCAGCAGCUACGACGAAGCAAACGGCAUAAAAGCCCCCAUCGACACAUGAAAUCACAUUAUUUUAUGUGAUUUCAUGGCUUUUAUGGAUCGUACACGCAAAGCAGAGGUCAAACAGCCAAGACAAGACUCCCGCUGACUGGUCUCGGCGUGCCGGAGGCCGUGCUCACCUUUCGGAGCACUGCCGGCCACUGUGGCACGCGCACGGGCGACGCAAAAUUAGUGAAACAGCGCGCACAGUAGGAAAAGCAUGCUUAUCUCGCUAACCAGGGGCUCUCAGACUCCAAUGAAGGUGGCCACGAUGAUCAGCACUGAACCAGGAUCAUCGUGCUCACCUUCAGAAGACUCGGGGUGGCGUCGGUUCACCGGAACAGUGACCGGAAGCCCAAGACAAGGUGCAGAAAGCUAACUAAGCUUACCGGAGCUAGGCAGGGCACGGGGUGGCCGGCGGCGGCCGGACGGCGGGCAGGCCGGCCAGGGGAAGGUGCUCCAGGUCAGAGGAGGCCGGGGCUCGCGUCAGCAGGCGACGGGAGGCGGCGGCGACGACGGCCAACGAUGCCCUAGCCACCAAACCCGUGGGGAGCAUGGGCUCAUUCCGGCGGACAGCGAGCUCCGGCGGCAGCGUCUCCGGCGGUUGACGGGCACGGCCGGCCAGGCGGAGUUGGUGCUCACGCCGGCCGGCGGCGAGAGGCGGCCGCGGCGGCGCUGGAGCAUCCUGAGCUCUCACGGGCUCGGCUCGGGCUCACAGGGUGGCGACGGCCACGGCGGCGUCCGGGGAAGGCUUGGGACAGGGACGACCCGUCGCCGGAGGCCGAGGGGAAGGCGGCGCGCACGGCCUAAGGCGGCGGCGGCGCACGGAGGCAGCGCGGGGUCAUCUCGGCCCGAGCAGACCUGGGGCGGCCGCGGUUGACAGAGGAGGCGACGGCGGCCCGCAAGGACGACGGCGACGAUGCACGGGGGUCACCGGGGCUCCGGGGAUGGCGGCGUUGCCGAGCUAUGGCGGCGGUGGUGCGAGGAGAGGGAGAUCAAACCAUCUCGGCCGGAUCUGCCCGAGCUUGGCCGCAGGAUUGCCAAGGCGGCGGCGGCGGCGCUCGGGGUGGCGGCGGCCGACAGAGAUGGUCGCCGGGGUCGGGCCUGCUGUCAGAGGUGAAACCCGAGGGUGUGGGUUCACCCUGGUAGCAGCACAAGUGGGGGUGAAGGAUGGUGAAGCAAGGAGCAAUGGAGGAGGUGGAGGAGCAGCCAGCUCCGGCGGCCGGCGGCGUGCUCAGGUGGCCGGAGCGCGCGCACGGGCAGGGCGCGGAUGCAGAGGUGUCGGCUAGGGCACAGAUGGGGGACAGGGUCGGCCAGAUCUAGGGUUUCGUGCAUAGAAACCCUAGAUGCACAUUGUAUACAAAGUGCAAUUUUGCACAAAAGUCUACCUAAGCUUGGUAUUUCUUACCCAGUCCCUCACAGCACAAGUAAAACGCGCGAAUACCCCUCUACGUGCGAUUUCACGCGAAACGGUACAUAAAAUGUUGCGACUUUUGCGAAAUUACCGUUUUGCCAACACCGACCUCUCCUCGAUCAACGCGCGAUCUCCGUAGAUUCGUCCGUCAGAUUUGCGAAUGGAUUGCACCAGUGCGAUCAGCACCUCGGAGACAACAGAGCUACGAUUUCGAUUCGUCUCGAUCGACCACGGAUUCACGACAAAAUCCACCCUUUCGUUCCAAUCGAAAGAAACACACAAAAUACAUAUAAAAUAUGUAUUUUUGGAUUUUCUCGAAAUCCGUGCGUCAAACUCAAAAUCCGUCAGCGCCAGUAGUUCCAGAAUAGCUGAAUCCUUCGAAAUGAGCUAUUGGACUGAUACGAACGGAGUCCGAUACGCACCAGAAGCCAACUCUACUCCGUGGCUUUACCGGAAAACCGGAGUUACCAUUCACUUAAGUGAAAACUAAUAAUCGCGUGACUUCUCCGUUUUAGCUCAUUUUCUCCUGAAACUUGACGAGUGCUUAUGUAAUUAAAUUACACACAUAAACAUCGUCAACAGAGAGUUUAGUUGCACUGUAAAAAAAAAUCUCAGUCCUUACAUAACAAUUAUUAUUAGUGAUGUGAAGGGUAUUUUAGUAAUUAUACAUGAACCGACAAAGUAAGAGGUGAGACGAAACCAACAAACAUAUUUGCUUAUUUAUAAAGAGGACAUGUGAAAUGUUUUAGAGAUAUUUAUUAAUGGAUAAACUUAACGUACUAAAAUACCCUUCAUACAAAAAGGUGAGGAAAAAUUAUUAAUAGUAAUUAACUAUAAUAAUUUUAAAUUUAAACUACAACUUUAAUCUUGAAUUAAAAUUUGAAUUUCUAUUCUAAAUUUUAACGUACAUCAAAAUUGUAAAUCUAAAUUUAAGUGUAAUUUUUUAAUUCAAAUUUUAUUUAUAGUGAAUUGAGCUAUCCGACUUUAUCUGAAUCCAAAAAUUAAACUCAUAUUUAAAUUUAUAAUUUGGUAUAAUAUGUGAAAUUAGAAUAUUAAAAUUAAAGAUUUAAAAAUAUAUUUUAAUCAUUCAAUAUUAAUUUAUUAGAUAUGUUGUUAACAAAAAGAUUUUAUUUAUAAGACUAUCUAUGAAGUGUUAACAAUUAUUAUUAGUGAUGUGAAGGGUAUUUUAGUAAUUAUACAUGAACCGACAAAGUAAGGGGUGAGACGAAACCAACAAACAUAUUUGCUUAUAAUAUAAAUACCUUAAAAAAUUAUAUUUUUUGAACGCUCUCAUCUCCCUCGCCAGAGAGUAGGACUCGGAUGGCGAUCUUAGGUGAGGUCGCGUCUCGCAUCGCCCAGCUCUACUACGGCCAAUAUCGCCGCACCAGCGACUCCUCCUACCUCGCCGAGGCCUUCGUCUUUUACGAGGCCGUCCUCGACCGCGAGUACCUCCGCGCCGCUGCCACCGUCGCUGAGGUCGCGCUCGCGCACAAGCAGCUCUCCCUCCUCAUAAGGUUCCAGAACAUGAGGCGAUCCCCGGCGUGGCGCAGCGCGGCGCCGCCGCGGAGGUGAGACCCGGGACGAGCCCUAGACGUGCGGCGCAGAACUCGUUGAGGGUGAGAUCGGAAUAGGAGGGGGAAGAGAACGAAGAAGAGGAGGAGAGGGGAGAAAGGAGGAGGGGGAUAAGAGAGAGGAGUUUGGGGAGGGACGUUUUGGAAAGGGCCAUGAUUGGUGGGGGGAAGGGGAGGGCGCUACGGAGAAGGAGAAGGCGGAAGAAAAAAAAAAGAGAGAGAAAGAAAAGGAAUAAGGGUAUUUUCGUCCGAUGAUAAAAAAUUCGGUCCGAAUAUGCAAAAUUGGAAAAGUGACCCAAUUUUGCAAAAGCUCAAAAUUUGUGGAUUUUUUAUGCAAAUUGGCCUUAAUUUUAUUUUGAAUAAUUAAUUUUGUUUAAAACCUCUAAAUUAUUUGGCUAAGUUUGGAUACAAAAUAAUAUUUUUGAACUAAUUUGGUAAAAAAAAGAUUUGCUAUUUGCAAAUAAUAAUUUGUGAAGAAAAAAAAAAAAAGGAGGUGCACAAAUGGUCCAAAAGUCUCCCUCGGGCUCCCUUGUAACUUUUUUUUUGCAAUUAGCCCCCUGUAAAAAAUUAAUUUAAAAUUAGCCCAGCAAAUCUAUAUUUACCAAAAUGGCCCUGGCCCUGUGACGCAAGCGCUACGUCAACCGCAUGCGGGUGGGGCUGGGGCCAGGUGGUUAUGUUGAACACGAUGAACGAUUCACUGUGUCUAAAUCUCUCGCUCGAUCUCUCUCUCUCUCUCUUUCGCUCUUUGAUGAUAGAGAAUUAAAAUAGUCGCAUGAUUGCUGAUCCUCUGACUAAGCCUAUUGUUAGGAUUUGAUUGUGUAGAUAUUUGAUUAUUUUAACCUCAUUUUGUAUUAUUUUUAGUUAUUUAAUUAUAAAUUAUUCUUUGGGCAAAGAUAUUUAUUAAGAGUAGCACAUGUGCAUAUAUAUCUUAUAUUAUUGUAGAACGAAUUGAUAGUAUGUCGUAUGCUGAUUGACCCUCUCACACGAGCAAUCAUUAUUUUCAAUGCUGUCGAGAGCGAGAGAAAAUUGAGGCAUUAAAAGAAGAAGCUGCCUCGAUUGGCACCAAGAUGAAGUCAUAAGUGUGACUCGAUACGAAUAGUCCCACGAUUUGUAUAGCCUAUAUAUUUGAGAGCCAAAUGUGAGCUUACCGUUUGAUGCUUGAGAUAGCGAGCAAAUGGAGGACUCAAACUAGACAUUCCAGGAGUGACUGAGCUAAAAUCUAUAUGACAUUAAGAAAGACAUACGCUCAUUGAGAUUCUCUAUCAUAGUAUGUAUUUUAUACUAUAUGUGCUAAGCGACCAAACGAAGAAGAUGAGUGAAUGGAUCCCUGCUUCCUCAUCGUGUGAGUUCUUAUGGACAUUAUUUUGUGGUGAUGUCCCACAUAUGUCAAAUGCCCUUAGUGACUUUUAAUUGUCAUUACGUGAAAGAAUUGAUAUUGCUAUUUUGACAUAUUUCCUACGGCUAUGAGUGAUACGGCUUUAUAGGGCAUUGUGGGAAAGCAAUCAGUUCUCAACUUACUGGCAUAAGGGCUAAAGGAAGACUAGUUGGAUUAUAUUGAGACACUUUGACUCAUUGUCGACAAAUUGUGUCACUUUAGUAUAGCGAGACAAUCAUAAGUAUAAUGUCAUAAUGUACACAAUAGAGGUUAACAUGGCUCUUUGAGGGAUUAGAGAUGCUAAACCUAAUGUUCUUCAAAGGUCUAGGGUAUCACGAGUCUAAUAUUCCUUUUUUUUGAGAAUUGAUGUCUCUAUGCUUGCCAUAUGCGGUUUUUAGUAUAGAGCUCCCAAAAUGCAGGUUGACUCGGUGGUCGCACUGUUCAUUUCCUUGUAUGAAUAAAAUCAAUAGUGAUGUAAUGUUGAGGAAGUGGUUACGAUGGCUCUUGAUUCCGUCAUAUGCGUGUGAGAGAUGUUGGUAUUCGGUUAAACCGAAUAGGGUGCGCGCCGAUAAUCUGGCUCGAUCCGACCGUUAUUAUGUUGUAUAAUUGGACUAGACUUAAUUUCGCUUUUAAAUUGGAAAUCUAAUUAGAGAUAUAUUCUAACCAUAUUAGGAUAACAAUCAUAAACUGAUUAGGCCUAAUUUUUUGCUUCCCUAUCAGGGUUCCAUAAUCCCUAAUAAAUAUAUGGGUUAUUCUCUCAUAGAAAGCACUAGAAAAAUAGAAAAAAAUACUUAUAAUUUCGUGAGUAAUUUGUGAGCCAUCUUGUUAGAGAGAGAAACCAUAUCUUCCAUUAACCUAUUAUUUUGAAGGGUUUUAAACAGUGGAUUAGAUAUUGUGCUCAUUUGUAGUUCAAUCUAUCGCGGGUUUAGAGUGUUAGAAGACCUUCAUGGAGGAUCCAUGGACGCAUAAAUCAACAUCUACGAUCCGGACUCAUCGUGUUCUAGUGCGAGUCGCUUUCACGAAAAGGUACGAACAAAUAUUUCUGCUGCAUUCUAGGAGAAUAAAAAUCAGAAUCGAUAUGGUUGAUUAUGCUUUCAAUAUUUUAAAAAUUUUAAUUAUAAAAAAUAAUUAAAAAUAAGAUUAAAAUUAAAAUUAAAAUACAAAAUAGAAAAAUAAUUUAAAAUUGAGUUUACACCUCAAAACAUAAAAUUAAAUCUAUAAUUUAAAUUCAAACUAAAACUUAAAUAUGAAAAAUUAACAUCAAAAUUGAAAUGAUAAACCUAAAUUUUAAAUAUAAUUUUUUAAAAUUUAAAAAAUUAAAAUUAAGUGGAAAAUUCAAAAUAUAAAACUAAUUUUUGACUCGAUUCAAAUUCAAAGUUACAAUUAAAUUUAAAUUUAAAUUUAUAGAUCAAAUUCAAAAUGCUUGAUUGAAUUUAUAUGUUAAUUAAAUUUCUAAAUCAAGAUCUUGAAUAAAAAAUUUAAUUUCUAAAUUUAAAUUAAGAAAUUAGUGCCUCCAAUAAUAAGCUUGCAUAGCUAAAGCUCUGGUUGUGGCAAGAAGCCGCAAUAUGUUUGUAGCUUCCAAAAACAGAAAGAAUUUGAAGCUUUUUCUUCUGCAUUAACAAGAAACUAGUCGUUAGUCUUAAUUGUUUAAAAUAACAAUUUAAAACUUUAAUUUGGCCCACUUUCCGGGCAGUCCAACUCUCUAUAGGUGUCACGCCCCGGGCUGCACAGUCCCCCGGGCACGCCGACAAAUCCGNGUACCGGUACAGCUCACUGAAAAUCUGCUAUUUCGCAGAUCUUCAAGAUACACGCUGCUCUCAAGUUCCCACAAGGCCCGUUUGGCGUCCACUUCGCGCCAACGCGACCCGGACUUGUCCCGACACUCUCCAGAGCUGUCGACAAGCCUCAGCUAAAAUUCCAGGUCUCUACAAUAGGUCUUACCUGGGAGCCCGUGCCUUGGUUUGCACAUAUGGAGUUUUGUCCCACAUUGGAAACCAAAGGCAUUCUACUACACUUUAUAUACUCUCUUACUUUCAACGUAAUUACUUGGAAGAAUAUGAGAGUGAAGCUCUCGACUAAACGCACGAGCAUGAGCACGAGCCGGGCCGGGCCGGCGACGCGUGUGAACCCGGUUCAUUUACACCUUUUUCUUUUUCUUUUUAUUAGAUUUUAAUAUUAUUUAAUCAACCUUGGGAAGGCCUUACCUUGGGAAGGACCCAAAUGAGACCUUGACCUUGAUAUUGUCCAGAUUUGGUCCAACCUUCGGAAGGAACCAUAUCUUGGUCCAACCGCGGAAAAGAGCUAGAUCUUGACCAAGAUCUUCCGGUUGGACUAUUCAUGAGCCUCUCCUAUACAUAGAGAGGUGAUGGUGCACUUGUGAACAUAUACAGUGGACUCAAACCCGAGAUUGCACCUCCUUAAAAAUCUUUUCCUUCCUCACUUUCUUUCACAUUGAUUUUUACAUCUAUUGUACACAUUGAACUUUACAUUGCCAUUUUUGCCAGAUCUUUGAAAGCUUAUUGGGUUCAUGUUGCGCCACUCUAAAGACGUGCAAACGAGAUGGAUAAUGGUCGUUGUAUCGCUAGGAGUGAUUGCCGAAGUCUCGCACGUGGAGGGGCAAUCUCGCUUUUAGGAUAGUGCUUUCGCAUGCCUCGACUCGCAUGCCUCAUCUGAUCUCUUAAUCUCUAUAGUAUUAACUAUUUCAUUUUUGCUUCUGGUUUUUAAAACUAAAGUUAAAUUGUUUUUCAUUCUAAAAUUGAUUAAAAUAAUAUUGUACUAAGGAUUAUUUAGAAAAGAUAAUUUAGAAAAGAUAACAAAUCCAACACUAGUAAGGGGUUCUAUCAAAGUUCAAACAAGUAAACUUUGAAACCAAACCAUUACAGAAUGCACUAAACAAGCCAAAGAGGUCCUUAAGCAGUGUUUAGUCGGAGAAUAAAGCAGGACUAGUGGCAGAUAUUUCCGUUAUCCCACAAAACACAAUAGAUAAUUGUACUAUCCCUAAUUGGAACAUUGUAAGGAUGAUAUCCCUUUGUAGCGAGGAUAGCUAUUCCAUGGGGUAUCGUGGAAUAUCUUACUUGCAUUGUCAGUUCAACCUUGAAACUUGAAAAUUUGUAAAGAAGUUCUGGAUCCUAUGUUCGAGACGCUCAAGUCAUUUUACUGAUCAGUGAGAUAUGACAUGGUUAAACCCAACGAACGCCAGCGAUAUUACCGGUUCUUGUUGUGAUAAAACAAGUUGGCAUGUUUGCGUAACAAAAUUUCUCCCAAGAUUAAAAAAAAGAAAAGUCAAAUUCCCUGUUCGAGACGAAGAUGGCACAAAGUUGACGACAACCAUGCUGAGAUAUGUAAUUGUUGGCAUUCGGUUAAAUCGAAUCGGGUGCGCCCAUAAUCGGGCUCGAUCCGACGGUUAUUAUAUUGUUUAAUUAGAUUAGGAUUAAUCUCACUUUAAAUUGGAAAGCUAAUUAGAGAUAAAUUCUAAUCAUAUUAGGAUAACAAUUAAUAACCGAUUUGGCCUUAUCUCUUACGCACCUAUUAGGAUUUUAGAAUCCCUUAUAAAUAUGCGGGCGAUCUCACAUAAAUUAACGAAUAAGAAAGAAAAAAGAGAAUAAGAAAACUAAGAGAAAAUCGUAGAAAUCACAUCCUCCAUUAACCUAUUAUUCUAGAGGGUCUUGAACUGUGGAUUUGCGAUCGUACUCGUUUGUAGUUCGAUCCAUCGUGAGUUUGGAGCGUUAGAAGACCUUCAAGGACGAUUUGAGGACACGUGAAUCAACCUCUACGAUCUGGGCUCGUCGUGUUUUAGCGCGAAACGCUUCCGCAAAAAGGUACGAACGAAUACUUCCGCUCCGUUCUACAUUGGUAUUAGAGCCUUAUUAGGUUGAUUUCGUGCCCUAUAUCAACUCUUUAACGAGAUCGCAUGCUUAGAUUCAAAUCUAUCAUUGUUUAAAUUUUUUCUUGUAUGUAUGUGAGCGUUAAUGGCGGAUUUUUCAAAAGUGGAUAUCUUUGCUUGAUUUUCUCACAACUUAAAGCACCUAUAUUGUAGAUUAAAUCUACAAAAUUUGAUUUAAUAUGGUUUUGUAUUUUGAGAGAAAAACAAAACCCUAAAUCAAAACUUUGGGGGUGGUUUGUUUGAUGUGUGAUAUAUAUUCCAUUGUGAAACUUGCAUGAUUUGGAAAAGCACCUCACAAGUUUUCUAUUGAUAUAUUUCUUACAAGAUUCGGAGUUCUAAAUCAUAAGUUAUGAUUUUUUGAAGUUUAUUGUCACGCCCCGGGACCCAGCGGAAGCCCGCCCGGCGCGUGUCCAGACCCGCCAUACGUCUAAAACGUAUAAGGCGUCUAAAAACAACAAUAAUAAAAGCAAUAAUACAAGACAUCAAGGAGUAUUAGAGCAUAAUAAGUGUCUAAAUGCUACAACAAAGGAUAAGGGUAAAACUGUAAAUCCACUAAAUAAAACAUGAAGUGAUACAAGAAAAUCCCAAAUACAAGUGCUAUAGGUAGAUACAUAGGUGGUCUCUAUACAUGGAUACAAAACCUCUCACUCUCUCAACUAUAAAAGAAAGAGUAACCACCUAGGCAAAGUACCGCCCCUCGCUAGCUAGCUAAGCGAUCCCCUUGCCGUGAUCCCGUGCCUCCUUUGGUGCCGAAGGCUCUGAAAAGGAAACCAUAAAACAGGGGCGUGAGAACUAUUAAAAAUAGUUCCCAGUGGGCAAUUACUGACUUCAGUGAAUGCACCACAAGNGGUCCCCGAGAGUAAAAACUCUCAGGAUUCUGCCAAAACUCUCGAGAUCGAACUUUUAGGCCAGUAUACCAUCGACGGCCCUCCACCAAGUGUGGAAAAGUUCGAAAUACAAAUCGAACACUCGAACCUCGCAAUUUGCAAAGGUCCAGUGUGCUACAUUUAUUUAUCUAUUUAAAAAAAAAAUACUAUUCGAUGUAUACCACGCGGCUUGCAGCCGCGUGGGUGCGCACGCGAAUAGCGCGCGGGCCGCGCGGGCCACACCCACGUGGUAGCCCCCGCAGGCCAGGCGGGCAUCUCACAGGUUGCACGCCGGGUGCAGGCCGCGGGCCACGCGUGGUGUAAGGAAGUGAAUUCUCGAAAAUCCGAGAGUUGUACUUCGUCCAGAAUCAACUAUUUGUCGAGAGAAUACCCUUUGGGAAAGUUAAAAAUGUCCAAAAUACAAAAAGUGUAUUGGAGUUGAGUCCGCGAGAGCAUAUAGUGCAAAACCUGCACUGGGCUGAAGUUGCUUUCGGGGACCGGUCCCUAGCAGGGAGAGACCGGUCCUCGAGGCUAGUGGUCGCUGGAGAUCCUUGAUGCAACCGGUCUCUGGCUGAGGGAACCGGUCCCCCGCUGCGACCUGAGCGAGAAAAACCGAAAAUCGGCUAAGUCCUGAAAAUUGGGGUUUUAGGAACCAGUCUUUCCGAGAGGAACCGGUCUCUCGAGGAUCGGUCUCUGUAGCAUACCGAAUUUUAAAAUAAGGAUAAAAAUAAAUAAAAAUAGUGUGAGAUACUAUUUUUAUUGAACUUAUAGAAGUAAAAUAUAAGUCCGGAACGACUCGUGUGGAAAUCGAAGCGAGAACAGAAGAUUUUGAAUUUUCUGUGUGAAUCGUGGCUGUUAUUUUAGCAGAAAAUGCACAGUGUCAGAAAAUUUCGAAAAUCUGGGAAUAUGUCAGAAUUAUUUUUAUGAGGCUAGAUUUAAGGUUUCAUGUCAUUCUGACACCCGGAAGGUGAAAAAUAAAAUCCGACAGUUAUCUGAUAAAGAUUACAGUCCGGUACAGCUUUCGGUGACCAAACGGGGUCGAAACUGAAAGAUUAAAAUUUCUUCCGUUAAGUAAGGUUAGACCAAGCAUGACUACCAAAUUUGAGCUCAAUCGGACGUUCAGAAGGGCAGACGAAAAAUAUCUAUACCUGAGCUACAAUCUGAUGUGAAUAGUAUUUUGGGAGUAUAUAUAGGUAAACUUGCACUCUUUUUUCUCAUUUGUNAAACGGCAUCAUAGUCGUCAAAUAUUAAUAGAUAUAGUCGGAAUCUUGCAAAUUCAGUUUCCUCACAGCAAUUUCAGCUUACCCAUAGUUGGAACACCUUUUAACUAGUCCCCAAGGUCACCAAUUAAGCUUAAAUUAAUCCGCAAACCUGCUGCGAAGAGAACAAUCCAAACUGCAUCAAUUCGCACUAAUAAACUUCAUAUAGUUUCGAAAGUACAUCAUAACUAACAAAUUAACUUUGUCCAACUUUGGAGCAGCUUAUCCCUGGUCUAGGAUGGUUCAAUCACAGCUAAAUAACCUCUCUUUAGCUGCUGAAAUUGCCCGCGAACUCAGCUGGGAGCAACAAAACCAAAACUACUUGAAAUCCAAUACUAAACUUCCAAUUAAGCUACAUACCUUUCAAAAGCUGCAACUCAGCUCUUUCUGGUAUUAAAAUCCCAGAAAAGUCAGUAAAUAUCCUCCUCCCCACAUUCCGAAAGCUUUCCUUGAGUUUCCAAACCAGCGAGUAACGCGCGCGGCGCGAAAUAAGCUCGAAUAGGCGAUUUUUACUCGAGGAGAGAGAAACCCUAGAGAGAGAAAAUGAGGGAGGUGCAAAGCUCUUCCUCUGAGCUCUAGCAUGCUCCACCAGGUUCCAGGAGUCGUGCUGGGGGAGAUAAGGAUGGUAUAAGAAGUGAAAUUACCAAAGUAACCUUGCUGCCACGUAUCUGCCAAUGUGUACCGGUACAAGGUGAUGGCUGUACCGGUACAGCAAGCAGAAAAUGCUGAUUUUCGUCAGAACAAAGCACUUUCAUGCUUUUAACUUCCCAAUCACCCUCUAACUUGUCCAAAAACUUGUCUAAGCCCUUUAGAAUAUGUAGGGUAGUUCCACAUACCUUUUCCCAUAUUCGAACUUCAUAAGUGACCAAAUUCAAAGCAUUGCAAUAGAAUAAUGCACUUGCAAUGCAUUUUUCCAUUUCCAGUUAUCUUCUUGCUCCAGUAAUUUAUUGAAGCCUCUCAACAAUCCUACAAAAAGUGUAGAAGAGUUCGAAUCACUAUUCCAACCCUCAGAUUCACAGUUUGCCAAAAUUCAGUGUAUUACAGAACCGCCGCCCGAUCGCUUCUUCCCCUUGUCUUGGGAUCCGGCCAACAACUCACGUUCCUCCCGCACGUGGGCGUCCCCAUGCUCCGCCCACAGCGCCUUGUUGAAAACCUCGGCGAAAGUCGUUAGCUGGAACAGUUGCACCGCCCUAUAAAUCCACGGCCGAAGUCCUCGCAAGAACCACUCGGCUCGAUCCGCGUCGUCCUUGACCACGUCCGGGACACAGUCUAGGAUGUGGGAGAACUCCUGCUCGUAGUCCGCCACCGAAUGAUCUCCCUGUCUCAAUUUGCGAAACCUCUCCUUCAACUUCCGCUUCUCGAUGUCCGGGAAGUAAUUUCCGAAUAUCUCCUUCUUAAACCCCUCCCAGAGCAUUGGUGGAAGGUCAGAGGGUCGAUCCCGCUUCAACCGCUUCCACCACACCUUCGCCGCCUUGUCGAGGCAAUGGGUGGCGAAAGGCACCUUAUCUCUCUCCGGGGUGUAUAGGUCCUCGAAGAGGGUCUCCAUAGAGUCAAUCCAAGACUCCACCACCGACGGCUCCACUUUCCCCCCUUCAAAAUUUGGUGGCUUAAACUUCAUAAAUUUCAUUAAAGCCGUUAGCGCACGCUCCCGCUCCACUUUAUCGGCCGGCGUAUCAAGCGUCGCCGAACCCGAAGCUGUCGGAGGCGCACUUGUCGGCGGGGGAACCGCCGCCAUCGGAACCGCCGCUAUGCCCUCACCCUCGGCCACUACCGGCGUGCGUGCCGAAGGUGCGGGCGGAUCACGAUCUCCUGCCGCCGUCGCGGCCGCCGCCGCUGCCGCUUGCCGCUCCACAACUUCCUGGCGCUGCUCGAACCGAGCCUCCUGGCGCUGCAUCGCGCCCAUCAUUGCAGCGACCUGCUCUCGCAGCUCCUGCACUUCCUCCGAUCUUGGCUGCUCGGGCUCCGCAGAAGGCGGUACCGGAGCAGACCUACGCACGUAACGCCUUGGGGACAUUUGCUCCUGAAAAGCAACNCCAUUCACAUUAGUGGAUGUUGCUACACGUCAAUACUUAUGUUCAGACAAAUUCCAUUAAUGUUGUCUCUACAGCUUUACUGCUUUCCUUUACACCAAUCGUAAAGUAACUCAUGACCAUUUAGAUAAACUUCUUUGAUACUGUUCUGAGAGUGUGGGGCUCAAAGUAUUCAUUGUCCCAAAUCCAAUUUAGGCAAUAGAGGGGAAUCAAUUUAUACUUCACCCAUAAGUUCUCUAUUGCUGUUACUCUACAUAUUUUUCCAUAAAUAGGGAAGAAAUCUGAACAAAACCUUUCGUUAAUUCACAAUUAGAGCAUCAUCAAUUGCUUUCGAACUGUAAGAGAUUUAUCCUGAUAUCACUAUCAGUCAAGAUAUUAAUUCCCAAAGACUAACCUCAUGCAGUUUGUUCCCUGAAGCUUAGUUCCAAUUAUACAUAAUUAGAAUCAGAAGAGAAAGAAACAAGUAGCUGGGUAAUCUCUUUUUCAAUAUUCCAAGAUGCUUAGUUCCAUUAGGAGAGUCUCAUCUCAAUCCUUUUAAUUCAUCCUCCUGUUCAGUCAAUAUCUGCCUUGCAGGAUUCACCGAACAAACAACUGGAUAAAUCCUUCAUAACCUUUUUCUAUCAUAGAAGAAUGCAGCUUCCUCAGACUGCUACUCAAUCUAUAGCACGCAUCCAAUACUAAAGGCUGAUCAAAAGAUCAUCCGCUCUUGACUUAAUCAACCACUAAAUUGUGUUUCACUUAAAAUCACGAUAUUCGACACAUAGUCGAAUAGCUCAUUUAAUCUCACCACAAGUGAAAUUAUUUCACCAAAAUGAAGCCCUAGGCAUAAAACAUUCUCUAAUUAUCAAGUUCACAAUUUGUGACUUGUUUAGGAAUAGCACAACCACUACUCAAGAACUACCCUUCACUUUGAGGGUUCUUACAAUUUAACAGUAUCAGCCAAUUAGGCUCCAACCUUUCUAUAAUUACCUAAUUUAGGUAAAAUGACCAUUCUCGCAAUCAGCGAGGCUAAACCCUUCAAGAUGUAUUGCAUAAUGUUCAAAGUUCCAAGGCGAAUCAAUUUAGUUCGCACAAACCAUGGUAUAAAGUAUCUCCCAACUAAGUUUCAAUCCAAACCAUUCUGUUCAAUCAAUCCUACAUGCAUUAAGGAGGAAAUUGAUGCUAAUCGACUCGGCCAACAGCCGAUAAUAGAUGCAACUAAAGCAAUCAUUAUGAUCAUAUCGCAUCAUAGGAACAUUGCAUAAAGUACUACCUGCAGUAGUUAUCCCUGCCGUCGUAUCUGACUCUAUGAUUCCGUCGGCGUACCUCCAUUGGGUACUUUUUGCAACAAAGUCGGUGCAGAGACCUUAGUCAACAUGUUAUUUCUUGGGCACUCAGAGCGAAAAUGGCCAUCCUGACCACAUACAAAACACUUUUCUUUCCGCUGAGGACACUUUGGGGGAACAUGCGGACCUCCACAAAUCACACAUGGCCGAGGUAAUCGUCUCCUCAAUCUUCUUUGCUUAGAAACAGAACCACGUUUCCAAGGUUGAUUCUUCUUUAAUUUUCUUGAUGAUUCUCCGACAUGUAAUUGAUCGCCCUUGGUAGCCUCUUUGGCUCCUUCAGUGCAUUCCACACCUUUUCUUACGGUCAAAGUACGAUCCGAAACCUCGUAGAAUUUCUUGAGAUCAGCCGUCUGUUGAAUCAACAGGUUCUCCAACCGUCUGAUUCCUUCAUCCUGUCGGCGCAAAGCCUCGGCUUGAAGUAGCGUCACAGUCGCUUGUCGCUCCACCACUCCAACUAGAGUAGCCAGCUGCUCUUUUAAUUCCCGAAUCUCACUAAUCAGAGGUGGCACCGUCCUUUCUGGGCUCGAUGUCUCAUCAGCCGUAGGGUGCAUCUUUGACAUGCAAGCUGAACAAACAAAAUAGCACAGGUUAAAACCAACGCCAUGGCUAUCAGGUAGCCGCACUCAAAAUUGUAAAAUCCAAUCAUGCGAUAGUAAUUGAAAUGACCGCCCACUUAUCCCAAUAUCACGUUGUCGCCGCCAGUGAUUUUGAAGGACAUAGAACGUUUAUUCAUAUUCAAUCGAACCACCAAUCAAUUGUUGGAGUUAUCAAAGUAUAGACCUCACCAAUCAUAAUACUUUCGCCUCAUAUAUGUCGUCAAAGAGCCGCGUAAACACCUCCACGCUCGCUAAUCCUGAUCAUAUCCACUGCACUAAGGUUUACAAUAGGUCCACUAAGACUCAACCCUAGGCUCUGACUCCACUAUAAUCUGUCAUCGCCCGGUACCCAGCAGAAGCAUAUCGCGGCUCGCGUCACAGACCGCCGUGUAGCACCACCAGCUCAAGUACUACACAAAGGCGUCUACAAACUAUAUAGUAAAAGCAUACACUUCUAACAGGUAAUUAAGCACGUACUUUAAGUUUAAACUUAUACAAUCCAAACCGUUAAUACAAAUGAGUUAACAAAAGCUUAAUAUACAACACUGUAGUUAAACUAUAAUAACUGCUGGGCGGUGAUCUAGUAUAUCGUCCAAAAAAGCUCUAGCUAGCUGUCGCUGACCCCCUCGCCAGGAACCCUAAGCCUUUCCCAGCUGUGGAAGGCAUCUGUUAAAACAACAACAAAGAGGCGUUGAGAACUACUUUAAACAAUAGUUCCAGCGGGUAAGAAGCCGCGAGAGUGGCGAAGUACACCCAUAGGUCACUGUGGCAUGAGUAGAUAACAUAAAUAAGCGAGUAAGAAUCAGAUAAUCCAUAAGCAUUAUAUGCAAUCAUGAUAUGGAAGUAAACUAUACUCAUGCCCUAUUUUGCUCACCAUAAAUGAAACAUCAAUAGAUUGGGCAGGUAUCAGUUAUCAUGAUAGAUUUCUCACUCAUCAUUAUUACUUGACAAUUUAAUCAACAUAUAUAGAAUGUAUGCAAGAUAAUUCACUUUAUCUGCCAAAUUACAGAUGAUAUCAUGUAAUUACCUUGUUUCCAUAGCAAGAAAGAAACAUAACUGUCAUUCAUUAAUGUUUGCUAAACCAAAUCAUGAUGUCAACUUUCUAGGUUGUUCAUCAGCUAAGCUGCACUUUAGAUGUCAAACUUCUAGUAUUUUCAUCAAUAAAGUUCACUUAACCCCAAGACAUAUAGUAACUUUACUACUCUGUCCAUCAGGCUAUAGGUCAAAGUACUUGACAUAACCAAUUUCCAACGGUACUUACACAAGGUAAGUUCAAGUCGCGCCGUGCCUGAAAAAUAAUGGUCCCGUGUAGUAAAACAUCCCGCUGACAUAAACCCAUUGUCCAACGGACUUACACAAGGUAAGUUCAAGCCAGCGCCGUGCUAAUCCCCGUGUAAGUCAACAUCCCACUCUAAGGAAUAGUCCCCAGGCCUCCCCCCGGCAUUUCAUUUCGGCGCGUCACGUCGUACAUUUUGCGAGCAUACUGCUCGCUAACUGUUCGGAGUGCUGCUUGGGGGGAGCGACCCACAAGCUCGUGUGCAAACGCGCACAAUGGCAUGCAAGCCGUAGUCCACAGUAGCCAGUCUCACAAACCAACAUCAUGCCCCUGACAUGGAAUCUUUAACUCAAGGCCACUCCGAACGCGGGGCUUGGGGGGCGCGACCCCCACAAGCAUGUACGAAAGAGCAUAAUGGCCCUAGCCACGCUAUAGUCCCCAGGAUAAAAUAUCCAACAAACAUGCCUUUCUCUGACAUGGAAUCUCAACUCGACCUCAAGGUCGGCACUGUAUACCCAAUCUGAAGUCACUAUCACAACUGUUGACAAUGAUUCUAACAAGUCCGUUAAUAUAACUUGACAAGUGUUAAGAGCUUUACAUCAACACUAGUGAUUCUAUCAGGCUAAUACUCGGUCAGUCACUCCCAAUCAUCUCACUACUCCUUACACAUAAGGAAAGUGUUUCUAAGUUCUAUUCAUAGACUCAUGGCACAUACCUGUAGUCGCAAUAUCAAAUCUCUAAUCUGAUCUAUACAAUACGUUAUCAUAUCCAAAUCUAGUUAUUUACUAGAUUAUAUUUGCAGGUCCGAAAUAAUCAUUCAAGUUAUGCCAUCAUAUAAAAGUCUAGUUACUUACUAGAACAUAUACCCAUAAUACAAUCUAUGCAUGUAAAGUAAACUAACAAGGUAAUUGCAAGCAUAAAACAAGCGAUAACACACUCUUCUCUUCAGAUGAUCUCUAUCAUUCAUUCUAACAAAUGGAAAUGCAUAUGCCAAACAAAGGCCUUUAGCUAGAUCCUUUCAGAGUAUAAGCCAUAUACUUGCUAUAUAAAUUGCAUAGGCUCAAUCCUAAAAUACAUCAAUCUCUAUUGUUGUUCAACAGAAUUAAUUAUCCCUUCACGAACCUUAUCAUUAUAUCCUCUUGGAUAAGCAAUCAAGCUAAAAUUGCAUCGCAGCUACUAGUAUCAUGAGCACGUAGUACUUUAACAGGUAAACCAUAGUAAAGUGAAACAAGUCAUAAAUCUUUCAUUACUGUUUAUAAGAUGCUACAUAUCCAAUAUGAUCUACUCAUCAUCAUGUCGCAAUGCCUUUGCACUAGUACAUAUAUUUCACAUGAUAUCGGAAUAACUUGCAACUCAGAUCGUCAAAGGAGACAUAUGAGGAAAAUUCACGCACCAUUUCGGAAGGGUCGAACCCACCUAUCAACAAGCGCAAUCCAGCAAGAAAGCUUGAAACUCAGCUCAGCGGACCCCAACUCUGUGAAAACGAAAACACGGAAGGCGGCAUCAAACUACGACCGAAAUGUCCAAAUUUCGGCACACAUUGUUCUUAGUACAAGUAAUCAGCUUGACUCGGCCUGUUUGGUUCAGGUUAAUACUCAAGUAUAGCUCCUAAAAGCCUUCACGCAUCAACCGGAGAUAAAAUCCGAAAGUCGGCGUCGCAAGCCGCGCUGGCGAACAAUUUCCAAAACAGGCAAUCAUAUCGUCAGAUUAUUAAUAGAUAAUAGUCGGAAUCUGCAAAUUUAGUUUCCUCAACAGCACUUUCAAGCUUACCAUAGUGGAACACCUUUGUUAUACAGUCCAGGUCACCAAUUAAGCUUAAAUUAAUCCGCAAACCUGCUGCUGAAGAGAACAUCCAAACUGGCAUAUCAAUUUCGCACUAAUAAACUUCAAAUAUAGUUUUCGAAAGUAACAUCCAAACUAACAAAAUUACCUUUUCCAACUUUGGAGGCGGCCAGUUAUUGGGUCUGGAUCGGUUUCAACUCCCACUAAAUAACUCUUUAGCUGGGCUGAAAAUUGCCCCGCGAACCUCAGCUGGGAGCAAACAAAAACCAAACUACUUCAUGAAAUCCAAAACUAGCCUCUUUUCCCCAAUUAAGCUACACUACUUCACAAGCUGGGCAACUCAGGCUCUUUCCUGGUAUUACAAUCCCGAAGAAAGUCAGUAAAUAUCCUCCCUCCCCACCGUUCCGAAAGCUUUCCUUAGUUUCCAAACCAGCGAGUAACGCGCGCUGGCGCGAAUAAGCUCCUGAAUAUGCCAGAUUUCUUAUAGCUCGAGAAAGAAAACCCUAGAGAGAGAAAUGAGGAGUGCCAAAGCUUCCUCUUGAGCUCUAGCAUGCUCCACAAGGCUCCAGGAGUUCGUGCUGGGGGAGAUAAGGAUGGUAUAAGAAUGAAUUACGCAAAGUAACCUUGCUGCCACGUAUUGCCAAUGUGUACGUACACAGGUGAUGCAUGUACCGGUACAUCAAGCAGAAAAUGCUGAUUUUUCGUAGCCAGAACAAAGCACUUUCAUGCUUUAACUUCACCAAUGGCACCCCUAACUUGUCCAUAAACUUGUCUAAUCCCUUUAGAAUAUUAGGGUAGUCUCACAUACCUUUCCCAUAUUCGAACUUACAUAAGUACCAAUUCAAGCAUUGCCAAUAGAAAUAAAUGCACUUGCAAUGCAUUUUCCAUUUUCAGUAUCCUUCUUGCUCAGUAAUUUAUUGAUAGCCUCUCAAACAAUCUACUAAGAAGUUGUAGCAAGUUCGAAUCAUCAUAUUCCACCCCUCAGAUUCACAGUUUUGCCAAAAUUCAGUGUUUAACACUAUUUCACAUUUUUGCUUCUGUUUUGUCAACUAAAGUUAAAAUUGUUUUCAUUGUCUAAAAUGAUUAAAAUAAUAUGUACUAAAGAGGAUUAUUUAGAAAAGCAUAAUUUAGAAAAGAUAACAGAUCCAACACUAUAAGAUGGGUUCUAUCAAACUUCAAACAAGUAAAACUUCUGAAACCAAACCAUUUACAGGAAUGCACUAAAGCAAGCCAAAGAGGCCUUAAGCAGUGUUUAGUCGGAUAAUAAAGCAGGACUAAUGGCAAUAUUCCAUUAUCCCACCAACACAAUAAAGAUAAUUCCGUACUAUCCCUAAUUGGAGAGGCAUUGUAAGGAUGAAUCCCCAGUUUACUAGCGAGGAGUAGCUAUGUGCCAGGUAUCGUGGAUAUUCUUUACUUGCAUUGUCAGUUCAACUUGAAACUUUGAAAUUUGAUAAAGAAGUUUUGGAUGCUAUGUUCAAGACGCUCAAGUCAUUUUACUGAUACAGUGAGAUUUUGACAUGGUUAAACCCAAUACGAACGCUCAGCGAUAUUACCGUUCUUGUUGUGAUAAAACAGUUGCAUGUUUGCGUAACAAAAUUCUGCCCAAGAUUAAAAAAAAGAAAAUCAAAUUCCCUGUUCCGAGACGAAGAUGGCACAAAGUUUGACGACAACUAUGCUGAGAUAUUGUAAUUGUUGGCAUUCGGUUAAAUCGAAUCGGUGGCGCCGCAUAAAUCGGCUCGAUCCGACGGUUAUUAUAUUUUUAAUUAGAUAGGAUUAAUCUCACUUUAAAUUGGAAAGUAAUUAGAGAUAAAUUCGAAUCAAUAUUAGGUAAAAUUAUAAGCAUUUGGCCUUAUCUCUUACGCACCUAUUAGAUUCUUAGAAUCCCUUCAAUAAAUAUGCGGGCGAUCUUCCCCAUAAUUAACGAAUAGAAAGAACAAAAGAGAAUAAGAAAACUAAGAGAAAAUCGUAGAAAUCAGCAUACCUGCCAAUUAACCUAUAUUCACGAGGUCUUUGAACUAUGGAUUUGCGCGAUCGUACUGCGUUUGUAGUUCGAUCCAAUCGUGAAUUUGGAGCGUUAGAAGACCGCUUCAAGACGAUUUGAGGACAUUGAAUCUAACCUCUCCGAUUCUGGGCUCGUCGUGUUUAGCGCAAAACCUUCCGCAAAAAGGUACGAAACCGAAUACUUCCGCUCCGUUCUCAGGAUAUCAUUGGUAAUUGAAGCCUUAUUAGGUUUGAUUUCGUGCCCUAUAUCAAACUCUUUAAACGGCAGAUCGCAUGCUCUUAGUUUCACAUCUUACCAUUGUUUAAAUUUUUUCUUGGCUGUAUGUAGCGUCAUGGCGGCUUUUCAAAAAUGGUAUCUUUGCUUGGAUUUGCUCACCAACUUAAAGUGCACCUAUAUGGUAGAUUAAAUCUACAAAAUUUGAUUUAAUAUGGUUUUUGUAUUUGAGAGAAAAACAAAACCCUAAAUCAAAACUUUGGGGGGUGUUUGUUGGAUUGUGACAUAUAUUCCAUGUGAACAACUUGCAUGAUUCUGGAAAAGCUCCUCAACAAGCUUUUCUAUUGAUAUAGUUUCUUACAUAGAUUCGGAGUUUCAAAUCAUAAGUUAAUGAUUUUUUUGAAGUUAUUUAUCUAUUUUAAAAAAUAAAUAUUGUUCGAUGUAUACCAUCCGGCUUGCAGACGCGUGGUUGCGCACCGAAUAGCGCGCGGCUCGCGCGGCCACACCCACUGGUAAAGCCCCCGCAGGCCUAGGCGGCAUCUCACAGGUUUUGCGCAGCCGGGCGCAGGCCAACAGGCCAGCGCGUGGUGUAAGGAAUGAAUUCUCGAAAAUUCGAGAAAGUUGUAACUAUCCGUCCAGAUCAACUAUUGGUCGAGAGAAUACCGCUUUGGGGAAGUUAAAGAUGUCCAAGAACACCAAAAAGUGUAUUGGCAGUUUAGUCGCGCAGAAGCAAUGUAGUGCAAAACCUGCAGCUGGGCUGAAGUUGCUCUCGGGACCUGGUCCCCUAAGCAGGGAACGACCGUCCCCGGAGGCUAUGUCGCUGGGAUCCUUGAUGCACACCGGUCUCUGGGCUGGGGAACCGGUCCCCGUGCGACGCCUCACGAGAAAAAAAACGAAAACGCUAAGUCCUGAAAAUUGGGGCUUUUGGGAACAGUCUUUCCGAGAGGAUCCGGUCUCUCUGGGAGAGACCGGUUCCCGAACGUGUGCCCCGAGGGAGGUCUCUCGAGGACCGUCCGCAAUCGGGCAGACCGGUCCCCUCCGAGCUGAUAUUCUGCCCAGUUGAGGCAAGUGCAAUGGGGGGGAGGGGAAUUUAGGGGAUUGAAAGGUGAGGUUUAAGUGCAACAUUGCCCACUCAUAUGAGGUGUAUAUGGCAAAUUACCCCUCUCCCUGUCGUUCUCAUCCCCUUUCUCGCCUCUCAGUCACUCUCCCCUCUUUCUCUCUGAAAGAAGAAGAAGAACAAGAGGAGCGGGAAAGGAAAAAGGAUAAGAAGAAAAGAAGAAGAAGAAAAGAGAUCAAGAGAAGGCCCUUGACACCUUCAUCUCCCUCUCUCUUCUCUUUGGAGUAGCUCAAGAGAUAAGCCUAGCUAAACCCUAGCUUCUAACUUAGGUUUUGGUUUUUGAGCCUUUGAAUGGGGUCAAAUGGACCCUAGCACCACUUGUUGGUGAUCACAGCUAGAGUUAGGGUUUCAAAAUUGUAAAAUGGGCAAAUAGGAACCCCUAGGCACGCCAAAAUGGGGUUUUUCGUAAAGUAUGAGAUUGAUCAUUUUGAGGCCUCGGUAAACCUAAUUGGUUAGGUAAAACGCGGGGUGGCCCGCCGGCGGAAGUUCGAUUUCGCGAUUCGUCGAGUGGGAUUGGAGGCUAUCGACGAAAUAUGGCCGAUUAGCGCAUUGUCUUGGCCAAGACGGCCGAGACCUCGUCGUAAAGUUCGCGCGAGCAACAUUUUCUAAAGCCUUCUACGUCGAUAAAAGGUGGGGGUGCCUAUCUCCCGAAAGCUUCUCGAACCAUCCUUUCUAUGUCUUAGAAUUGGCAUUAAUUUAGAUCUUUUAACAUGUGUAAUUGUAAAGAUUGCAUAGUAGAACCUUUGCUUUAUGCUUUAAUUGAAUAACCUAGUGUGCUUGUAAUACGCUUGUAACCUUAGAUAGGUGAGGACUUGGUUGGCAACCGUGGAUCCUAUGAUGCGAAGGAAGAGAUGAACCCGGUGGGGUUGGUGACAUAGAAAGUAGUGUUUAAUGUUAAAGAACAAAUGUGAGUGGGCAUCCAAAUGUUAAAUGAUAACGAGUGCAUUAAUGUAGUGGUAAAAUGACACUAGCCGGUUUUGAGAGCCUAGGGAUAAGUGGAUCUUAGAAAAUGCCUUAUGGAUAAAGAACUUAGUAAACCUAAGUACCCUCACAUGGGAGGUUCGCAUGAUUAUGAUUGAGAUAUUGACCCUACAGUUUAGGCGCAUCCUUCACUUGGAGAAGGAUUUGAUUGGGUUGUUGACGCCUAGUGUAGGGCAUCUCAACUUGGAGAGGAUUUGAUUGGUGUUGACCCUAGUUGUAGCAAUCCCACUUGAGAUGAUUGGAUUGGGUUGUUGACCCUAAUGUGUUAGGGCAUCCUCACUUCGAAGAGGAUUCUGAUUGGGUGUUGACUCUAGUGGUAGGGUAUCCUGCACUUGAGAGGAUAAGAUCUAGCUCACAGUCUGCUUUGGGUGUGGUAUAAGCCAUCCACAUCCCCACAUGGCGAGGGAGAUUGUCUGUCGAGUAACUUACGAAUGUCGUGCAGAGUAGAACCACUUGGAGUCCGGACCCAGGAACAUUAGGUCCGCAGACGUCCCCCCCCGGCUUGGGUGCACUUGGAGCUCCCCUCCCCACUUUGGGAUUGAAGGUGAGUAUUGGGCGAACCCUAGGGCUUCGCUACAGAUUGGGUAAAGAGAAACAGUGAACAAUAAUCAUUGAAACAUUAUUAUUCGAUACAUGGAUCGAAUUUGUUAGCUUAAUAGUUAAUUCCUUACUAAGUGAUGGCAUGCAUUCAUUACACCAUGAUUAUGGGUAUAGUAGCCAUAGUUUCCUACUAUCGUAUUUUCAAAGCUUUCAUAGAUAUCUAUCUAUCUAUCUAUGCUGUUGUGCUUGUGCCACUGAACCUAGUCGGAAUCGGCGGAGUCGGCGGCCGAAGCCUCCUGGAGACUAUGAAGAUAGUUCUCACCCCACUCUAUUUCCUGUAGUACGGUACAGGUGGCCGAGAGAGGACCAACGCAAGGGCAAUCGCGCCCAUGACUCAGUGAGACCGGGGUAGUAUAGUAGCUUUCCUUUUUGCAUUAGCACACCUAUCGUAUUGAGAGAGAGAUUCAUUGUAGGUGAGGAAUUUGGAAGCUAUGUAUGUUGGAUGAAAAGAUGUAUCCAUUUAAAGAAAGAUGUAAAUGAAAAGGAUGAACUAUUGUAAUAGUUAGCAAAGUACUCUCUGUUAUUUCAACAUGUUAUUCCUGUGGGGAAUUUUUUUUUUUUUUUUAAAUUUGCUUCUUUUGUAGUUGCUGUCAGUAUUUGUGCCCGCGUGGAAUGUGUUAUGUUUAGAAAUUUAAAUUCCUGAAAAAUUCUUGUACACAUUUUGUUUGUGAGCCUUGGGCGGAAACAGGAGAGUGCUGUCGUUCGCGGUCCCUCCGCCGCGCCUGAAUCGGGCCAAAUUGGGUAGUGGUUUCGGGGCGGGGCGUGACAGUCGGUGUUAUCAACCAUAAAGAGAAAGUAAAAGAGAAAGUCGCUAGGAUAACCUAGGAGACGGCCUAGGUUGGUAAGCCCUAAUAGUUAUAGUGCGUGAGCGAACGUUAACACUAUAACGAUGGCGACGCUGAUGUCGUAUUGGGUCGAAGUUGGUAAUAUGUCUCUAGUUUGACUAUAGAUGGAUUUCAAGUGUAUUAGUUCUUGAUAUUGAGGUGGUUGUGGUCGCGGCCGAGCGACAGAUGCCAAAGUCUAGAAUGAGUGACACUUGUGUGGCUUUCCGCCCGAUUUUGUUAUUGAGUUGUUCAUGUGUGUAAUUUCGACAGAGGUAAUUGGUUAAGAUACUGACGCAAAGUAUUUCGUUUCAGGGACUAAUGUCUCCAAGACGCUACAUCACGUAGAUCUACUACCCGACCAACUCCUGAAGGUCCCGGAGUAGGAUGAACCGAGUGGUGAUGGCAUCGGUUGCAGGCGCACAAUGGCCGCAUUGACCAUGCUGGUGCAGCAGGCACCAAGAGACCNNNNNNNNNNNNNNNNNNNNNNNNNNNNNNNNNNNNNNNNNNNNNNNNNNNNNNNNNNNNNNNNNNNNNNNNNNNNNNNNNNNNNNNNNNNNNNNNNNNNAAGAGAAGAUAUAAUAUAGUAGUAGUGAGGCUACUAUUCUACUGAAGCACCGGAGCCUUCGUGCUUCCAGCCUCGUUUUCGUGCUGCGACUUUCGAUAUCGUCGAUCGAUCCAAUUAAACUUGAUCUAAAGUAUUUUGGAGUACCUAGAAAGAUAAAUUUUAUUAUUUGUCGAGUAUCAUUUGCCCGUAGCCGUAGAUCGAGAAUGCGGGCUCAAAUCAACAAAAAUUUCAUAUUGGGCCUAUACGUGACGCCUUUGCAAGUUUAAGCGGUGUAGAAAUAUCCAAAUCACGAAACUUUUGAUAAAAAUUCUUAUAUACUAUAUAAAACAAGAUCAAAUAUCUUUGAUUUAAAAUCUGUGAGGAGAUGUCAUAUAGAAAUUAAUUUCGGAGCAUUUAAAUCAAGAAUUUUGGUAUUGUUCAGGUCGUGGUGAAGAUGAGUUUGAGCAUCUUCGGUUCACAAUAGGCAGCAUGAUAUGAAAAAUAAUAAAAUUUAUUUUUCUAGGCUACUGCCAAAUACUCUAGAUCUAAAGUUUAAACGGAGCUCGAUCGACGAUUCGAAAGUCCAACAGAAACACGAGCUGAAGCACUCCGUCUUCCGAUAGCAUAGUACCCACUCCUAUAUAUAGAUGAUAUACAGUGUAUAUAUAUUAAUAAUAUAAGUAUAUAUAUAUAUAUUAUAUAUAUAUAUAUAAAUAUAAUAUAGUAUAGGUUAUAGUAGAUAGCUAUAUACCAUGAUAUAUAAGUAUAUAUAUAUAUAUAUAUACAUAUUAUGAGUUCGACACCGGUUACUAUUAGUAGCAAAUCCAUUAUUGCUACCGCUAAUUUUUUAGCCUUUGGAUAAGCUCUUUCCACAAUCAUUGUCGUAAUCAUGGACUUAAAUAGCUAUAUGAUGUUUAGCACCCGCGUCAAUUAGUUGGAGUGAGCGGAUGUAGAGGACGAUCUACUACUAGGGGGACCACUCAACUCUAAACUAGACAUAUAUAUUCACUUCUGACCCUAAAUUUUUCAUCCCAGGUUAAAACUUGAUAGUAAAAAGAGCGUUUUAACACAUUAAUAGUAUUCCAGCAUAUAUAUAUAUAUAUUAUAUAAGUAGGGCUAGAAUACUUUACACAUAUCACGAGACCCCAUGCCAGUGAUACUUGUGCUGUUUUAGCCCUUGAUGGAGGAUGUUAAGGUCUGAAUGAUUGGUGGUAGGUGGUGGUAGGGUGAAUAUGUUUGAUCCAAAGGCAUUUGUAAUAAAAAAGUAGUAUCGUCAAUGGCUAAAAACGUGCAUAGCAACUAUUGGAUGAGUACCUUGAAAAGUAUCUCUAGAUGAACUAUAUAUAUAUAUAUAUAUAUAUAUAUAUAUAUAUAUAUAUAUAUAUAUAUAUAUAUAUAGAGCUAGGCCUGGUCAUAGACACAUGGUAAACACGGAAGACCUCCGAUGCUACCAAGUUGUUUUUCAAAUGAUGUGGCUCCUUCCAAAUCGACGAUCGGCUCCGUUAGACUUGAUCUACACUAUAAAAAAUAUUUGGAAACUAAAUUUUAUAAUUUUUCGGUAUCAUUUACCUAUCAAACAAGUAGUCUAAAAAUGAACGGCUGUGAAUAAAAAUCUCAUAGAAAAUGAUGAUAAAAGACUUGAAUUUAAGAUCAGAGAUAUUGAUCUUAGUCUAAAUAGUCAAAAGAAUUUUCUAUAAAAAUUUCAUCAGAUUUGGAUUGUUUUACACUGUUAAAUUUACAAAUGUAUCACAUCUACCAUUAAAAUUGUCAAUUUUAAGACCUUUUGAUCACUAGCCAAAUGAUGUCGAAAAAUUAUGAAAUUUAGUUUCUAACUACUUUCAAUAGAGUAGAUCAAGUCUAACGGAGCCGAUCGUCGAUUUGGAAGCCGCAUCAUUGAAAACAACUUGGUAGCACGGAGGCUGCCGUGCUAGCGAUAGUAUACCACCCUAGCUCUCUCUCUCUCUCUCUCUCCUCGUCCUCCGUUGGCCACACCUCGAUCUUCGGGCGACCGCAGUGAGAGAGAUGUCCGAGUGGCUGUCGUCCAGUCGAUGGCGAGACCCUGGAUUCGGCGGGUGGGGCUGGCUGGGGGCAUCAUCCAUCCUCGGGACAGCUAUCGGCAAUGGGUGGGGCGUCGAUCUCAUCCUCUCUCCUCUAUAUAUAUUAUAUUAUAUUAUGAUAUAUAGUAGGCUACUGAUGCCGUUUCGGAAGCUAUGGAGCCUUCGCUGCGUUCCAGCUGCUGGUUUUCGAUCGUUGGGGGCAACUUUCGAACAUCCGAUCGACUCCGUUAAACUUGAUCUAGAGUAUUUGAAGUACCUAAAAAAUAAAUUUCUUAUGAUUUUACGAUAUCAUUUGCCUAGUGAACGAAGGGGCUCAAAAUCAGCGGCUGAAAAUAAUAAUCUUACCAAAAUAUAAUAAUAUGACAUUAAAAUUUUAACAUCAACUAAGAUAUUGAUGCUUGUUUUUAAUAAGUAUAAAAAUUUUCUAUGCAAAAUUUCACGUGAUUUAAUAUUUCUACACCGUAAACUUGCAAAACGGGCUCACAUAGCCGUGCCAUUGAAAAUUUAAUUGAUUUUGAGCCCAUCUCGAUCACUAGCAAAUGUAUCGAAAAAUAAUCAAAAUUUAAUUUCUAGUACUCAGAAUACUCUAGAUCAUAGUUUAACGGAGCCGAUCCGUACGAUCCGAAAGUCGACAAGUCGAAACAAAGCUGGAAGCAUGAAGCUUUCAUCGUUUCGAGUAGCAAGUAACCUCACUCUCUCUCCUAGUCUCCAGGCAUCCUGAGCAGCUCUGCUCAUCUCUCUCUCUGUAUCAUAUAUAAUAGUAUAUAUAUAUAUAAAAGAAGUAGAGAAAUGAGAGGGGAGUCCACCGGUGGACCUCGCCUCUCAUGUGUCCACGAGGGCCACUUUGCCUCGUGGACCCCCCGUGCUACCCACCACACCAAGACCGCCAUUUUUUUAGCGUCCACGCAGACCCCGCGCGCGCGCGCUCGUGCUGGCACCGCCCACCCCCCCCGGCUCGCCCUCGCCCGGCGGCCACAGCGCCGGAGCCCACCCCCGCGCCCGCUCCAUCGCCCGCCCCGCGCUCGCUCCUCGCACCCCGCGCCGCCCCCGCGCCUCGCGCCCUGCGCCGCGCCGCGCAUGCGCUAGCGCCUGCCCCGCACCUGCUCUCGCGCCUCGGCCUCCUCUUGACACGUGUGCAGUUAUUGAGGAAUAAUAUAUAGUUAUAGAUAGAUUAUAGAUGAGCACCGAAAUAAUCUCUUAUUUAAUAACUUUCUAUCUCUAGGUAUCAUGAAAAUUGGUGAAAAAUAUUAUAUUUAUUUAUAGAACACCCUUUUGUCAAUGAUGAUCUAACCCACAUCUAAAAGGGGUUCAGAUCGCUUUCACUUGGAAGGAAAGAUACAAUCAAAGCCACUUGAACACUAUCUUGAAUGAAACAUGCAUGCUUACCUCAAGCUUUUAACCAAAUCACUGGUACUGCAGUGGUUAAGUUCGUGCAAUAUUACUAAUACAUUCCAUAGUAGGGUGUAUAUUUUACAUCCACUUUAUUUAAAAAUUAUUAUUUUUGUAUUUGUCACAUCAACUAUUUUUUAUUUUUAUUAAAAACAAUUUAGAUUUUUUUGAAUUCUAGAAUAAGAGAUAUAAACUCUAUGCCCUCCCUCUUUUCUGUGGGUGUAUAUAAAUAGAAUUUCUGUAACCACUACUCAGAUAUUUGCUGGCUUAUUUUCCAAGAUAUAUAGAAUAUUAAAUAGUCACUUAAUGUCAUUAAAUAUAGGGUUAAUUUCACACAGAUUCCUGCAAAUAUAGUGAAUGGCAAAUAUAUCGCUAAAAAGUUCAACUUUCAUAUGUUGUCCCUAUAAAAGUUAUAACAUUUUCAAAUAUGUUCCUUUGGUUUUUUACCGUUAGAGAACUGUGUUUAUAUUUUCAAUUUUGCCAUCACAAAUAUAUCCCUCAAAAAACCAUAAUAGUAUAAUAUAAAUGGAUAAAAAUGUCAAACACUAAUCAGGAUUAAGUAUUUAACCUGCGGUUAACUAAAUUUUUUAACGAAUUCUUACGGUGGGGACAUAUUUGAAAACAUCAAGAUUCAGCGGGGAUAUAUUUGAAAACGUCAGGACUUUUGUAGGAAUAACAUAUGAAAGUUGAACUUUGUACGAAUAUAUUUGUCAUUCAUUAUAUUUGCAAGGACCUGUAUGAAAUUAACCCUUAAAUAUAAGGUAGAAUAUUUCAUGUUUCUAAGAAUCAAAUUAAAUAAUUUCUCAAUAUGAUGCACCUACCUGUUGGAUAAUCUAUAAAUAAACACUUUUCAAUAGCUGACAUUUUAUCCAUUUGGCCCUGCAAAAACUGUGUUAAGCCUAAGUUGGCAAUUAAAAAGUAGCGAUAACAAAUUGGAGCUUUAGCUGUAAAAACAUGUUUUGUACGGGAGAGCUCUCUCUCUCUCUCUGGUAAGUUUAUUUAAUUUUAAUUUAGUAUCUAUCUUUAAAUUUUUUUAACUAAUACCUCUUGGACCUCUAAAAUUAGUUGAUUAUUAUAUUUAGUUAAUUAAUUAUUAUUGAAUAUAAUAAUUUUUCUUAAAUGUUAGCGACUAAUUAUUUUAAUUUUACUGGCGUGUGCCGUCGAAAACGUUUUAGGAUAAUUAAGGUUCCAUUAUAGCACAAGGCGAGGCGUCCCAAACUGCAAGAAGGUCCUUCUCUGAUUUGAGGCUUAAUAUGAAUAUCCCAGUUUUAGCCCCACGAAUCUCGAACAGCUCUCUGAAAGUCCAUGCACACCUUAGUACUCCUAUGAUCCCUUUGGUGGAGGGUAGAAGCUCUGCCAAAAUCUUCGCCACAAAGAAGUGCUUGAAGAAAUCAUCAAUUGUUAUGUCUUCUGGUCCGAGAUGAACCACGCAGGAUGUUGGAGUGGCGAGGUGCUGGAGAGGAGGAAUAGAGAAGGUAGGGCGGAGGGGGAGGGGGAGAGAGGGUAGGAGGAUAGGUUCCAACAGGAGGAUAGGUAUUUCAAAUUCUAUGCACCUUUCUGGGUUUCAGUUCUACGACCUUCCACCUGACCUCUUGUUCUCAGCCAUUGCCUAGAAAUUGGCUGUCGAGUUGGGAGAGGUCAUUCCGACUAGCACUUCCCGCGCGCUUCGCUCGUCGUACCUCCAUGCCAAAGUGCUUUUGGACUUACACCUCCCUCUGCAGAAAAAUAUGAUGAUUCUCCUUAGAGGUGGGGAGGUCCUGAACACUCGCUUGGCAUACGAACGUCUACUUAGAUUUUGUGCCUUUUGCGGUCUCAUAGCACACAAUAUUGACCACUGUAAGCAUAGAAUCUCAUUGCUGGAUCGCAUCCCCUCAACCAUCUCUCCGGCUGACAGAGCACAACUUGAAGGCUUCUAAAACCGAAUUUUCCUAAAUCCCUAUCUAAAUUAGCAUUGUGCUCAGGCUCGGCGGUGCUUCAAAACCCCUGCUGAUCGUCAGAGCUUCAAAACCCUCAUUGAUCGUUAGAGAGCCAGGCGAAGGGCAAAUCAGUAAUUCUUGGAAUUCAUAACCAACCUGUAACUUUUGUGGAUGAAAUUUCAAAAAGUCCGCGCAAGGAAUUUCCGGAUCGUCUUCCAUAUAUGCAUGAAGAUUCACCCAUUGUUAAUCCGGGUCUUCCACAUAAGAUUGAUGUAAUAGAUAGUUUUUUUUGAAAAUCCUCAUUAUAGGGAGUCAGGUAUGGAAAUAUUCACUCACUUUUAGACCGAAGACGUGGGACCACCUAGCCGGAAUACACAACUCGUAGAAAAUGAAUUUGAAUCCUUGCGUGAUGGCUCUGCGCAAGGUUCUAGUCGAAAUGCUGGGUCUCCCCCUGACCCAACUACCUUGGGCAAUCCUCUCAACUUGAACUCCAAUUUGGGUGUGAUAGUUCCCUAGAAGCCCAACACCCCACAUGUGCAGCUGACCUAUGAUGCAAGGGAGAGCUCGCCUUUGCUCUUCAACACCUCAAUCAUCAUGGCUAACUCCUUGGACAAGAACGUUUGGUCUCACUUCCACCCCCGAACCACAAACCCAAGUAUUCUUCACACACUUCAAGUCACCCAUAGCUCCACUCACUGCAAAAAGAAGAUUGUAAAAUCUAAAGGCGCAAAACAACAACUAUAUGAGGCUUUAACCGAGCAACUCACGGACCCCUACUCCUACAAGGUGUUGGCACUGAUCCGCGCUGUCACUUAACAAAUGAGCACAAUAGCUUGGAACUAUUACGGGUUGGGAGGCGCCCUAACAGUUCUAUAUUCGGCCUCCAUGGUGGAGGCUACUUCACCCAAGUUCGUAUUUUUAUCUGAAACUAAAUGUAAUAUGGAUCGCUACAACUCAUUACUGUCGCUCUCCAAAAUCCGUCACCAUUUGUGAUUCCCUCACAAGGGCAUGCGGGCGGCUUUGUUCUCAUGUGGUUAGAUAACAUCAAAGCUACAAUUUUUGCGUCUUCAAAUUUCUUUAUCAUGACAACUAUCUACUCAUCUUGUGUGAGCCCUUGGCUAUUUGUGGGCGUUUAUAUCCAUCCGAAUAUCGUCAAUAAUAGCUACAUCUGGACCACACUCUUGGAUCUGAUUAAUCGAGCAUCCCUCCCGACCCUAGUCAUCGGGGGCUUCAACACAAUAAUUGAACAUGUGGAAAAACUAAGAGGGACAAGUCGCCCAUCCUUUACUUCUACUCCACAUAGGAGCUUCUAGCAAGAAAGCUGCUUCAUCGACAUUGCUCCUAGAGGGCUUGGGUAUACUUAGUCUAACAAUCGGAUUGGACGCUCUUUUGUAUUCAAAAGACUAGACCAAGCUCUUGUUGAUUCUCAGUGGCUUCUGAAGUUUCCUUUCGCCAAAUUGCUUUACCUCCUUGGGUAUCUAGUGAUCACUGCCCUCUCAUUCUCACUCUCAACCCUAAUAUCCAGCACCGCCAACGCCCCUUCAGAAUUGAAAGUUGGUUGUUCACUUUAGACAAGUUCAAAGAAAAUGUGAGUGAAAUAUGGAACGCUAACACUAUUAAAACCUUUUCGAGGAGUCUUUGUCAUAUGGCUUUCUCCCUCAGAAAUUGGGCCUCAAGACAUAGGUUAAACAUUCGACUUAGGGUGGCGAAAACUUUGAAACAGUUAACAAAACUACAGUAACUACCUGUCAACCAUCCGAAAAGAACAAGGGAGUCUUCCUUGGUGGCAUAGUACAAAGACCUCCUUCACAAGCAGGAAUUAUUUUGGGUUCAGGGGGCAAAAGAAAGCUGGGUUCUCAAUGGAGAUAGAAACACCACCUUCUUUCAUACCAGGGCGACAAUCCGGAAAAGAAAGAACACAAUCCUUGCUCUCCGAAACCCCUCUGGAACAAUUCUGUGACGCCUCAACUUCUCAAGGGGUCACCCAUCCUGUACUAUUCCGAUCAUAGCAUACUUAACUCUCUUAACCUCUUGAGCCUAACCACCACCCAAAAUGCUUAGCCGGAUUAAGAGUUUUAACCUUAUUAUAUCUUAUAUAUAGGACUACUCGGGAUCUCACAUUUUUCCCCUUUUUAGCCCCGACGUCAUCAUCAGGUUCAGACUCACAAGUAUCAGGUGAUGUGUGACUCGUCUCGCUAGCCUAAAUGGACCUUGUGGGGGAGCCACGCUCUACCCACAACAGUCAACAGCAUGAGAGCCUUACUCUCUCCGCUGUAUAACCCUGGCUUAGUCGAGACUCAUCUCACACUUCCGGCUGGUAAUUGGCUCUAAUACCAACUGUGACGCCCCAACUUUCUAAGGGAUCACCCAUUCUAGGACUACUCCCGUCCUAGCAUGCUUAACUCUCUUAACCUCUUAGGCCUAGCCAUCACCCAAAAUGCUUAAGCCGGGUUAAGAGUUUUAGCCCUAUUAUAUCUUAUAUAUAGAACUAUCUAGGGUCUUACUAACUGUGACGCCCCAGCUUCCCAGGGAGUCACCAUCCUAGGACUACUCACAUCCUAGCACGCUUAACUCUCUUAAUCUCUUGGGCCUAUCCACCGCCCAAAAUGUUUAAGUCAGGUUAAGAAUUUUAGCCCUAUUAUAUCUUAUAUAUAGGACUAUUUGGGUCCCACAUUUUUCUCUCUUUUAGCCCUGACGUCCUCAUUGGGCUUAGACUCACAAAUAUCAAGCGAUGUAAGAUUCGUCUCGCUAGUCUAAACCGACCUUGUGGUGAGCUGCACUUUAUCCACAAUAGUCAAUAGUAUGAAAGCAUCGCUCUUCCCGAUGUAUACCUGGCUCAGCCGAGACUCACCUCAUACUUUCGAUUGGUAAUUGGCUCUAAUACCAACUGUGACGCCCCAGCUUCCCAAGGGGUCACCCAUCCUAGGACUACUCCCAUCCUAGCACGCUUAACUCUCUUAAUUUUUUGGACCUAGCCAUCGUCUAAAAAUACUUAAGUUAGGUUAAGAGUUUUAUCUCUAUUAUAUCUUAUAUAUAGGACUAUCUGGGGUCUUGCAAAUUCUGUCGGACAAGUUGGAACUAAAAUCUUUUGUCGACCAGAACUUCACUAAUUUCUAUACCACUCCCCACACUUGCCUGCUAGCAGAAGGUAGUUGGUACUGUAUCGAGCGGCUGAUAAAUAAAAUUUCACUAGAGAAGGCGUCGUCACUCUGCGAACCCCUCAGCUUCGCCGAACUCCGAGAUGCCCUUUUUAGCAUGAAGCCGGAUAAGUCUCCGGGCACAGAUGCCUUCUCCGCUCACUUCUACUAGUUGACUGGGAUCUGUUAAAAUGAGACAUAUUUCAUCUUGUGCAAAAAAAGUUUGCAACGCAGAAGGCACCGCAUUUUAUUAACCAGAUCAGCAUUGCACUGAUCCCAAAAAAGAAGUGACCCAUAGACAUCAGCGACUUUCGACCUAUCGCUUUGUGUAAUAUUCUCUACAUGUGUUUGACCAAAAUCUUAGCAAAUAGACUAAAGCCGCUGCUCUUAUCUUUAAUCAGCGAAGAACAAUCUGCUUUCGUACCUAAGCAGAACCUCUUUGAUAAUACUUGAUUGUUUAGGAGGUUUUGCAUUCUUUCAAGACUAUAAGGCGGCAACCAAGUGCUUUCGCAGCCAAGAUAGAUCUGGCUAAGGCAUAUGAUCGACUCAAUUGAGAUUUUAUACAAAAAAUGCGUCAAAGUUAUGGUUUUCCGGAGAAGCUAUGUGCAAUGAUCAAGUGGUGCAUCGCAACCAUCCGCUUCUCAAUACUUGUGAAUAAUGAGAUCGGGAAAUGCUUUUCCUCUACAAGAGGUAUAAGGCAAGGAUGCCCUCUCUCACCUUAUAUCUUUAUCUUACCUAGUAAUACUUUUUCGUUUUUGAUUAAAAAUUCUAUUCAUUUUGACUAUAUUGACGGCCUCAAACUCUCGCUCUCGAGCCAUGUGCUGUCACAUGUUAUGUUUGUGGAUAACCUAUUUAUUUUUAUGAGAGCGACUAAUGAGAAAAUGGUUCGACAAAGAAAAAUUCUAUCUAAUUUCUACAUGAUUUAGGGGGAAGAGAUAAAUUGUCACAAAUCAUCGCUCAUAUUCAGCAAAUGUACUUCUUCGAAUCUCUAUUCUAUUAUCCAAAACAUCUUCAACAUAUCAGCACACCAGGGGAACGAUCAUUAUCUAGGCAAUCCUCUAUUUUUGGAGAGAUCCCUCUCAAAUACUUUCACUUUCAGUAUCGAGAAGCUUCAUUCAUGGUUGGCAGGUUGGAAGGCUCAUUGCCUAUAGCACGCGGGUCGCCUAACCCUAAUUCAACCAAUACGCUCUGCAAUUUCGAGAUAUUUCUUGUGCUUCACUACUCUUCCAACGAAAUUCCUACACCACAUUGCCAGUGUUAUAAAAGACUUUUGGUGAGGAUUCAAAUCCGGAACAUGACACUUUUAUCUGAAAGCUUAGUCGAAACUAACUUGCAGCAAGAACAUCGGGGGGUUAGGCCUUUCCUCUAUGAGCACUCUUAACAGAUUGGUUGCAGUACCAUAUGCAGCAGUUGGGUCGGCCCUAGUGUGCAAACUUGUAUGGUCUUUCCUUACAAGACCGAACUAUCUUUGGGCACGAGUCCUAACUAGCAAAUAUAUUAGGGAUGAUUUUUGGAGAACUCCAGACAGUACAGCGAACGCGAUUAUCUGGCGUUCAAUAUUACAAUCUCGCAAUGUUAUGGGUAUUACUAUCGAUCGACACUCUGAUCCGAGGUUUACCUUGCGAUUAAUUUCAUCAACAAAGGCCAUCUCCCAAGUCAGAUACGCCCACGCUCGGCACUUUGGGAAAAGGUUUGGAAAAUUAAACAUAUUAUGCCUCAUGCUAGAAUCUUUGCAUGGCGCAUACUUGCAAACAUUUUAUCUAUCAAAGUGAUUCUUGCUGCAAAAAUUACUGAACUAUUUUGAUGGCAUGUACCCUUUAUGCAAUGCUGAAUUGGAGACAACUUAACAUCUAUUCUUUCGAUACAAACUUGUCAAGAGGGUUUGCUUUCGUCUAACCUUGGUCUCCGCACUGCUGACCCAGGCAAAAACCUAUCGUAUUAGUUGACUUUCAUUCUGACAAGUAGGAGCAUGGAGAAUUGUUUGAAGUGAAAAAAAAAAUUAGGGUAAAGCAAUCCUAAUCAUAAUCGAAACCGAUUAGAUUCAGACUCAUACGCACCGGCGAACCAACAUGAGUCAACAUCCUCCAACUCUAGCCUACCAAAUGCGCCUGUGGGGAAUUGGGCCUCAAAUGCAGUAUUGUACUCCUAGUUUGCAGCAGUAAGGAAUUCAAUAUCUAGAGUACAACCGCUCAUGGCCAGAUGGUUGGUCAAAUUGACCUUAUAAAACAAAGAAAUCUUUGGUAGCCUCAGACGAUGUAAGAUUUAAUAGCUGCUUAGGGACACAGUCGAGAGGUUCGCCAAUCUCAUGACCACGUCGCGGCGGGACCCGCCAAUCAACCAUCUCUAGUUAGUCCUGCAGCAAUAGGUGGUUGAACAAUCUAGUGUAGCACACUGGACCUUUGCAAAUUGCGAGGUUCGAGUGUUCGAGCUGUGUUCUGAGUCCUUCCAGACUUCCUUGUGGGUCGUUGACAGUGUUCCUACCUAUGACUCGUAUCCCGAGAAUUGUGGUUUAAAGCUGUGUGCCAAAACCCGAAAAAUCGGAUUCUUGGCCAGCUCUCGGGUAGCUUCUGGGGGUCUUAUACCGGUACAAGGUUGAUGGUUGUACCGGUACAGAGCCGCUGAACCCCCCCCAACCCGAGCCUCGGGUUGAAGCUUUUCGUGGGGCUUGUACCGGUACAAGGGCCCGUGUACCGGUACAAGGGAGCAUUUUCGUGCAGUCUGGACUGCAAGGGUGUUUUUGCUUUUGUAGCCUCCUUAUAUCAACACCCACGCCCCUUAGGGCCUUCCCUGAGCUGAGAACACAGGGAGACAAGGUAAGAGGAGCCCCACCUUGCCCCUCUUUGGUUUUGUUAUGAUUUUGUUGGGUUUUAAAAAGAUUAAACUUCUCUUUUUGCUUGUUGGAGGCUCUUCCACCAUUGUUGAGGCUUGGAGCUUGGGUUUGGAGCUUGGUGGAGGGAAGAUCCUAGAAGUUUGAGGACUUUGGGCUUGGAUUGAAGCUUCUAAGAGGUAAGUAGCAAGAUCAUUUUCUCUAGUUUUGGAUUUUGGAGUUUUCUUUGAGAUGAAACCCUAGAUUGAAAACUUAGGGUUGUUUUUGGGCAUUUUGAACCUAGGGCUUUUGGAGCUAGAUUCUUUGGUUUAGAACCUUCCUUAGUCUUGGAUUGGAAGGAUUCUAGCCCUCCUUUGGAGCUUAGGAGAGGAUUCUCACUCUUGAGGUGAGUUUUGACCCUUUUGCUUUAUGGUUAAUGAUUGAGCUAUUUGCUCUUCGUUUCGUUUAGGUGACCCUAUUUUUGAUGUUUCUAGGGUACUAGGAAGCUAGUGGAUACCUCCGUUCGGCGAAACGAAGGUUUCGAUUUUGGUAGGUUUGACCUAGCCUAUAGUAUGAAAAAUUCUCAUAUCGGGUGAUUUAUAUUUCGUAAAAUGAAAAAGCAUGCAUAUUCAUACUAAAUGUAUUUAUUAUGAUUUUUAGAAUGCUUAAAAUGCCUAUUUUACAUGUGAUGAAAUUUUGGACCUCUAUGUAAUAGAGAGUUGCAUAUGAAGCUUAUGCGGGAUUUUUAGCAUUCUUAUGUUGGACCAUGUUUCUCAUAGUGUAAGUGAGCUUUGAUUCAUGCAUUUAAACCUAAGUUUAAUUGAGACAUGAAAGAUAACUAAUAUGCCAUAAAGAGGCACCGAACUUGAAUGUUAUGUGAUUUAGAGAGCUAAUGUCAUCAAGCGGCAUUGAGCUCGGGAGAUGGGUGAACUUAGUGGAUAGGGCCAAUGAGAAAUGUGGAACAUGCUUAAAUAUUGAAUGUCUAAGUGUCAUAAAGGGGCACUAGACCUAGAGAACAUUGGAACUUCACUUUGUGACUUAGAACUAGAUCUUCGGGAUGCUAGUGACUAUACCAUGUUAGAGACAUGAUGAUUGGAUACUUGAGACGUUGACUAUGCUUGCUUGCCAUUUGUGCUCCUUCGCACAUGCUUGUGAGGGUCGCUCCCUACAAGCCGGCACUCCGGAGUUAGCCUACGCGACCUAUGUUCGCUCGUACGGUAUUGAGAAACCUACGGGGUCGGGAGGGAUAGACUCAUUCCUAGAGUGGAAAUGCUAGAGCUACCACCGACACUUAGGCGGCACAAGCUGGACUACAUAUUUGUAGAGUCUAGAACAUGUUGGAAACAAUGAUAUUGAACCGGGAAUGGAUAAUCACUACUAGAUAGGCUUAGUAGUUGGAUUACUUUGACAUGCUUAUGAUAUAGCAUUUAGACAUAUAGCAUACUUGCCUGUUUCAUUUAUCGCAGUGUAGUAUACUCGGUUGCUUGAUAGAGCUUAUUCCUUAUAUAUUGACACAUUGGAUCGUGAUGUUUACUCGUUUAUUAUGUUGAGACAUAUCAGCUAUGCAUUGAACAUAUUCCCUUAUUACAGAAUAGAUGUACAUCAUGUUGACAUCAUGCUUACCUGAGACUUAGUAGUUUAGCAUUUUAAUUAUGCUUUCAUAAUUGCAAUUUAUCACUAUUAUUAUUAUUGCUUAUCGUAUGUCUGCCGCGAACGAACCGGCCCCGCCGUAGGAUGUUUCUAGGGCGAGUGGUCAUUCAUGGUAGAGAUAAAAUUUGUUUAUAUUUUAUUUUGAAAUCAGGAUUAUAGGUUCAUGGCUUCCAACAGACUCAAGAAUCUGUUGUUAAUUAUCCCACACUUUCGGUGUUAAGGAACCCUCGAUUAAGAGACCAAAUAUAAAUGCUGAUAAUAAAAGAGACAAAACAGGCAAAUGAAAUUUUAUUGAUAUGAUUUGCCGUUUACAUGGCUUAAGCAGGGGCAUACCCCCACUGUACAUGAAUUGAAUCCUAAGUGUAUGUAUUAGGAUUCAGUCGAAUUUGAGGUUGACUAGGUCCUAAGUAUAUGUGUUAAAACCUAGUCAAUAUUAGACUCUGUAUAUUAGAGUCUAAUUGGCUCUAAGUAUAUGUCUUAGAAUCCGAUUAUGUCCAUCUUGGUUAUAUGUUCCAAGAUGGAGAUGUGAUCAGACCUCAAGUAUAUGUAUUGAGAUGGGUCGAACUAGAUCCUAAGUAUAUGUGUUAAGAUCUAGUCGAUAUUAAACUCUAUGUAUUAGAGUCUAAUUGGCUCUAAGUAUAUGUCUUAGAGUCCGAUUAUAUUCACCUUGGUUGUAUGUUCCAAGAUGGAGAUGUGACCAGACCUCAAGUAUAUGUAUUGAGGUGGGUCGAAUUACCCGAAAGUGGAGAGUGGCUAAUUCCCGAGUAUAUGUAUCAGGAUUAACCGAGUUUCACUCUAGUUAUAUGUGCUAGAAUGAAGGUCUGACUAAGCCCUAAGUAUAUGUAUUAGGGGUAGUCGGAUUUGAACUCUAAGUAUAUGUAUUAGAGCUCGAUCGGGUAAGGAUUUCACUCUAGGUAUNUAACCGAGUUUCACUCUAGUUAUAUGUGCUAGAAUGAAGGUCUGACUAAGCCCUAAGUAUAUGUAUUAGGGGUAGUCGGAUUUGAACUCUAAGUAUAUGUAUUAGAGCUCGAUCGGGUAAGGAUUUCACUCUAGGUAUAUGUGCUAGAGCAAAAGGCUGGCUAGACCCUAAGUAUACGGGUUAGGACUAGUCGAGCAUGAUUUGACUUCUACUCUAGGUAUAUGUGCUAGAGUAAAAGACUGACUAGACCCUAAGCAUAUGUGUUAGGGUGAGUCGGAUAUGGUUUGACUUCAGCUCUAGGUAUAUGUGCUAGAGCAGAAGGUUGACUAGACCCCAAGUAUAUGUAUUAGGGCUAGCCGGAUGAACUCUAAUUAUAUGUAUUAGAGUCCGAAUGAAGUUGAUAUCAUUUGACCGAAUUCUAAGUAUAUGGCUUAGAACUCUGUCGAUUUGGAGAUGUUUCGCCUUAGUUAUAUGUGCUAAGACGGUUGACAUAGCCCUAAGUAUAUGUAUUAGGGGUAGUCGAUAUUUAAUUUUUACUCUAGGUAUAUGUGCCAGAGUAAAAAAAGGUUCACGAUGAGAUUUGGGUAUUGGUUCAUGAGGUUUGGUUCAUGAAUUUGGAUAUGGUUCAUGAAUUUGGUGUAUGAACUUGGUCAUGAACUUGGAUAUGGUUCAUGGAUUUGGUAUAUGGAUUUGGUUCAUGAACUUUGAUAUGGUUCACGGGUUUGGUGUAUGAAUUUGGUUCAUGAACUUGGAUAUGGUUCAUGGGUUUGGUGUAUGGAUUUGGUUCAUGAACUUGGAUUGGUUCCGGGUUUGGUGUAUGGAUUUGGUUCAUGAACUUGGAUAUGGUUCAUGGGUUUGGUGUAUGGAUUUGGUUCUAACUUAGCGACAUUUCGGUCGUUUGAAUAUGGGUUUAGUUUAGCAACAUUUCGGUCGUUUGGAUUCGGGUUUAGUUUAGCGACAUUUCGGUCGUUUGAAUUUGGGUUUAGUUUAGCGACGUUUCGGUCGUUGGAUUUGGUUGUUUUGGGUUUUGAGGUUUUGUUUGUGGACUUUGGGUUUUGGGAUUUAUUUGUGGAUUUUGGUUUUGGGAUUUAUUUGUGGACUUUGGGUUUUGAAAUUUUAUUUAUGGACUUUGGGUUUUGGGUUGGGUUAAACCUCUUGUAUUUGAUUUGGGAUGAACCAUAAUAUUUUGGUUCGGGAUCCAUCAGGACUUGGUUUGGGUUGGAUUCUUUACAGUUUGGUUCGGAUUGGACGACUUCGGUUCGGGUCGGAUCCUUCAUGGUUCGGUUCGGGUUGGAUCCUUCAUGGUUUGAUUCGGAUCGGACCACUUGGGUUCGAGUCAAGUCUUUCCUGGUUCGGUUCAAGUCGGAUCCACUUUGGGUCGAGUUGAAUCCUUUGUGGUUCUGUCCGGAUCAGAUCCACUUCGGAUCAAGUUGAAUCCGUUUGGUUUGGAUUAGAUCCACUUCAGUUCGAGUCGAAUCCUCCCUGGUUCGGUUCGGAUCGGAUCCAUUUCGGUUCAAGUUGAAUGCUUUAUAGUUUGGUUCGAAUCGGCUCCACUUCGGUUCGAGUCGAAUGCUUCUUGGUUCGGUUCGGAUUGGAUCCACUUCAGUUCAAGUUGACUCCUUCCUGGUUCGGUUCAAGUCGAAUCAAGUUGAAUCCAUUUGGUUUGGUUCCUUUGUGGUUCGGUUUAGACCAGGUCUGGUCCGGUUCGGAUCCACUUUAUUUCAAGUCGAAUCUUGUUCGGUUCGAUUCAGAUUGGAUCCACUUCGGAUCAAAUUGAAUCCAUUUGGUUUGGUUCAGAUCGGAUCCGCUUUGGUUCGAGUCAAACCCUUCCUGGUUCGGUUUAAGUCGGAUCCACUUCGGAUCGAGUUGAAUGCUUUAUAGUUUGGUUCGAAUCGGCUCCACUUCGGCUGGAGUCGAAUGCUUCUUGAUUCGGUUCAGACGGGAUCCGGUUAGGUUCAAGUCGAAUCCCUUAUGAUUUGGUUCAGACAGGAUUCGGUUCGGUUCAAGUUGAAUCCCUUAUGAUUUAGUUCGGACCGAAUCCGGUUCGGUUCAGUUCAGAUCGGGUCCACUUCGGUUCGGGUUGGAUCCUUCAUGGUUCAAUUUGAGUUGAACCAACUUGUAAUUUCGUUCAGGUCCAACCGGUUCAUUAUUUGGUUCAAAGUUAUGAGUCUCAGUUCGGUUUGAGUUGAACCGGCNGUUCGGUUCAGCUUGGAUCGGAUCCACUUCAGUUUGAGUUGAAUCUUCUAUGGUUCGGUUCAAAUCAGAUCCACCUCGGUUCAAGUCGGAUCCUUUGUAGUUUGGUUCAGAUCGGACCCACUUUGGUUCGAAUCGAUUGCUUCCUGGUUCGGUACGGAUUGGAUCCACUUCGGUUCAAGUUGACUACUUCCUGGUUCGGUUCAAAUCGGAUCCACUUAGGUUCAAGUUGACUCCUUCCUGGUUCGGUUCAAGUCGGAUGUACUUCGGGUCGAGUUGAAUCCUUUAUGGUUCAGAUGAGAUCCGGUUUGGUUCAGUUUGGAUCGGAUCCGCUUCGGUUUAAGUUGAAUGUUUUAUGGUUUGAUUCGAAUCGGCUCCACUUCAGUUCGAGUCGAAUGCUUCUUGGUUCGAUUCGGAUUGGAUCCACUUCGGUUCAAGUUGACUCCUUCCUUGUUCGGUUCAAGUCGGAUCCACUUCGGAUCAAGUUGAAUCCUUUGCAGCUUGGUUCAGACCGGAUCCGGUUCGAUUCAGUUCGGAUUGGAUCCGUUUCGGUUUAAGUCGAAUCCAUUAUGAUUUGGUUUAGCCGGGAUCUGGUUCGGUUCAGUUCUGAUCGGAUUCACUUUGGCUUAAGUUGAAUCUUGUUCGGUUCGGUCCAGACAGGAUCCGGUUUGGUUCAGUUCUAAUCGGAUUCACUUUAGCUCAAGUUGAAUCCUGUUCGGUUCGGUCCAGACAGGGUCUGGUUUGGUUCGAAUCCGGUUUGGUUCAAUUCUGAUCGGAUUCACUUUAGUUCAAGUCGAAUCCUUUAUGAUUCGGUUCCGUUCGGAUCGGACCCACUUCGGUUCGGGUUGGAUCCUUCAUGGUUCAAUUCGGAUCAGACCCACUUCAUUUCAAGUUGAAUCCCUUAUGGUUUGGUUUAAGCUGAACCGACUUAUAAUUUGUUCGACUUGGCUUGGCUCGAACCUCCUAUGCUUUUAUUUGAGUUGAACCCGGCGUAUGCUUUGGUUCGACUUGACUUGGAACCCUUCUGUGGUUCAGUUCAAUUUGAACUAAUUCGUGGUUCGGUCUAUUUGAUCCUCAUGUGGUUCAGUUUGAGUAGAACCAACUUGUAAUUCUGUUCAGGUCGAACCGGUUUAUUGUUUGGUUCAAAGUUUUUGAACUUUAGUUCGAUUUGAGUUGAACCGGCUUGUGAGUAAGUGAUGAAUUAGACUAAUUUCAAAUAGUCCAAAUCCAACUCUUUUAUUUCUUGUAUUAUUUUUUAUUCUUUUUUCUUUAUUUUUUUUGUCUUCCUUUCUUCUUUUUUUUUUUUUUUUUUUUUUGCUGAUUCUUCCUUUCUUUUUUUUCUUUUUUUUUUGACUGCAAAUCCCUCUCUCUCUGUAUGAAACCGAGAGGAGAGAGAGAGAGAGGAAUUCUCCUCUGUCAUUUUUUCUUUGUUUUUGAUUCUUCUUUUCUUUUCUUUUUUUUUUUUUUUUGAUUCUUUCAUUCUUUUUUUUUUGACUGAGAGAAAUAAAAAAAAACUCUUCUUUUGUUUUGUUCUUUCUCUUUCUUUUCUUUCUUUUCUUUUUUUUUUUUUUUGCUGUUUUCUUUUUUUUUUUUUUUUUUUCAAAUAUACGAAAUUAAUCACAUUCGAUCAAUCGAACGAAGAUGUCGAAUUCAAACGGAACCGUUCAUUUUUUAUUAUCAUUUGUUGUACGCGGAUUUAUCGUGUCGAGCCUAUCAUGAAGAUGGCCGCUCGAUUUACGCUUUCGACCAUGUCGAGCCUAUCGCGAAGAUGCGCACGGUUUACGUUUUCGACAAUGUCGAGCCUAUCACGAAAUGGCUGCACGGUUUUCGUAACAAGAUAAAUGGUGCUCGAUCACCAUUUUGACCAGUCGAGCUAUCACGAAGAUGGCCGCACGGUUUACGUAGUAAAAUUCGGUUGUUUGUUCGACCAUGUCGAGCCUAUCACGAAGAUGGCCGCACGGUUAGAGAUUAGCGAUGCAUACGUACGGCGAAAAUGACGACUUGAUGUAAAAUUUGAUCGGUUCGAAACCUAUCACGAAGAUGGUCGGGUUGAUCAAACCAACAAAAAGUCGCACUUGCACUAUUCGUAUGCAUGCAUUUCUCUUGUUGUCGUCGGGGAAGUCGCCAUGAUCGCCGUCGUCAUCGUCGUCGUCGGAAUCGUCGUAGCCGUCGCCGUCGUGAGUGAAAGAGCCAAGCUUUUUUUUUCUUUUUUCUUUUUUUUUUUUUUUUUAACUGGUUCGGAUUUUGGGGGAGGGGUGUGCAACACAGCACACCCCCUCCCUGCUUGCUGCCAGCGCCAGAGGGGAGGAGGGGGUCAAAUACCCCUGUGGACAAAUAGAAAGGAAAAGAACAAUAGAAAGAUUUUUUUUUUAUUCUUUCCUUUUCUUUGCUUUCAUUCCUUUUCUUCUUUUUAUUUCCUUCUCUUUUUUUUUUUGAAUCUUUCCUUUCCCCGUUUCUUUCCUUCUUUAUUUUUAAUUCGAAUUUCGAAUUUUUUUUAUCUCAAACAUCAUACUUACCUUUUUCUUUUGGGGCCUAGUGGAGUAUAGAGCUGAGGUCAGUAAUUGCCCACUGGGAACUAUAAAUUAUAGUUCUCACGCCCUCUUUUUCUAGAAGUUUUUCAGAGCCUUCCGCGCAGGGGGAGGCCAGGGAUAGCGGAAAGGAUAUCGCCUCGGGCUAGCGUGCUCGCCGAGGGAUCGUUCGAUAGGUGGUCUACCUCUCGUGUUCUUCUUUUUGUGAGAGGUUGAGGGUUUCACCAUUGUACUAGAGACCACCCAUUUUUGUACCUUUGAGACUUUUAUUGUACUACUUUAUGGUUUACUUUUAUUGUUUUAGUUGUAUCCUUUUACUAUUGUCAGAGAUGAUAGAAUCAUACUGCUCUGAUAUCAUUAGUUGUAGUUCUUUCCUUGUGCUAUAUUUCUUGCUUUUACUUCCGCUUCCAUUCUAGACGCCUUAUAUGUGUAGACAUAUGGCUGGUCUGGGCGCGCUACCGGGAGGGUCUCCGCCGGUCCCGGGGCAUGACACCUAGAGAGAACCUAAACCAGUAAAAUUAAUUAGUAUAGUAGCAAUAGGUGGCCGAACUAUCUAGAAAAAAUCUAAAUCAGUAAGCUUUUACAAUCCUUGGUUAUCACAACGAAGGGUUUGAUACCAACACAACAAUCAAGCCAGAAACUUCCACCACGAAAAUUUUCUGACUAAUAAUAAUCUUAGUUUAAGUGGGUAACAAGCACGGAGGGCAGCAAAGAAACAACCACUAUGUCCUACCCGCAACCAAGCUGAGGGAUCAGAAAGUCCACAACAACCAGAAAAAAUAGUGUGGAUUUUUCACAUCAAAAUGAUUAAUGGAUGCCCCCCAAAACAAGCUUGCUAAGGCCAAAUGGGAUUUGAAUAGAAAGGCUGAAGUUCUCCAGGUGCACUUUGGCCUAAACAAUAGGCAGUAAAACUGGCUAAUCUACCUUAUCCGGCUGAGAUUGAUAGGUAAUAUAAAUAUUCAAGGGGUUCAGAUUCUUAAAGUUUCAUAACUUCUCUUGAAGAGACAAGCAUUCCAACUUAAAGCAUGUUGCCCUUCACAAUCAUUGCAGCGAAGCAACUACAAAUCCAUAUGUCAAACUUUGGCCUUUUCACCUCUCCUUGAUUUGGAGAGUAUUCACUUGGUAAAUCCUUUGGCAGAAGGUUCUAUUGUCAGCUCAGAGUGGUUAGUGAGUGAGCUCCAUGAACAAUUCUAUCAUGUGGAACCUGAAGUUUUGCUGGCAGACUUGGUCGUACAUGAUUUGACAGCAGCCAAAUGAGCAGUUGAAAAGUACCAGGCUUAGUUCAAGACAGCCAAGAUUUGUUACUUCUUUCAAAUUUCUGAGCACGAGUAUGUUCGUUACGCCCUUGUCGGCCUAAUGUUCAAGAUAAUGGAUCAUUUGUAGGUCUAGGAGUUCAACAACCUAUUCUAUUUCGAAUAGAGGGUUGCUCCCUAUGAGAGGCAUUUGAAGGAAAAGCAUAUAUUCGUAGAUAAAGAUCACUUCUCGGCCUAAGUCUCAAUGGUGAAAGUGUGGGCCAAGAAAAAAAGAAAGAUAAUCAUCCAUAUGCCAAGUGAAAUCUUUACAUGAAGUGUCAUCUCGAGGUUUCAAUGGAAAAGUCUCCUUGAAAAGUCAAGAAACCCUACUACUCAAUUUAGAAAAGUUUAAGUAGAUCGAAGGUGGUUCUAAAAAGGGUAUCAAAGAAGCACUUAUGAGAGAGUCAAAUUCUCUUCAGUCCACAUAGGGCUGCAAACUCUGGAGAGCAGAGAGUUUCGAGACCAAGAACUAUUAAGAUUCUGGCUAGUUCAGCAGAAGGUCUCAAAGUCGAGAACUAUUAAGGUUCUAGAUAAUUUGCCCGCUAAUCGGCGGGCCAAAGCCAGAUCUUUGUUUUCACCAAAAAGAGAAAUUUAGAAGUUCAUGAAGCCCAUAGAGCCUGGGAGAAGUUCAAGAGCCAUCGCGCCUAGAUGAAAGGGCUAGUGGCUGAAAAGAGCAGGCUUAUUCGGAGAGAAGUGGAGAGAGACCAAACCACACAACCAAAAGAAACUAAGGCGAAGGCACAGGAGUUGAGGUGACAUUUCAUGUGUGUGAGGCAUCUUUUCAACUUCAUUAGGCAAAAUUAAAAUCUAUAUCCCACUUUCGGCCGAUGAGGAGGACAAUUGUUAGUUUGAUAUUUCGGCCGAUGUACUUUAUUGGGAUUUUAUUUGGAAAGAUUAACAUCUUGAUUUUUUUUUUUUUUCGAGAUUCAAUAAAAAUUAUUGCAAUUAUGUUUCCAAUUUAGACUCAAGCUUAUCAAUAAAGUACAUUAGGAUUCAGAUUAUGGAGGCAAUAAAUACAACACAAACAAUUAGAAAGAAAAAACUUACAACAUGGACAAGAUUUUUUUCUCAUACAACAAUAACCCUUAAGGUGAUUUUGAAGUAGCACUAAUUUUUCUAGUCAUACCGAAGGUAGAGAAGUUUAUUUUAGUUAACUUUUCCAUUAACAAUAGAGACUAACAAUAUUUUCACUAGCUAUAGUAACAGUAAUAGUUGAUGCCUCAACUUCCUAAGUUUUCCACCAAUUGGAGAGAUUUAGGUCAAAAUUUCAAAUCCUGUAGUUUCUUUUUUCUGAGUCCUGAGUCAAUCGAAUCACAUUCAUCCAUAUUUGGUCCAAAUUAAGCGGCCGAAUGUAGCAUGUCUUCAUCAAGGUCAAAUCACAGUGGAAAACCCGAGCCAAAAAGCUUGAGUUUUCAACCAUUCUAAAUCUCAACUUUUGUGACUAGUAAAAGAGCCUAUUUUCUUUUUCUUUUCAGCAAACAUAUAUAGACUAAGUAAUCAAGAUUUAGCUCAAAGACAAUUUGCAACGGUUUGACUAUUCUAUUAACCAUCUCAAAAAAAUAUACGAAACCUUUUUCAAACAAUUCGAAAUCUUACAACUUAACAAUAUAGAUCGUUAAUUAGAAUAUUCCAUAGUCAAAGUUAAGAUCAUAAAUUAAGAUACGUUUGAAUGAUGAUAUAUUAUCAUCCAAUAAUUUAUAUAUUAUGAGAAUUUUCUUAUAUAAUUGCAAGCUAUAAAUAACUUAAUUUUAGCUCCUUUCGAGAUUUUUAUGUUUAUAAUUCUGUUAGUAGAGUGGUGUAUCUCACUAUAAGAUAGAUUUAUGUUAUUUUGAUAACAUAAUUUAAAGAUCAGAUAUGGUAUGUUUUCUAACUCAGAUAAUAACUUUUUUAACCUACCAAAAAGUUAUAAUAUCUUUUAUUUAUAUUCAAAAAAUAUGUAUAUACAAGCAGUUAAUGAGCACAUAAAACACCUUAGUAAACCUACACUUGAAUUGGAGCAGAAAAAAUUAUCCACCUAAUAUUUGGACCAUGUUUCGGACACGUGGGUCCCACACUAAUACUCCUUUGUGGUUUGUGGGUCCCACAUUCAGGAGGAAGUCUACAUUGCACAAUAGCAUUUAUUCCAGUCAAUUAUAUUUUCUCAAUUUUUUUAAAAAAAUAUAUAAUAAUUUAUUUUUUAAUAACUAUAAUAAGACGAAUGAACUCAAAUAUAUAUAUAUAUAUAUAUAUAUAUAUAUAUAUAUGACUGGUUUGAAUCGCCACAUUAGCAAUAUAAUUAAAAUAGUGGGCGAUUUCGUUUAACAAGCUUUUACAUUUUUUAAAAAAUAAAAACUAAUUUUAAAAAAUUUUGUAUUUUUAUUUGGACAGUUUGGAAAAUUGAGUAGUGGAUUUGACUUUUAAAAACCCGAUGCUAAUAUAACAAAUUUUUAUACAGAACCCCGUAUUAUAUUUGAUAAUAAUUUAAAAAAAAAAAUAAACUAAAAUAAUCUAUUCCGUAUUCUUCGAGAUUUUUUUUUCCACCAUAUAAAACUCUCACUAGAUAACACCCUCCUUCCCUUACCUCCAAACCCAAAAANAAAAAAUUUUGUAUUUUUAUUUGGACAGUUUGGAAAAUUGAGUAGUGGAUUUGACUUUUAAAAACCCGAUGCUAAUAUAACAAAUUUUUAUACAGGAAGCUGUAUUGCACUUUUCGUUAAGUGGUUGGUGACAUUUUAUUUUAUAAACUUUAAUUUAUUAUAAUAUUUUAUUUAAAUUUUAAAAUUAUUAUAAAAAUUUUAUAAAAAAUAAUGAUAAGUGACUUAAAUUCAAAUCGAAAAUCUUGUUCUUGUUCUUAUUCUUAAUGUUAAGUGGAAUUUUCUAUUAAAAUUUCAUGUAAUUUGAAUUCUUCUACACUGUUGAACUCACAAACCUACCACAUCGACCGUUAAAAUAGUUAUUUUUGAGACCCGUUGAUUACUUGAUAAAUGAUUUCGAAAAAUUAUGAAAUUUGGUUUCUAAAUAAUUCUAAUAAUGUAGUUCAUACUUAAGAAAGCCAAUCAUCAAAUCGAAUAUCCUAUUAUCAAAAACAACUGACAAGUGUUAUUGAUUAUAGUAACUAAGUUCAUUUUACCAAUUAAUGAAGUAAUAUUCUUUUUUUUUUCUUAAAAAGAUAUAAUUGAUUGUAAUGUUAACAAGGCAUUAAUAUUUAUUGAACAAAUUAAAUUGAACUGUAAAAUUCAAUUACAAUAAUUUUAAAGAAUUUGAACCCGCCGGUGGUAAUAAAAAUUAGGGAAAACUUCAAAUACUCCCAUGUAGUUUUACACUUUCUUACUUUAGUACCCUAUGGUUUAAAGUGUAUCAAAUUACUAUCCUAUGGUUUCGCACUUUCUCACUUUAGUACCCUAUAGUUUCAAGUGUAUCAAAUUAGUACCAUGUGGUUUCGCACUUUCUCACUUUAGUACCAUGUAGUUUAAAGUGUAUCAAGUUAGUACCCUACGGUUUCGCACUUUCUCACUUUAGUUCCUUGUGGUUUGAAGUGUAUCAAGUUAGUACCUUGUGGUUUCGCACUUUUUCACUUUAGUGUCCUAUAGUUUAAUAUUUUGUUAAAUUAUAUACCCCGAAAUGGAUAAUAAAAAGAGAAAAUUGAAUCACAGAGUACUAACUUGAUACACUUGAAACCACAGGAUACUAAAGUGAGAAAGUGCGAAACCACAUGGUAAUAAUUUGAUACACUUGAAAUCACAUGGCACUAAAAUGAGAAAGUGCGAAACCACACGAGGGUAUUUGAAGUUUCCCCCAACAAUUAUUACUAAGGUUUAAGGUGCCAAAUGUCAAGCACGUCAAAGUUGAAGGACCAAACCGAAAGUCCAAUUCUGUCUGUCCCCAAACAAACCAAAAAAAAAAAAAAAAAUCUUCAUUACCGGUCCAGCUCCCUCGUGCUCUUGUCUUUCAACGCCAUCUCUCUCUCUCCCUUUUCAUAACCCCCCUUCCCUCUUCCUUCCCCUCAUCAGCAAACCAACCCCCCACCCCAAAAAAUUAAAAAAAAAAAAAAAAAAAUCCAUAAUUGAAAUUAAAUAAUUUUUUUUUAAAAAAAAAUCCGGUAUGCCGACGGCGUGGCUGCCGACGCUGCCGGUGCCCGGCAGCUGGAAGAAGUCGAACAUUCUGGCCAUCGCUUUCGUCGCGGCUCUCUGCUCCGCCUCUUACCUCCUCGCCGUCUUCCUCCACUCCCCCUCCCCUCUCCCCUUCUCUUCCCCUUCCUCCUCUUCCUCUCCUUCUUCUUCUUGUAACCCUAACCCCGCUACCUCCACCCUCGUCUCCUCCUCCUCCUUCUCCUCCUCCUCCUCCAACACCACCACCCUCGACUUCUCCCUCCACCACUCCGCCCCCGAUCCCGAUCUCAAUUCCGAUAUCAAUUCCGAUUCCGAUUCACCGCGUGUUCGUCAAUUCCCCUCCUGCGACGCCAAGUUGUCGGAGCACACCCCGUGCGAGGGGCAGCGCUUCUCCCUGCAGUUCCCGCGCGAGCGGCUCGAGUACCGGGAGCGGCACUGCCCGCCGCGGCCGGAGAAGAAGCUGCGGUGCCUGAUCCCGGCGCCCCGCGGGUACCGGACGCCUUUCCGGUGGCCGGAGAGCCGCGACGUGGCGUGGUUCGCCAACGCGCCGCACACGGAGCUGGUGGAGGAGAAGGGCGGCCAGAACUGGAUCCGCGCCGAGGGGGAGGUGCUCCGCUUCCCCGGUGGCGGCACCAUGUUCUCCUCCGGCGCUGACCGCUACAUCGACGACAUCGCCAGGGCCGCCGUCCCCAUCGCCGAUGGCUCCGUCAGGACCGCCCUCGAUACCGGCUGCGGGGUAAGCCCCUUAUUUCGUAUACUUUAACAUGGUAUCAGAGCAAAGCAAGAUUAUAAAUAUAAGAGCGAGUCCGACUAGUAUAUAUCCUCUAUCAAUAGCACCAAACACUCUGUGUUAUCAAAUUUUUUAAUUACUUUUACUUAUUAGAUUGUACUAUUAAACCAACCACUCACUCAAUUCUAGAAGAUUACACACAUCGAUAAUUUAAUAGCACUAAUAGCAUUCUAGUCGAGUUUUAUAAAAGCAGUAUUUCAUUUACGUCUUAAAAUAAAUAUAAAUUUUACGCCUUAUUAUUUAAGGUUCCUUCCAUCACAGCAGUUUUAUUAUAUUUUUUUUUCUAAUAAAAAAAUUAAAUAAAUUUUUAGACAAGUGUACUCCAAUUUUUUUUUUAUAUAGACAGGUAAUAUUUUUUCUUUAGAUAAUUUUUUUUUUUUUAUUCUUGAUAUAUGAUAUUUUUACUUUAUUUAUUGCUUAUUUUUGGGUUGCUUAUGUUGGAUCGAAUAUGAAAUCUGCAAAGUAACGGUUAAAUAUUGUCAUAAGACAUAGGAUAGAAGUGUCUAAAGAUCGGAGAGAGAACGCAUCACGGAGUUGGAGUUGGAGUACCUGCACACCUCCGAAAUGCAUAAUAUUUUUAUUCUUUAAUUAAAUUUUUUAAAUUUUUUAAUAUUCUUAAUUCAAACUUUUUCAUCAGUUGAGUCAAAUUUUUUUUAGCAAUAGUACUCUUAUAUCUAAAAGUGGUCGUAUAUAUUACAUCCUCAUCAUCUAAGGGCCAACUCUUUUUGGGCUUCUUAAUUUUUUUACAUUUAUCUUAUCACUUCUUAUUUCUUUUAGUAUCAAAUUUUUAAAAAUUUGUGUAAAUCUUGAAUGGUGAGAGUAUAAGAUAUGCACCAGAAAGUUUAAUGAACAAGUAGCAUUUCUUUUUUCUAAAAAAAGUUUAAUGACUUUAUUAGUUAAUAGUAGUUGAAUAUUCUAAUUUUAUUUACUCGAAAGUGAUCAAAACAAUUAAAUCUGAUAAAAUUAUUCACAAAUUUGAUUAAAAAUUCUCAAUUUUGAAAAAUCUAAUGUGCUAAAUUUUGAAAAACCAAAUAUUUUGAGGGAAUAUCAAUUUAAAAGAUUAAAGUUGAAGGAAUGGCCUAUAGGUGUAUGACGGUGUUUACAUACGUUUUCAGCUCCAUAAUAUUCGGAUGCUUUCAAAUGCCAAAACUAGUGCGUAUGAUAUAGUAAUUUUCAAUUAAUUAGUUUGUGCACGAACUUUAAAAAUGUCAUAUAUAUUUAUCAGUACAUCUACAAUAUAACAUAAAAGUAUUUUUUGCUCGUAUGUAUAUAUAUAUAUUACAAUCAACUGCAUGUAAAGACAGUAGUUUGGGAGAUACAUAAUUUUACAUUAAAAAAAAUUUUAAAAAAAAAGCAUUUUGGAGAAACCAUUUUACCAAAUUAUGACCAUUUAAGUAAAUUAAGAAUAUUUUAAUUAUUCAUCAGAGAGUAGGUAUCAAAGGAAAUUAAGUUGGUGUUAUAGAUCUUUGACCAACGUGCCUUUCAUUUGUCUCGAUCCAAUGGCCAAAAAGCUAAAUUUUUUAGCUGGUUUUCCUGAUUUUAAUUCAUUACUUAGAUCCCAUAAUAUUUAACAGAAAAAUGUAAAUUCAGUUUUGCUUUGAAAAUAGGCCAACAAUGUGCUCAUUCUACUAGUUAUAUUAUCGCAUUUGGCUAUUCUUUCCAGCUAAUUAUGGUGCGACAACUCUCGGUUCCUCAUAAGUAGUUCCUAUAUGUUGUUAGCACAUCAACAGUAUAUCAGGAUAACAUUCUAAAGCAAUAGUAACACUCGAUUUUGGAAAUGAUACAUAACUUCCUUUCGAAUCACGCCUAUGUAGCUCAUAUUAGCAAAAGUGCAAGUUACAUCUAAGAUUUGGUGGGAUUUAGAUCAAGAUUUCGGCAUUCAGUUGCUUAUGUAAAUCUUGUUUAGAUUCCACAACUACACAUGCGUGCUAGGUUUAUUUUUUUCUGCAAAUAGCUGGCAAUGCGAUAAACUAAUAGCAAGUCAACAUAGAUUCACAUGAGACCUUAUUUAAUGCUUACCUAGAUUCACAUGAGAUGUAACCUUAUUUAAUGCUUAACUUUCAUUGUAGAUGCAACUUUUGAUAUGCAAAUACUAAAUCCUGCAAAAACAGUGUUCCUCUUUGGGGUGUAGGAUAAAUAUUUUCUGAAUAGAUGAGAUACAUUAAAUGUGAUUACAUUUUGUCAAGAAAUAGUAAACAAAUUGAACAAAUCCAUAGGCCACUAUCAACGUCAGCUCUCUUAAUAACUUUGUCCUUAAAAAAGGAGUGAAAUUGCAUGGACUACACAUUUUUCUACUAUAUUUUCUUAAUGUUUUUAUAUAAGUUCUCUGAUUUUUUAUAUGUCACCAAUGUGUGAUUUAUUUCUUAUUAAACUCCUGAGGAACGACCAUUACAGUGAGAAACUUUUCCAGUUUGACCAAAUAAAAUAUUUUACUUUAAAAGAGUUACAUUGCAUUAUUUGAACUUCUGAUAAAGUAUCAUUGAGGCUACCUACUUCAGUUUACUGUAACUAAGGUGCAAACCUUGAAUCCUUGUUUUAAUUAGGUUCAUUUUUCAAACUCUAUUUUUUGAACUCCAUUUGAUUUCACAUGAAGGGAUGAUGUAACAGUUGAUUCAAUUGCCAAAGAGUUAAUUAACUAUCCAGUCAUUAAGCUAUUUUAAGAUUAUCACAAUUCAACAAUUAUAUCAUCUCUAGCAUGUAAUUUGGCAGCUAGUAGCUAAUUCAGCAAGCAAGUUGUCUCCAAGAGAUGAACCAGAAGCCACUGUGUCUCUAUACAAGAUGAUGUAUUAACUGAUUCAAUUCUGAAACCAUCCUUUUGUUUCAGCACUUGAAGAAUUAAAGGAAACCAAACUUUGCAUUCUAUUUUAAGACUUUAGUAUUCUCUUUUGCAAAGUGAUGAACAGCUAAGAUUGACCCUACAGAUUUAGCUUAACUGUGUAUAUCUAAGUAAUGGUGCUGUUACAAAGGUGGCGAGCUGGGGUGCGUAUCUGCUGUCACGGAAGGUGCUGACAAUGUCGUUUGCGCCCAAGGACACACACGAGGCACAGGUGCAGUUCGCCCUAGAGCGAGGCGUACCCGCCAUGCUCGGUAUCCUCGCCACCAAGCGGCUCCCUUACCCCGCCUGAGCCUUCGACAUGGCCCACUGCUCCCGUUGCCUCAUUCCCUGGCACCUCUACGGUACUACUGCUACUAUUGUCUCUCUUUGAAAUAACCAUUUGUCUCUCGAAACUGGUCACAUCUGGUCUCGGGAUACUUUGAUAAGCACAAUAUAUGGACAUGAAUUAAAUGGGAGGAAAUUGAAUGAGAAUUUGUCGUGUUUUUAAUGUUUAAUAUUCAACUCUCUCCUUUUUCGUUAAGAUCUCCUUUAUAUCUUCGUGUAAGUCCUUCUUGUACGGAUAGUUUCUUAUUAUAGAACUGGCAAAAGUCCAAUCAAAAUAGUCUAAUGGGCUUAGCUAAGGGGAGAGAUUUACCACUCCUUAAAUAGAAAGAAAAGUAAAUUGUGACGCCAAUUGUCAUAAGGAUAUCAAAUCGCGGUGAAUAGAGUAAAUGACCAGUCCGUGGUUGGAACUUCAAUCUUUAAUUUCUUAGUAGAGCACUUCUCUGAAUCAAACUUGAAAAAAUAUUUUUGUCUUGCAAUGGAAACUUAUUAAUAAUAUGAUUUUCUUAAGUAACCAGUACUACUGGAAUAGUUGGUUGGUAUCCUCCUCUUCAGGCAAUAGGUUCUGAGUUCAAAUACCUCAUGCUUGAGAAGAGUGUGUGCAUGUAGCUAUAAGCAUUCUUUAAAAAAUAAAAUAAAAAUGAAUAAAUCAUCUUUUCUGUUUUAAGUUUUACAGUGUUCUUGAUUGAACCUGCCUACUUAGUAUGUCACAAUACAAAAAGACUUUCUUUGUUGCAGCAAUUAAAGAAAUAAAGAUUCAAAAUGAAGAUUUUGCUUUUCUGACAUAAUGACUGCAUGCUACUAUGUAUGCUGCAAGCACAGACGGGCAGUACAUUAUCGAGAUCGACCGGAUUCUGCGUCCGGGCGGCUACUGGAUCCUGUCGGGGCCGCCAAUCAACUGGAAGCGGCAUCUCAAGGGGUGGAAGAGGCCAGCAGAGGAGCUGAGCGCAGAGCAGGCGGCCAUCGAGGCGACUGCACGGAACCUAUGCUGGACAAAGCUGGUGGAGAGGGGGGACAUUGCAAUCUGGCAGAAGCCCAUCAACCAUUUCAGCUGCAAAGCCAACAGAGAGGGCCUUGCAAGUUCCCUCCAAUUCUGUUCUAAUCAAGACCCAGAUGCUGCUUGGUAUGUUUUCAAGUUUGGUCUGCAUAACAACUAAAUUCUCUUACUCUAUUGAUUUGAAAAAGUUGCCAUGUUAGCACCGUCAUUAGAAUUAACGUUGCUAGAAUUGAAACUCCGACGAUGUAGUAGACAUUGGGGCAAAAUUAAGAAUUAAUUAUAGAAUUAAGGCUUUAUUUUAGAGUGACAUUGAGAAUGUAAGUCAACUUUACAUACAGAUAUACAUAUACUAUCAAAAAAAGAAAAAGAAUAGGGAUGUGCUCUGAUAUUUUUCUUUGUUUAACUCCUUUGUUGUUUCUAGUGCACUUCUAGAUCGUAAUAAUGGAAAUUCAACUUUAGAUUAUGUCUUACAUGGAAAAUAAAUGUCCUUCCAAUUGUACUAGCAGAAAAAGGUACGAAAUUACAUUACUGACAAAUAUUUUUUAAACAAUUUUGCUCAUUAAGGUACACAAAGAUGGAUACUUGCAUCACUCCCCUACCUGAGGUGGCCGCACCUGGAGAGGUUGCUGGAGGAGAGCUGAAGAGAUGGCCAGAGAGACUGACGGCAUUGCCGCCGAGGAUAAGCAGCGGAACUUUAGAAGGCAUCACACCAGAAGUCUUCUUCAAAGAUUCCGAGCUGUGGCGGAAAAGAGUUGAACACUACAAGGCGAAUAGCCGCCAGUUGGCAGAGCCAAGACGGUACCGGAAUCUGCUUGACAUGAACUCCGGCCUUGGUGGGUUCGCAGCAGCCCUCGUUGACGAUCCGGUGUGGGUCAUGAACAUCGUCCCAACAGUCGCAAAGGUUAACACUCUCGGGGUGAUCUACGAGCGGGGGCUCAUCGGAACUUACCAAGAUUGGUGAGUCUUAGCAGUCUCAAGAUCUUAUAGGCAUAUAGUGAUAACUUUUUCACUGUAAAAUGUAUAUAUUGAUAUAUUGGUUUUGAUUGAUGUGAUAAUUUAAAGAGUUUUCAACUUGUAGAUGGUGAGUGUUUAAUUGUUGCAUUGCAGGUGUGAGGCCAUGUCAACAUAUCCCAGGACAUAUGAUCUACUUCAUGCCGAUUCUCUGUUCAGCCUCUACAAAGACAGGUACUGUAUAUUGUCCUUGCUUUCUCAUUCUUUUCUUUUAUUAUUAUUAUUAUCAUUAUUAUUAUUUUUACUUCCAUGUGCUUCAUUGAUCCGAAGUGCUUUUCUAUUCUAGAAGUAUUUAUCAAUAGUUUUCAUUUGCUCUUUUUAAGAGUGAGAGAAAGCUAAUGACUGGGGGAUUGGCAGAUACCUAUCUACACAUUAUAAUUUGUAACCAAAUUUAAAGAAAAAAAUAAAAACAGGAGAUAAGGUCCACUAAACUGCUUCCGCAAAAAGUCGAUUCGAUAAGGAAUUUAGCUCUUAAAAAAUGAUUAUAAUUGGUAUAGGUUUUUUGAAAUGCACUUUUUAAACAACUCCAACUAGCUAAACAUUACAAUAAAGUGCCUAAAUAGCAUGACUUAGAUAAGCAGAAUGUGUGGCUUACGAAGCGAAAAAUUUAUUGAGCUUACCGUCACCGUGGAAAGUCAGAAAGAGCUUUUGGACCCAAAAGAGAAAAACCUCAGAUUCCAAUAAAACUUUGGUUUUAGCUCCUCAGCAAAGAAGCUCUAGUCAGGCCAAAGAGGCACUAAACCUUUAGUCUUCAUGUAGGUAUCUAUGCUAACAUGCUACAUAUGGAACAAUUUGUUUGUCAGAUGUGAGAUGGAGGAUAUCCUGCUAGAGAUGGAUAGGAUUCUAAGACCGGAAGGCACGGUGAUCAUCCGCGACGACAUCGACGUUCUGGUGAAGAUUAAGGGCGUCACUGAUGGCAUGAGAUGGAAUAGCCGGAUUGUCGACCACGAAGACGGGCCGUUCCAACGGGAGAAGCUUCUCGUUGCCAUGAAGGCCUACUGGACAGCCUGAGGCAAAUGUCCUUAGGAAAAGAAAGAAGAAGAUAAAUUAGAAAGCAGUGGAAAGAGCAUACAGUUGUCAUAUUCAUUCAAGGGAUCUCUUAUAGUAGUGUACAUUAAUUGUUUCAUUGGUGUACAAUUCUUUCACUCAUUAUAUUUGUUGUGUAAAAGAAGAGAGAAAGAUUGGUUUUGUGGGCUAUAUAUGUUGAACAGAUUUUGUAGAUUCCUUUUUGUAACUAUUUUGUACUUGGUACAGUAAUGAAUCUGCACCACUUGAAUUGUUAUUUUACAUACAUACAUAUAAUAAAUAUAUAUAGAGAGAGAGUUGGGUUAUACUAUUUAAUCCAAUGAUUAGAAAUAAUUCAAAGGAAUUAAUCUAAAGGCUAAAAACUUGAUAGGAAAAAAGGGCAAAUACUAUUAAUCGUAUUCUAGCCCAACUCUAUAUAUAUAUAUAUAUAUAUAUAUAUAUAUAUAUAUAGAGUCCGGCUAUGGUGCUUGUAAAAGCACUAAGUACUUGGUGCUUAUAAAUUUUUUACCGUUAAAUCUACUUCUUUGAUCAUUUUCACCUAUUAGAUCAUACUAUUCAAUCAACCAGGCACUCAACCUUAGAGGUCUCCCAUCAUCCUAACCGCAAAUUUCUUAAUCCAAUGGCCAAAAAUUUACAUGCACCAAUAACUUGGUACUUUCGAAAGCAUAGGAGCCUAGCUCUAGGAUUGAGUGGAUGAUUGGUUGAAUAGUAUAAUGUAACGGAUGGAAAUGAUCAAAGAGGUAGAUCUAACAGUAAAAAAUUGACAAGCACCAAGUACUUGAUGCUUUUACAAGCACCAUAGCCGGACUCUGUAGAAUUAGGCUCCUGUGCUUUCGAAAGUACAGAGGCCUCCGUGUGCUUGUAAGUUGUUUUCGAUGCUGCAACAUCCAAUUCAGCGAUCGGUUUCGUUAGACAUGAUCUACACUAUUGAAACUAUCUAGAAAUCAAAUUUCAUAAUUUUUUGACUUUGUUUGCCUAAUGAACGAAUAAUCUCAAAAUGAACGGCUGAAAAUAAAAAUUUCAUAAAAAAUAGUGAUAAAAAACUGAAAUUUCAAAUCGGAAGAAUCGUGCCACAUCAACCGUUAAAAUAGUAUUUUUGAGACCAUGUGAUCGCUUGGUAAAUGAAGUCGAAAAAUUAUGAAAUUUGGUUUCUCGAUAGUUUCAAUAACGUAAAUUUUGCCUAAUCGAGACAAUCUUUCAAUUGAAUGUACUAUCAUCAAAAACAACUUAGAAACACAAAAACCUCUUCGAAAGUACGAGAGACGUAUUCUAUAUAUAUAUAUAUAUAUAUAUAUAUAUAUAUAUAUAAUUAUGCUACUGUACUAUCAAUAGUACCAAGCCCUUGGUACUAUUGAGUUUUCGGUCGUUGGAUGAAAGGAUAUGCGGUUAGGAUGAUAGUGGUCCCCGGUUAAAUUGAUAGUGGUCCCCUAGGGUUGAGUGGGUGGUUGGUUUAAUAGUAUAAUCUAACGGGUGGAAAUGAUCAAAGAGUAGAUCUAACGGUAGAAAACUCAAUAGUACCAAGGGCUUGGUACUAUCGAUAGUAUAGUAGCCGGACUCUAUAUAUAUAUAUAUAUAUAGAGUCCGGCUACUAUACUCUUAUGAGUACAUAUAUAUAUAUAUACAAUCCGGCUACUACACUCUUAUGAGUACGAUCGACUUCGUACUCAUAAGUUGUUUUUGAUGAUAGAGCUUACAAAUCGACGAUCCACACCGUUAAAUAUUUUCUAGAGCAUUUAAAACGUCUAGAAAAUAAAUUUUAUAAUUUUUCAAUAUUAUUUACCUUAUGAUCAAAAUGUUACAAAAUUGAUAAUUUUUAACGGCCGGUAUGGGAUAUUUGUUAGUUUAACGGUGUAAAAAAAUCGAAAUCGGUUGAAUUUUUGACAGAAAAUUCGAUUCACUACAUAGAUAAAGAUCAAUAACUCCGAUCUUAAAUUGAAGGAUCCGAUCAUCCAUUUUUAAGACGUUGUUCGAUUUUGACCGUUCAUUUUAUACCCGUUUGAUGAACUUUAUUAUGAUUUCGAAAAAUUACGAAAUUUAUUUUCUAAAAGUUUUAAAUGCUCUAAAUAAUAUUUAACGAAGUGGAUCGUCGAUUCGGAAGCUCUAUUAUCGAAAAUAAUUUAGAGUACGAAGGCUCCUAUAGUCAUAAGAGUAUAGUAGCCCUUCGUACUCUUAGAGUAGGGCUACUAUACUCUUAUGAGUUUUGAGCCCUUCGUACUCAUAAGUUGUUUUCGAUGAUAGCGCUUUUGAAUCGACAAUCCACUCCGUUAAAUAUGAUCUAAAGUAUUUGAAACUUCUAAAAAAUAAAUUUCGUAAUUUUUUGAAAUAAUAAUAAAGUCCAUCAAACGGACAUAAAAUGAACGGUCAAAAUCGAACGACGUCCUAAAAAUGGAUGAUCGGAUUCUUCAAUUUAAGAUCGGAGUUAUUGAUCUUUAUCGAGGUACUGAAUAAAAUUUUCUAUCAAAAAUUCAACCUAUUCCAAUUCUUUUACACCAUUAAACUAGCAAGUAUCCCAUACCGACCGUUAAAAAUUGUCAAUUUGUGAGCUUUUAAUCGUAAAAUAAAUAAUGUCGAAAAAUUAUGAAAUUUAAUUUCUAAAAAUUUUAAAUGCUCUAAAUAAUAUUUAACGAUAUGGAUCGUCGAUUCGGAAGCUCUAUCAUCAAAAACAACUUAUGAGUACGAGGACGAUCGUACUCAUAGUAACGGGACUCUAUUUAUAUAUAUAUAUAUAUAUAUAUAUAUAUAUAUAUAUAUGCUACAUCCGCAAACCAUGAAAAGUUUGAUAAAAUUAUAGAAAGGCCAACGGGGCACUCAAAAUUUGCACUUCUCAAUCACAACUGAUACAAUAUAUGAAACCUGACUCAUCAACUAUUCUUUCAUCAACUAUAUUUUAAUUGUAGGUUAUCACUACCAUUACUCUUUAAGCUACUGGAAGUAAGCAUCAAAUAUUUCGCAUGGAAACUAACAGAACAUGUACAAAAGAGUCUCCCACAUUAAUAGACAGCAUUAAUCAAAAAAAAAAAAAAGAAAAAAAAGGAAAGACCAACCAACCAAUCUUUCUCUCGCAAAGGAUCCAGAGUAUAAAAUUACAUCAGCCAACUAUAUAGAACAAGAAUACAUUGGAAGUCGGAAGGAGGGACAAAGAAACAACGGCGUGAUAUACAAAACAAACGGCGAGUCAUCCGAACAAUGCAGGGCGGCCACAACUCUUCUUGCACUUCUUCAAGAAGCGAAGCUCACUAGUUUUACAUCAUCGUCUCUCCAAGUAGCAAGUGUUGAGACCAUAUACAUCACUAGCAAACUCUAUAAUUCCACGACAAAAUAAGAUCAACUUCGACGGAAUUCGAGCUUACAGUCAAAGCACAAAUUCAUCAGUUCGAAAGCUGAAACCUUCCGGUUGGCUUUCUCUUUCUCCAUCCCUAAACACAACAAAAUGACAAAAAAACUGAUAUUUCCUGGAUUCCAAAUGGUAGAUUGAAGUAACUGACAGGACAGGACUUACAAAUAGUGCAUAGUAGACGAGCGUGAUCACUGCCAGGCCAACAAAUACAUACUGGAAGACGUUAUACCUGCGAAAAUGAUAGAUGCAAAGCCCGAGUCAUUUGAAAGUAAACAAGAAACUUUUUUUUUAAAUGUGAGAGAGAGAGAGAGAGAGAGAGAUAAGAGUAAUUUUCUAUUUUUGCGGCAUUUGAGUGAGUACUUGGAAGCCAUUAGAGAGAGAAGGAAAAAAUAUAUAUAGCUAAAGACUCACUUGUACAGAUACUUGAUUCCACGCAAAGAUUGCAGUGUGUGGCCGAAAAUCUCUUGAGCAGCAGUUGCUUGCGCAUAGUAACCAAAAGCUGUGGCGCAGAACUGAAUCACACUGCAAAGUUUCAAAUUUAAAAAUAGCAACAAAAGAGGAAAAUUUAGAAGAUCUGUUAAAGGCAGUAUAUUGGACAAAACUGAUAAAAUGCUGGAAAUCGUUCCACAGUAAUUUGUUGAAAAUGAAAUCUCGUUGUAUUUUAAAUAGCUGUUGUUUUAAGUCAACACUGAAAUUUGCCAACCUCCAAUUAGAUUACAGUAUAGCAUGAUGAAUAGAAGGCAUCACAUAGAGGUGGCACCAAAAAAAAAAAAAAAAAAAAAAAAAAAACUAAAAACAGAAGAGCACUUUAUGUAGAGACCUGAUUGAGCAAAGUAGAAUAAGCCCAACAUUAAAUAGAAAAGAGUUCAUGAGAGUCGCUCCCCAUCUGAAACAAGCAGACUUAGUCGUUAGGAACGAAAAAAAAAAUGAUAACAUUGUUCAUUGUUUCAGCAAGUCACAACUAAUUACUUCAUUGGGUGGAUGGUAAUGAAGACUAAUUUGAGACCAAGCAUCAUUUCCCCUGCAAUCACUGCGAGCAAUAGAUAGAAGCAGAAAAACGCAAAUGCUGCAGUACCAAGCAGACCUAGUUCAAACCAACCAAGACAGGUUAGAGGUUACUGAAAAUGAAAAAUAAGGUAAAAAUGUACAUAACUUGCCUGAAUUAUGGACCAUUUUGUGUCGGCAACCCAACAUUUUAAAAUUUUGAUUUUACUAUCCAAUCUUUCAAUUUAUUUGAUUUGAGUCACUCAAUGGCACUUUGACUUCAAAAUUUGAAUCGCCAUUUAUCUUUACAGGUUUAGUUACUAUACUUCAUGCAAUUCUCGCAAUUAUAAAUUUAUUAAAGUUCAAGUAAGUUCUGUACGAUUUUGCCAAAAAAUAAAAUGAGAAUUGUAGCAAGGUCAAGUGCUCAGAAUGGAAUACCCCAAACACUAUCCAGUUUGACGAAGACCUCAUUCAAGAAAGGCGAAAGAGGAGGGUCAAUCAAUAAGUAUAUGACAAUAUGCGCAACCCAGGCUACGGAGACAACCAACCUGGAAAGGUAAGUGCACUAAUCAAAAGAUCUGGGCUAAAACAUAAUUGACAAAAGAAAAACAUAAUUGACAAAAGAAUAUAGAGGCUUUUUCAUAUAUAAAAUUACCCCUUACAGAGGAAAUUUCAAACGUGGGCACUUCAGAAGUUAUAAAAUAUCACGAAUACUCCUUCAAUAUUGUCAAUAUUAUUUCUACCACAAAAAAUUAAUGAAUUAUAUCAAAAAUACACUUCAUCACCUUAACUAGGAGUUUUGGACUAAUUUGCCCCUAGUUAUACCCAAUUAUAAAUAAUUGUGUGGGAUUAUGUGGGGCUAAUAAGUUUAUUUCUCAUCCAAAAAUGACUUGAUUUGUGUUUAUGUUUUAAUUUGUAAAUGUUUUCUUUGAUCUACUUAAGUUUUUUUUUUAAUUCAAUAUGGGUCUCCCUGUUGAUCUUAGUGAACAAUUAAACUAAAGAUAUAUUAUACUUUUUUGUGAAUCUAUUUUCUACUUCGUCUAAAUCAGUAUGAUUCUUUGUUUACUAUUAGUGUAGUUUAGUUUCUUCCAAAUUAAUAAGUUUCAAUAGUAUACAUUCAGGUGUAUUUAUAAUGUUUUCAAGCAAAAGAUCUUGAAAUUAAUUAAAAAGGCAUAGAUACUAGAUGGUGGCAAAAUGAGAAUUUUAUUUAUUUUUCUGAUGGAUUUAUCAGUAUAGGUAUUUAUGAUAGUUUCUCUAAAUUAAAGGGGUAUUCAUGAUACUGACACUUUUAGAGGAGUUUGUAUAUAAUUAAGGAUAGGAUGAAGGGUAUAUACGAAAAUGAAAUUAUCCCUUAAAUGUAAUAUGACCCAUGAUAAGUACAAAACAGUAAGAAGCACAAAACAGAAAUUGCACAAGUAUGAAGCAUACCCAAUAAUACCCAAUAUGAACUUCCCUAUGUAUCCAAGGACGGUAAACGCCCAAGUAGUCUCAGCCUGUAAAAAAAUUAAUGAAGGAAAGACAUUAACAAAAGAAAAAUUAAAGGCAAAUAUCUGAUAGAAAGUCUGUAUAUUGUAUUUACCUGCUCUCCCUGAGGAUACAUUUCCUCCAAAGCCUUCAUAUCAUCUUCCAGGAGUAGUAAUUCCUAGAAAUUGAAUUACAAAUAAAAAGAUACUUUAUAACAUAGAUUAGGACAAAUAAAUGUAAUAUUGUUCUGGUAAAAGAAAUAGAGAAUUUAAGAAUCAUCAUUGUAAUCGACACACAAGUUCCUCAAAGCAGGAAAUAUAGCCAUCAUAACACUAAGAGUGCGUUUGGUUCGCACUACCAUUUUAAGAUUCCUAGUAAUCCAAUAGGAAUAAAAAAAUAUGACGGUGUUUGGUUAAACGCACUAAGUAAUCUAGUUGGUAAUACUGGAUUUACUUGGGAAUGAGAUGCAUCCCAAAGUACUAAUCUCAUUCCUUUGAGGGAAGGUGGGUAUCCUUAAAUUAAUGAAUUUGAGUAAUUAUAGUAUGUCUAAUCUCUUUUUUUCUUUCCACCCGCUGGCUAGUUGGUAUUAUUUUUCUUUACACUCUAACCUCAUAUAUUUCUCUAAACUUAUCUUUUUCUUUCUAAACUUCAACUAUUUUUCUAUCUCUAAAUUAAGCUAUUUCUCCCCCCCCUUUUUCUAAAAUCUCAAUCCUCUCAUUCUCUCUAACCUCGACUCUAUUUCUCUUUUUAUUUUUUUAAUUAUGCUCUCUCUUUCUAACCUAUAUUCUCUCUUUUUUUAAAAAAAAAAGAUGUUGAAAUUUUUUAUAGUAUUAUUUAAAAUUAAAUUAAUUAAUUAAUUAAUUAAUUGUAUAUUUUUCGUAAUUUUAAAUAACAUGACUAAAUAAUAUGAUCGUACGAACCAAACAUCGAAAUAGUACAUUCUUAGUAAUAAGAUGAAUAGAAAUAAGAUUCUCAGAAAUCUUUUUACUCCUAAUAAUCUUUCAUAGUGCGAAACAAACGCGCCCUAAUGGAUAUUAAGAUGGGUUUCCUAUAUCAUGAGACUCCAGUGUUAGUGGAAAUUACGGAUCAUCUAAGGGCCCGUUUGUUUUGGUGUAAGUGGAGUGAUGGAACUCAAGUUCCAUCAGUUCCGUUAUUUGUUUUAAUGUAAGUGAAAAAUAUAAUGUAACUCAAGUUACGUUAGAGCUCCACUUCACCUACUCUCGACUUCCUCCUCUAAAGUGCCGAACUCGACUUUCACUACACUCAACCUCCUCUAAAAAAUUUAUUAAACAGUAAAACCUAAACUCUACUUCCUUUAUAAUGGGUUAGAAUUACCUUAUUUAUAAUAAAUUAUUAUUAUCUUUAAAUAAUAAUAAAAAAAUUAAUUAUAUAAUAGAUUAAAUUUUAUAGUGGUAAAUUUACUACUAUAUUUAGGAGAUAAUGAGAUCCACUUACUUACAUCAAAACAAACAACGGAACUCAAAAAACUAAUUUUACCAGCACCAAGUUACAUCAAAACAAACAACAGAAGUGAUUGAAUUUAACUUUCAGGCGGUACGAGUUACAUCAAAACAAAUAAAAAAAAAAAUAAUCACACUUCAGGGAAACUCAAACACCACUACACUUGACUUACGUUGAAUCUACAAAUACGUCAAUCCAAACGCCCCCUAAGUGGAGCUCGAACUGAAUGGCCCGAAAGUGUACCAUCACUAACAUGUUCAACUAGUAAUUUGAUAAAUAAUCACUCAGCAAAGUCAUUUUAGGUGCUCUAAAAUAUUUCCCUAUAUUAUCCAAUGGAAGACAUUGAAACACAGUACGUCAUCAAACUGUUUAUGAUACCUGCAAUUUCUCCAGCUUACAUUUGUAUGAAUCAAUGACAUAGGAACCAAAUUGCUCAGACAAUAACAGUUUUAUAUUUUUACUUUUGUACACCAAAAAGUGCAAACGUAGAUCUGAAAUUCUGAGCUAGCUGCGAAAUGGUAACUUACACAUCAUGUAUACCAACUAAAUGGAUAUAAAAUUGUUCUAAACCGGGUAAAUCGGUGUAUCUAUAUUUCCGAAAUCUUUAUAAGCGCAGUACAGAGCUUCCCUCCAUUUCCAUCUGUUGUAACAAAGUGAGUUCAAUUCAAGAUUAUAUUUUGCCGGCUGGGGGGCAAGUUGAGUCAGGUUAUGGGUCCCUAAGGCAGAUAAUCAUGUGCAACCUAGCCAGGUACUUAAACUAGGAUAGACUAGGCUAGUCUAACUGAUCAACUCAUCAAUCCGUUUAGGGAUAAACUUACGUUUCGAAAAUGCCAGAUCAUAGCACAAAUAAUAAUAUAUGUAAAGUAAUCCAAAAAAAUUUAUAAUAAUCAAAUCAUAUUGAAGUGACAAAAGUACAAACUAACUAUGAUGAUUAGACAUCUAGCAAGGAAAUGUUCACUGGUUCACUCACAGGAAAUAAAUCCUCAUAACGUAACAGAAGAAAAAGGGGAGAUAUUGAUUGAGAAAGCAACAGAGAGAGAACAGAGAAAGAAUACUAGAAUACCUUUUCAACAGCCUUCACGUUUUUGCGCCAUUUUCUGCCUUUGUUACCAUUCCUCUCUUCUUGGUGAAGGGCUUCAGCAGCUUUUUUCAAUUCUUUAGCUUUCUUUCCCAGUUCAGUCGCCUCCUGUCAGAUACAAAUGCAAAUAUUUAGUAUUCAUGUAUACAAUUUGUUUAGUGAAGUGAAUGAAAUUUCAAAAUGCAAAUGCAAGAAAGUGAAAGCAGUCAAGUGUGUUUCACAUAAAACAUACCUUUAUGUACUGUGAGCGAGUAAUUACUGCCUUGGGGCGCCGGAUAAAUGAAAAGAUAAGUCCCAACGGUAGGCAAGCAAUCCCAACACCUCCAAAUAUCUAUCAUACGAAUAAAAAGAACUCCCUUGUAAAUGCCAGAAAAAUAACAAACGUAGAAGAAGAGAAAUACAAGUAUGACUGUCCAGUGUCCACCACUAAUGCAAAAAUGGAUGCAAAAAAGAUAAUACUAUAACAUUACUAUCAACUUUCAUCUCUAGCUUAACAAGUCAGUAGAACUCUAAAAAAUAUAUAUAUAUGCAAAUUCAAAUGUCAGGGCACAUGCCAUUGCAUUCAUUUCCCAUAGGUGCGCUCUAUAACAGCACAGUACAACUUCAGCAGCAUAGUGAACUCACUAUCUACAACAUUCCCAUUCUAAAUAACAAGUGCAACUACAACAACAUAGUCAGAUGAAGAGAAAGUAAAAUUUAUGUAGCAUAACCCUAGACUUCAGUUUAACAUCCAGGUGGAAGAGAAAGCAAAUAAUAACAGAUUUUUUUAAAAAAAAUGUCAAGAUAAGGCGCACACCGAAAAUAGCACGGAUCCGACAAUCGUAGCAAGAGCAACCACAUAUUCUGGGAAGGUAGCCCGCAUUGUCCAUGUUGUUUGAGAAGAAGCACUUGCAGUAAAUGCAGAACACUGGAGGAAACAAGCCAUCAUCAGGAAAACAGAGAGAAAGAAUUACAAAAGUACUAGAUUUCAAAAAAUAAUGUGCAGAGUAACAUAUCAUGAUGUAAGAAUAAAACAGUCAGUGAGUAGUUUCAUAAGGUUAAUUAAAAUUAUAGACCUCCAAUAGAGAAUCAAGUAGAAAAAGAGAAUCAAAUAUUAACCAUUCGAGAAAGCGAGUACAGUAAAACUGGUGAAUCAAAAGACUGAUAAGGAUAGAAGAUUCGAGGCAAGAGCAUUAAGACGACGAUGGACCUGACGAGUCAAGGGACUGAUACAAGGUUGACCGCUUGAGAAUCCCGACCAUGAACUUGGAAAGCUUUCCACGGAUGAUGAGAGGUGCCUAACUGUGAAAUCCACUUUACCAACAAGUCCUGGCACACCCAAAAGAAAAGCUAAGUCGGUUGCACACAUAGCAGUUCAAAAGUUUAGAUUCUUUUCUGUGGAGAAAAUAGAAACUUCUACAAGCAGUUUCUAUAAGCAGUUUGUAUUGUCGUUACACGUCUAUGCCCUAAUCCCUACGCAGUUAAAUACCAGAGUUAAAAGCUGCAUAACUUUUAGCGGCGACAGGCUCAAAGGCUUUUUCUUUUUUCUUUUCUUUUUUCUUUUUUUUUUUUUUUUUACAAUAGAAAAUAGUCAUUUCUUACUAUGGCAAAGAAAAGGUAAAACAUUGUGCCUCGAACAACGUCUAUUAUCAUUUGCCAGGAGAUUUAAAAAAAAAAAAAAAAGGUUACUUGAAUUGAGUUAGUUCUUUAAGCAACUCCCGUCUAACUCAUCGCAGGCUUUUGAUCAUAACAUUGUGAAAACAAGUGGAACUACGUUUUGAAAAAUAAAACAUGUCGACAGCCUCUGUUCCUUAAUUCUCAUAUAGUUAUGAAAGGGUUGCAUAUACUCUACGUCGCUACAUGCAUUCCACCAGCAGGAUCCAAUCACAACUCCUAGAAAAAGAAAUCGUGCGGGAGAGGUUGAGAUACCAACCGUAGAGAAUUCCGAGGCAGAGGCCGCAUACGACAGCCGACAUAAUCACCCAACACAGCGCGCUCCUCAGCCUCUUCGCUAUACUCCUGCCCAGUACGAGACCGGAUCAAGAUUCCAUUAUCAAUUUAGGGAUUAAAAUAAAUUGUGAUUAGAUGAGAUGGGAAGGGAGGGAGGCGGACUUGUCCUGGUCGCCCUCGUAGUAGAACAUGGCGAAGGGGAUGACGAAGAAGACGAGGACGGCGUCGGCGAUGUAGACGGCAAGCCAGAGGGUCUUCAUGGGGAGGGUGAGGCUGCAGGCGCCGUUGUAGAGGGCGUGGCGGCAGGCCUGGCGGUUGGCGACGUCGGCGGGGAGCAUCAGGAUGGAGACGGCGGCGACCGAGAGGCCGAGAACGACCACCAGCUUGGGGAAGUAGGCCUGGUUGGCGUCGUCCGGGUGCUGAUAGUUCACCAGAAGGUAGACGCUCACCGCCAGCACCAGCACCGGCACCACCGCCGCCAGCACCACCAGGACCACGCUGAAAUCCCCCAUCCUCCUCCUCCUCCUCCCCGGAUCCUUUCAGAUGGGGCGGAUCUGGGAAUGUGGGGGUGGGAUUUGCCCUAGGUUUUCUUGGAUUUGGGAAUAAUUACCCCCGGGGGGGAGGAAAAGGGCAGGUUGACGAAGGGGAAGAGGUUGGGUGGGGGAAUGUGGGAACAGGGAAGGCUAGGCUAGGCUGGCACCCCGUUGGGGUCGAUCGAUUUCUCAAAUCAGGUUGUUUUUUAAUUUUGGGAAAACUUUUAAAAAAACCCCUGUGGUUUCAUAUUUUUUUAAUUUCCCCCCUGUGAUUUAAAAGGUAUCAAAUUGCCCCUAUGUGGUUUUGUUUUUAUCUUUUGGAUAGCUUUUUCGUUAAUAUUUUAUUAAAUUAUAUACAAAAAACUUCAGAUACCCAUCUAGAUUUAUCAAAUAUUCACUUUAGCACCCUUUAAUUUUAACUUUAUCACUGAUUUAAGGAAAAAAAAAUAAUGAAAUUGAUAUGAAAAAGAGAAAAAGGAAACCACAGGGGGGCAAGUUGAUACAUUUUAAACCACAGGAGGGCAAAGUGAAAAACUACGAAACCACAGAGGGGGUUUUUGAAGUUUUUCCUUUAAUUUUUAAUAGGUUGGAGGAAUUGUUUAGGGGAGAAUUUGGACCGAUUAUUAGGAUUUAAAAUUGGACCAAAUUUGGGCCGAGUCAGAUUAGGGCCCGAUUUCGUUUUGAGUUAAAAAUUUUUAGGUUGAGCAGCCCAAUCGGAGUAAGGGGGUAAAUGAGAGUUUUGUUUGGGUGGGUGCAGUUGAGAGUGAAAUUUACGGAGAUUGAAAAUCUCACGCAAAGAGCGCUUUGUGAAAGUCAAAAAUUCUACUUAUAUAACGCUUAAGAAUGUGAGAAAUAGACAUGAGCUGUAAUACAGCGGAGAAUGGCAACUUGACUUAGUAACGUACAGGAAAUUGAAUUUUUGCAAGUGCCACUAGCUCAUCAUCUCCGCCGUGCUUUUCGUCAUCGUCGUCGUUAUCGUCCUCCUCCUCCUCCAAAGAAUUCAAUUACAGUUUACUUGGGUUAAAAGAAAAGGACGUUGCACAAAAUGAUGCAAGGAAGCGAGAAGUGCUCCAGUGUGUAAGUUUGAUAUGGGAACUUCAUAAACAAAGAGGAAAAUAAUGUUUAGGGCCUGUUUGGAUAGGCCUUGAAAACUUUGUAUUGAGCUAAUUCCAAAGUUUUUUUUUUAGUGAAUUUUUUUACAGAGUUGGGUACUUGAAUAGAUUUUAUAAAAUUUUACAUUAUACUAUAAAGUCCAUAAAGCUCUAUAAUAAUGGAAAAAAAAUAAAAAUUAUUCGAACUUCUAGAAAAAAGUUCUAAAAGUCUUUGGGCUCGCACUCAAGCUUGCACGGAUCCGCUUUACCUUAUUUCGUUCUUCACGUCCAAAUGCCCUGACCUCCUUCUUUUCCACCUAACUCCAUCUAAGUGGUCGAUGACCUCCACUCCCUCCUCUUCUCCACCUUCGCCUCCCUCCCCUCCUCUCUCGACUCCUACCUCGCCGCCGACCUUUCCUCCGCCCUCUUCAUCACCAGCUCUCCCUCUCCCUUGACCCCGUCCCCCUCGCUAUCCUCUAUUUUUAUGCUCACCUAUGUCAUUCCUGCCAUCCUCACCUAUGCUAAGCACCGGAUCUCCAAGAAAUUAUCCAAUUGGAUUGCCAACAAUCCCACGAACCCGAGCAACACCGGCACCCAUACCACCACCGCCAACGCCGCCACAGCCUUGAUCAAUCUAUUCCAACUAUACCCUAUCAUCAUCACUCUUGAUCUCUCUCUAGUGGUAGUUGCUUCUAGAGAAAAGUUAGAAGAAGGAGAAAGAGAAAAGUGGGAAAUAUUAGAAAAGCAAUUAGUGACCAUUUAAUUAAGAAUAGAGCUACUAUGCUUCCGGAAGUAUAAGAAAGUUAGUGUUUCUAACUUUUUGGCUGUUGGAUCAACCAUUUUGACAAUUUCUGAUGUUUAGAUUAAUAUUAUUAUCCUACAGAGAUCACUCAACCCUAAGGGUACCGCUCAACUAUUAGGGGGACCACUAUCAUCCCAACCCUACAAUUCUUACUUCAAGGGCCAAAAAGUCGAAAACACUGACUUUCUUAUGCUUUCAAAAGUAUGGUAGCUCUACAUGUUUAAUUAAAGUGCUCUAUUUUAAUUGCCGCCUGAGGUUUACAUUGAAAGUAGCAGAGUCAGCGACAAUAUUAAUUAAGUGUGUGUGUAUAUAUAUGUACACAAUAAGAAACAAAAACACAUUUGUUAGAUUUAGUUAAUAUAUAUUUUAUUCAAUUUUUGUAAUUAUAAAUUUAUUAAAAUAAAUCAUUAGUUUAAAUUUUAAAAUCAAAGUAUAUUCAAAUUUUUAAAAAAGAAAUUAGAUAGUAAACUAAAAUUUUAAAAAGUUAAAAAAUCGAUUCUAAAUGAUCUUCAUAAUUUAAUAUAAAUUUCAUAUAUUUUUACCUAUAAUUAAUUACCAACCAAAACCAAGGUCCAUAAUAAUCCUCGCCACUAACCUUUUUGUCACCUCGAUCGCCAUCGCCGCCGCCAACGACUUCAUCCUCACCUCCUUCCCCAAAAUCUUAGCCUCUACCUCCUCCACGUCAGUGUACCACUACACCGAGAGCGAGCUCACCUUCAUCAGCAGAUAGCUGGGUAGCCUUUUUUUGUCCUCAUGAUUGAAGGAGUCGAUUUGCAGGGGGUGGGGCUUUGAUUUUUGCUUCGGCUUUAGAUCGCGGUACUCGUCUUUCUUGGGCUCGCCGGGAUUAGGGGCUAGGGUUUUGGGAGCUUUUACAGGGAUAGCUUUGCGAAAGUCGGAGUUGAGGACCAAAAUGGCAACCUAAGAGGGGGGGUGAAUUAGGUUUCUAAAAUAAAAAGCCAAAUAAUCAAGCAAUUUAAAAAUCCGAAACAAAUAAUAAAGAGAGAAGUUUAAAGAAAUGCAAACUCAAAAGGCACACAAUCGAUUUGUUUCAAGGUUCGGCACUUUGCCUACGUCCCCGUCAACUUCUCAACACUAGAGAAUGUUGGAUCUCCACUAGAUGAUGCUUUUGCGGGCAAGCACCAAGCCUUCACACCAACACCUUCUUCUUUUCAAGCUCCAAGACUUUGCUUUUCUCUCUUUUUACAAGAUUAAAUCUCACUACAAAUUACACUCAAGUUUAGAGAGAGAAGUGAGAGCUAAGAGUAUGAGAAACACUAAAAUUUUUAAGCUCAAAUGGACUUGCUAAAAAAGACUGAGAAAGGCCUCAAAGCCAUCUAUUUAUAGCUUCGGCCAACUCCAGACCGUUGCACUUUUGGGCGCCCUAAACAUGAUUUCGGGCGCCCAGAUGUUGUGCACGCGCACUACACUUCCAGCUGCCUAUCAGACAACGUGCACUGCUUUUUCUGGAUUCGUACAUUCGGGCCUUCAGAAUUUGUGGGCGCCCAGAACAUGUGCGCUGACUUUUCUGACAUAGACAAAUGACGUGCGCCGUUUUCUCUAAGCGGAAUCAUUUUGGGCUUCCAGAAGAUUUGGGCGCCCAGAUUUCCAGUACGCACGCCGCCUGCGCCACGCCGCGUCACAACUUUUCGGGCUAAUUCGUCGUACUUUCCGUAACAUGCAACCUAUCAAGUCAAAUAAUUCAGUCGCCCUAAACAAACAUUCGGGCGCCUAGAUCAGGUAAAGAAAUUUUUAGACCACCCGAACAGCAAACAGGCAGGAUCCAAAAACACGUGAGAUUCAGAUCCACUUUAGGGAGCCCAGAACAGAGUCCAGAAACAAUAACUUGGCAGAAAACUAAUUUUGAGCAUAUUUUGAAUAUUUUAAUAACCCAUGAACUUUAUAAGAAGAUCUUUGGAUAAGAUUCACUUUGAAUCAAAUAGAUAUUUGUUCAAGUGAGCUAUGAUAAAAAGAUCAAACUUAGCUCAAAGUUUCUCACUCUAAUUAUAAAGCAUAAUAUUAAUCAAAUUAAGAAAUAGAGAGAGUGAGUUUAUCAAUUUGACAAAAGAAGCAAGCAUAGCUUCAAGUGGUGAAGCUCGGUGCUAGAAGAUUGCUCAUCUUGAGUCCUUUUGAAGAUAGAGAGAUCUAAAACACAAAACUCAAAAAAGAUUAGUCCAAUAAUCGUAAUUAUUUGUUAUCAUCAAAAUCUAAUGAAAGAUUAGGGCCACUAGGCAAACAUGAGUCGUCGAACUCACAGCGGUAGAGGAGAGAGGGGCGCGGCCGAGGAAGAAAAUGAAGGAGGCAACCUCAGAUUUGAUGUGGUCGAGGUCCUCGACGGAGGAGGAUGCGGUAGCGGUGGUGGUGGUGAGUGUGGGUUGAGGCUUCUUCGGCUUCGAGAUUGCUAUGGUCGAACUCAGGUAGGAGAGUUUAGGGUUCUGUCGAUGGAGAGAAAAAAUAAAAAUAAAAACAUCUUGCCGUCUCCACUUAAGCCACAAUAGCCGUUGUCAUUGCUGCCUAAGCCACCAUCGCUGCUGCCAUCGCCGUGGAAGCUGGCCGAAUCAGGCUGAAACCCUAAUUGGGAGUUUGAAAAAUUACAGAAGAAAAUAGGAGGUCGAAAAAAUUACCCAAUUUAUGUGAACCGGGAGUCGACUGAUGGUGCAAGAUGCUGCUGGCUACAACAGACUAGCACCAGAGCCACUACGGUGAUCCACAAGUGAGAAACAGCAGCGCGAAGUCGAUUCAGGUCCUCGACGAAUGCGCGUCUCAGUAAGAUGUCCAUAUCACACCAGCGAGGUGAGAACUACAUAGAGAAAGCCCAACAAUCGCUUUGCUCCCAAGACAUGCGAUCCCCAGCCACCAGAUUGAUCGGAAAUGUCGAUGAUAAAAACUAGUCGUUAAUUCGAAUAGCGGGUGAGCAAUAUUAAAAAUAGUAAUCCGAAAUGCCGUUAUUUGAAACUUUGGAGAGCAUGGACCCGUACAAAAUGGUGAGAAGAGUUGUGCUUACCAACAGAGGGUCGCCGGAGGCCGAGGUUGGAUGGAACAGUUCCCGCGGCCCAAAAUCAAGACUCAAACAAGUAACUAAGGAGCCGCAACAGCACCAGCAGGCUAAGAGACUUGCUGGUAGGGAUAAGAGGGCAGGACAAAGUGGAGCUGGAAGGGAGAGGUGCCAAGGCACACGCUAUCCGGCGGCGGCGGGAACAACGGCAGUCGGAGACAGCACCUCGGCCACCAAUGAGCUACAAGCAAUGUAGUGGGAGCAGUAGCAGCAAAAGGUUGUUGUAACUCAACAAAGAAGGGCCAUGGGAGGUGAAGAAAAGUAGCAGCUGGCUUGGGAAGAUCAUCGGAGAUCCACCGACCCACGGCGACGCCGGUGGCUGCAGCGGCUCGGGUCCGAGGAAGAAGAUAGAGAGGAGUUGAUUCGAGAGGAUCACGCAGCCCGGGGGAGUUGCUCACGGGGCAAAGGCGCUACUAGGGGAUCAAUAGCGUGGAGGCAUGCCGGCGGCGGCGGCGGCGGCGACUGCAACACGAGAGGGGCCACUACUACAUAUAGAGAAAGAAAAAGAGAUUAAGGCCAGAGGCUCGCCGGAGUAGGGACGCCGGCGAAGUACAGAGGGGCGGCGAAGGCUAUGAAGGGGAAAGAAAAAAGGGGGCCACCAAUAAGCUUCAAGCAAUGUGGUGGGAGCAGCAGCAGCAACAAAGGUUGUUGCAGUCUAACAAAGAGUGGGUGUGGGAGGUGAAGAAGAGUAGCGAUAGGCCUGGAGAAGAUCGCUCGAGAUGCACCGACCCACAACCACGCCGGCGGUUGCAGCGGCUCGGGUUUGACAAAGAAGAUGGAGAGGAGUUGAUUCGAGAGGAUUACGCAGCCUGGGGGAGUUACUCGCGGGGUGGAGACGCUACUAAGGGAUCAACUACGUGGAGGCACGCCGGCGGCGGCGGCGACUGCAACACGAGAUGGGCCACUACUAUAUAUAUAGAGAGAGAAAAAGCGAUUAAGGCCGGAGGGUCGCCGGAGUAGGAACGCCGGCGAAGUACAGAGAGGCGGCUACAGCUGCUCGGGUCCGAGGAAGAAGAUGGAGAGGAGUUGAUUCGAGUUUUAUCACGCAGCCUAGGGGAGUUGCUCACGGGGCGGAGGCGCUACUAGGGGAUCAACGGCGUGGAGACACCUCGGCGGCUGCAGCAGCUACAACACGAGAGGGGCCACUACUAUAUAUGAAAAGAGAGAAAAAGAGAUUGAGGCCGGAGGCUUGCUGGAGUAGGGAUGCCGGCGAAGUAUAGAAAGGCUACAAAGGUUGUGGAGGGGGAAAGAUGAGAGGGGGCCAACAAUGAGCUUCAAGCAAUGUGGUGGGAGCAGCAGCAGCAAAGAUUAUUGCAGUCCAACAAAGAGGGGCCGUGGGAGGUAAAGGAGAGUAGCAGCUGGCAUGGGGAAGAUCGCCGGAGAUCCACCGACCCACGGCGACGCCGGCAGCUGCAGCCGCUCGAGUCCGAGGAAGAAGAUGGAGAGGAGUUGAUUCGAGAGGAAAACACAACCUUCGCCGCCCCUCCACAGCUUUCUUCGCCCCUCUGUACUUCGCCAGUGUUCCUACUCCGGCGAGCCUCCGACCUUAAUCUAUUUUUCUCUCUCUCUAUAUUUAGUAGUGGCCCUCUCGUAUUGCAGUCGCCGCCGCCGGCGUGCCUCCACACCGUUGAUCCCCUAAUAGCCUCUCUGUCCCGUGAGCAACUCCCCUAGACUGUGUGAUCCUCUCGAAUCAACUCCUCUCCAUCUUUUUCCUCGGACCGGAGCCGCGGCAGCCGUCGGCGUCGCCAUGGGUCUGUGGAUCUCCGACGAUCUUCCCCAGGCUAGCUGCUACUCUCCUUCACCUUCCACGGCCUUUCUUUGUUGGACUGCAACAACCUUUACUGCUGAUGCUCCCACCACAUUGCUUGAAGCUCAUUGGUGGCCGAGGUGCUGUCUCCGACCACCGCUGUUCCCGUUGUCGCUAGACAACGUGCGCCUCAGCACCUCUCCCAUCCAGUUUAACUUUUUCCUGCCCUCCUAUCCCUAUAAGCAAGUCUCUUAGGCUGCUGGUGCUGCUGUGACUCCUUGGUUACUUGUUUGGUCCUUGAUCUUGGACCGUGGGCACUAUUCUCGCCAACCUCGGCCUCUGGUGACCCUCUGUUGGUGAGCAUGAUUCUUCUCACCAUCUGUACGGGUCUGUGCUCUCCAAAGUUUUAAGUAACGGCAUUUCGGAUUACUAUUUUCAAUAUUGCUCACCCGCUAUUCGAAUUAAUUACCAGUUUUUGUCAUCGACAUUUCUGAUCAAGCCGAUGGCUGGGGAUCGCAAGUCUUGGUAGCACAACGAUCGUUGGGCAUUCUCUAUGUGUCACGCCCCGGGGUCCCUUUUAUUUGAACACAGCGGAAAAAGCGUCUAAAUUUUUUUUUUUUUUUUGAAAACCUGACCCCAGAGUAUGCCAGAUCCGCCACAAAUACAGGAAUUCCACUGUUCACGCGGACAGAGUCUCCCCUCUAUUUGCACGGCGUCGCACAAGUACGACAGUACAAACAGGAUACAACCACAACUAAAUAAAUAUAGAAAUAAUUAUUCAUUCAUACAUUUAUACAUUCACCAUUCACAUCACAGAUUUGCAUUUAAUAUUUAAACAUAAAUCCACAGAAAAUUCUUUUGAAAACUGUUUCCUAUACAGAAACCUUUAUUCUUUAAAAACACUACCACGAGGGGUAGAAAACCUUUCCAUUUCACAAAAUUCACAAAUCCAUUUAUUACAUUCAUGAAAACCCAUAUUUUCAAAUGUAAUAAAAUAUACUGAACCAUAUAAACUAUCUAAGCUAUAUCAACAUAAUAGUAAGGGUAGAACUAAACCUAAUAACCUGGGUCGGAAGCUCUAUCGACCGCUACGUAUCUCACGUCCAGUCUCAACCCUCACCGCCCGCGAUUCCUGAAAAAUAGUGGGGGAGGUGAGAACAUGUAAACAUGUCUCCCCUCCAAGUGGGUACCGCAAGCCGAAGAAGGCGAGAAGUACUCACCGGAUCAGGAAGAGCUAUACAACAACACGGGUCAGUGGAAAUACAGUAGGAACAAUAGUAAACAAAAGAGAUGUAUAAGGUAAUGAGCAGAUAUACUAAAUACAGUAGCAAUAAACUGAAAAAAAGUAAGAACUAGACUGAAUAACGGCUACCGCUACUGUAACUGGAACCGAAAGCAUACAUGAAUAUAUACUAUAGCAGCAAGACAACUAUAAAGUAAGAACUAUAAGUAUGCAUGCAACGACUGCUGCUAUAGACAUAUGCGUCAACCGGUCAAAAAGUCCAAAAGUACCCAAUUUGAAACCAAUGCUCUCUUGGUCAGCACCGCAGACCUCAAGCCAAUACCCUGGAGGUCCGCACCGCAACACCUCCCGACAGUACCACUGCCGCUCUAACAUGCAUAUAACCCCUCGGGGCUCACGGGUUGUCACCAUUCAACCACUUUUCCGGAAAAGAACACUCCUUGCGGUGGAUCAGACCGCCAGUGUUCGUGAAAUGCGACGAGUACGGCAAUCAAUGCAAUAUGCUCAAUGAUCAACCGUCGGCAACCAGCCGACAAUCCUGCCCCCCAAGGCCCAUCGACCGCAUAGGUCGUCAACUGUAAAGAAGCACAAGAACCGACCACUCAGGUCAACUAGGAUGGGACAACAUCGACAUCCUCUCAAACAUAUGCAAAUACUGCUCAAUGAACCACAAGGACUGACCACUCAAAUCAACUAGGAUAUGAAACUCAACCAAUCAUGUCACAAGUAUAGGAUAUGAAACUCGACCAAUCAUGUCACAAAUACUGAAUACUAGAAUCGACCGACUAGAUCGCUAAUCUCAUAGAUAAUCACGAAAUCGCUCUACUAUAACUAUGAAACAGGGUAUGCAGAAAGCUAAGUAGAGCAACAAGGAAACAUGGUAUCACAUACAGAUAGACUAUACUCCUACACAUGAUACUAAGCGUGGAAACAUCUGAGUAGAGUAUAAUCAAACAACGUGGGUGUAAUGUAUACAAUAGAGGUGCAAAGCUCAAUAUAUAAUAUAAGCAUGGAUAAUAACAAAAGAGCAAGGGUAAGAAACUAUCACCGAGCGUGCACCACUGUACCAACGUCGGAUCGAAGUACCUACCUGUACAACUGCCGCACCUGUCUCCUGACUGCAAACGAACAUCAACAGGACCUAAGGAGGGUCCACUGGAUUAGUGUCUAACCCACAGCUAAGAAACCCUAAAAGCAUAACCCCAUAAAUAAACCACUGAAUACACAACCCACAGACAAUCCCACGGAGAUCGGUUUCCCAAAACCGAUUACCGAACAAACCGGAAGUCCCGAAAACCGCACCGAGACUCUGUCGGGACCACUGAAUUGUCUCGAAACGCACCGACUCAAACUACGAGUCACCUGCUGCCCCAAAACAUUCCAAUUUGGAUGUUUUGGCAGCAAACACAAGAUAACACCACUACACAAUUAUCGUCGGAUAAUUGUACGAAUCCGGGUUCCCGAAAGUGUCUAUUUCGACACCGGAACCCACCGUCGCUCACCCGUCAUCACCGAACCCACAAUGUGAUGAUGGUGACCAGCCAACAAGGCUUAGAGACUACUCACAGAGCAACCAAAAGACGUCGGAAGAAAUCCAAACCGAAACCGCGUUCUUUCGGCGAAUUUCGCCGAAAAACGCAUCGAAAUCGACUCUUCGAUUUCCGCAAAAGCUAACAGAUCAUGGACAAUCAGUCCAGAGGUCACCACACACGCCUAUACACUGCCCACAGUAGCCACAUAAUGCACAAUUGCACAAAAGCCCCUCACUUUACAUAAAAUCCUAAUAUUUUUUGUAAAUCAGGCGAUAACAUGGCUCGUUCACGCAAACUGAGGACUUCCAAGGUCCGCCGAGACACGUACUGAUAGGUCUCGACGUACUGGAGGCCGUGCUCAUGAUCUGGAGCACAAUGGCUCACUGUGGAAAGCGCGGGAGCAACCCGAAGGUUCAGCGAACAGCGCGCAGUCGGGGAAAAUCGCGCCGAACAGGCCGAUACGACAUCCACUGAUCCAAAGUAAUGUGAGCACUGUGAUCAGAACUGACCAACGAUCACCGUGCUCACCUUCGGAGGCAUCAUAACAAUCUCAGAUCGCCGGAGAAACGUGCGCAAGCACGGAAUAGCAGCCGAAAAAAGCUCAACAGGGUCGACACCACCGAAACAGCGGAACGGAGUCUCCUCGGUAGAAUCUAAGGUGAGCACGAUGAUCAGCAAUUUUCUACGAUCACCGUGCUCCCUUCCGCAGAGAUCGGGGAGGCUCGGGUUGCUCGGAACAGUAACCUACUCAACUAAGCCCUAUUUCGGGCUUGGCCGGAGCAAGCUUGCUCCGGCCGGCCACCGGCGGCACGGCGGGGUGCGCGCGGGCCAGGGAAGGUUGCGGGGGAGGUGAGGAGUACCAAGCUCACCUCGGGUGGCGGCUGGAAGCGGCGGANAUGGUCUGUGUACCGGUACACAACCACGUACCGGUACAGCCAUCAACCCCGUACCGGUACAGCAAGCGAACCCGUACCGGUACGCGGCCUGCUGAAGGCUACCCGAGAGCUGACCAAAAAUCCUACUUUUUGGAUUUUGGUACACAGCUUUAAACCACAAUUCUCGGGACUCGAACCAUAGGUCGGAACACUGUCAACGACCUACCAGAAAGUCUGGAAAAGUUCGACACACAGAUCAAGCACUCGAACCUCGCAAUUUGCAAAGGUCCAGUGUGUUACAGCCGGCCACCGGCGGCACGGCGGGGUGCGCGCGGGCCAGGGAAGGUUGCGGGGGAGGUGAGGAGUACCAAGCUCACCUCGGGUGGCGGCUGGAACGGCGGAGGUGGCGGCGGGACAAGGCAUGCCCGCACGAGCUAGGGCAUGGGUCCGGGGGUGCUGCGGCCACGGCGGCCGCCGGGGCAGGUCGGGGAUGUCAGGGGGUGCACGUCAGAGGUCUCCGGAGGUGUCUGGAGGGCGGCACUGCCGGCAGGGAGCGGCGGAGGCGCGCGGAGGCAGAGAUCUCCCAAGCUCGGCCCGCUCCGGGUCUGGGCGGCUGCGGCGAGUCCAGGCGGCACCACAGCCAACAUGGACAGCGGGGAACGGCGGCGACGGCGCCGGAGGUCGAGGGGAAGGUGGCGCGCCCGAUGGUGGACGGCGGCGACGCGCGGAGGCGCUGCGGCCUCAAGCUCGGCCUGCUCCGGGUCUGGGCGGGCGCAGAGAGCAGAAGCGGCGGCCGGCGACCUCGGGGGGCGGCGGCGACCGGCGGGAACGACACCGGAGAUGGAUCUCGGCCAAGGGAAGAUGGUUUCAUAGGUUUAGGUGCCGUCCCGAGCUUGGUGGCUGCGGAAGGUGGAAAGAAAAGUGUGGAAGGUGAUGGAGGAGGUGGAAGAGCGGCCAGCUCCGGCGGCCGGCGGCGUGCUCAGGUGGCCAGGGCGCGCGCAGGGAGAGCAGGGGAAUGUGAGGGAGGCGGUUAAGGAAGAGGAGGGGACCCAGGGUUAGGGUUUCAUGGUGACCUAACUCUAUGAUAUAUGUAUAAUUACAGAAAAACCCACCUCAGCCCUAUUUUUAUAAUUUAGUCCCUGCCAUUGCGCGUAACUUGCGCAUACGCACCACCACGCUCGAUCUCAAGCGAUUCGGUACAUAAAAUACAAUGACUUUUGCGAAUUUCCCGAUUUUCCACUCUCGACCCCUUAGCGAACAACAUGCAAUAUCCGGCAAUCCGUUCAUCGGAUUUCCGAACGGAUCGUACCAUCGCGUUCAGCACAACGAGGGCAUCCAAACUACCAUCUUGUUUCGUCAGAUUUGGUCACGGAUUCGCGACGGAACCCACCCGCUCUCUAAUUAAUCCGUAUAUCGCGCAUAUGCCGAAGUAUAAACCCUAAAACCUUUAAUCCAAAUUCAACUUUGAAUUCCCUACCACUAGUAGGUACCAGAAACAACUCUCACCUAAUCCCAGGUCACAAGCACAGAGCACGAGGAGUUUUAAAAUGCACGAAUAGUAAAGAGCGGAAACCCUCUUUUUGUUAAAACUCCUUUAUCUCGAAAAUCGUGCAUCGGAUCCGAAAUCCGUCAGUGCCAUUGGUUCCAGAAUAGCUGAACCGUUCGAAACGAGCUAUUGGAGUCCUAUGUUCGGAGUCCGAUACGCGCCGAAAGCCAACUCUACUACGUGGCUUCUCCGGAAAACCGGAGUUACUAUUCACUUUAAGUGAAAACUAAUAAUCGCGUAACUUCUCCGUUUUAACUCAUUUUCUCCUAAAACUUGACGAGUGCUUAUGUAAUUAAAUUACACACAUAAACAUCGUCAACGGAGAGUUUAGUUGCACUGUAAACAUCUCAGUCCUUACACUAUGCAGUGCUCACCUCGCUGGUGUGAUCUGGACAUCUUACUGAGACGCGCAUCCGUCGAGUACCUGAAUCGACUUCACGCGGCUGUUUCUUACUUGCGGAUCAUCGUCGUGGCUCUGGUGCUAGUCUGUUGCAGACAGCAGCAUCUUGCACCGUCAGUCAACUCCCGGUUCACAUAAUUUGGGUAAAAUUUUCGAACUCCCAUUUUCUUUUGUAAUAGAGGUUAUAUAUGCAAAUUUGGGUCGACUAGGACAUAUAUAUUAAUAAGCUAUAUAGCGACAUCUAUAAAACUGCGGCUAAAGAGGAAAAUACUGUCGCUAUAAGCAAUAGCAGUCGUUUCAGUGGUGGUUUUAAAACUGCCACUUAUAAAGGGGUCGCAAUUUGAUUUAGCGACUGUGGCAAAAUACCCCUAACAUAUAGUGGCAGUUUUCCUUUAAUAUUGCGGCGAUUUGACAAAUGCUACUGUAAGAUUAAAAUUCGCCAAUUUUACGAACAUUUAGCGACAAAUUAUUCACUGCCUCUAUUAAUUCAAAUAAGAAGUGACAAUUCUUUAGCUGCCGCUAUAUAUUUGAAAUUUGUUAAAUUUAUCGAUUUUAUAGUGGCAAUUAUUUUUCUGUCACUAUUAAUAAAUAAAAUAUAGGAUUGACUUUUAAUUAUUGGUUGUAGUUCAAACUAAUUUUUUUGCCACUAUAUUAAUUAGCUAAAUUUAAUUUGUUAAUUCAAUUAAUUUCUUAUUAAUUGUAGUUUCAAACUAUUUAAAAUAAGUCACAAAAACAAAUACCACCACUAAUAAAUUAGUAAUUAUCUUACACAUUAAAAUUUUCAAAUAGAUAAGUUUCAAUCUCCAUAAAAUUACAAAAUAGACAACACACGCAUAUCAUCGAGAGACACACAUACACACACAUACACCAUCGAUCUUUCACAUAUAGUUAACAAUAUAUUCUAGUGUAGAUACCCGCGCGAUGCGGCGGGUAGUUACUGCUAAAGUAAAUAAUUUAUAAAUAAUAAAAUAUCAACAUAAGUAAAUAAAAUAUUAGUAUGCCGGUAUUAAAUGUUACAAUAUUUUACAGUAAUAUGUAAAGUAAUUAGUAAAUCCUAAUUAGAGAUAUAGAAAUAUAAUAAUACAUACAAUUAUUCACAAUGGAGUUUUUAAAUAUUUUAAGUNUAUAGAAAUAUAAUAAUACAUACAAUUAUUCACAAUGGAGUUUUUAAAUAUUUUAAGUAAAUCUAACUUAGAGUAUAUAGAAAUAUACUAAUAUAUACAAUUCUUCACAAUGGAGUUUUUAAAUACGACAUGAUUGUCCAUCCAUUUAGUUUGGAAGGUGUAAUAUACAACGAAAAAUAAUUGUGCGAGUAACAUAUAGCAUUUCUAUAACAUGAAAUUAAAAUGUAAUAAGUCUAUCACAUAUAUUAUUCAAAAACUAUAGAAAUAGUUGUUGUGUCAUCUUUACUUCGAUAAUCUUUAUUUUUCUUCUCCAUCAGAUUCAGAACUCUCAAUAUAACUACAAACCAAAAAACAAAUGUGAGUUAUUUUAUGUUCAUUUUAAUUGAAAAGCAAAGUAAGCAUUGACCUCUUUUCCAAAAUAAUAUUAAUAUGUUGUUACCUGCGUAAUUUUCUUUUACCCUUUGAUUGAUUAAUAGCUUCCUCUGACUUCAGCUGAGAACUUUUUAUGAGGAUAAUUUACAGAAAUGCACGUAGAAAAGCAAGUCAAUAAAUAUUAUUUUUGGUAUAAUGCUCAAAUAUAUGUACUUUUUAUAAUUUAAUAUAUAGUCAUCAAUGAAUUACCUAAGUACUCUCCUUUUGUCUCUUGAUUCCUUCACAGCUUCCUCCAGAUAGGAUUUAGAACUUCACAGCACAAUUUAAAAAAAUUUACAUGCAAAAGAAUUGAAAUAAAUCAAUUUUUUGAGUAAGACAGUUAAGAGAGUAUGUAAAGAAAAAAAGAUAUUAGAGAACUUUUCUUACGCUAUUUGCAAUUCUUUAGGACUUGUUCUUGCACCAUCUUCUGUAAUGUCUAUGGCAUCUUCUUCCUUUUCUUCUAUUUUGAUUUUUGCAGUCAAAGCAGAUUGAAAAAUUUUUGUGACUCUGAAUGAUUGCAUAGUUGUAUUAAGUUUGCGAGACUCAAGUGAAACUUGAAAAAUAAAAGUUUGACCAACAAUAUUUUUAAUAAUAGGAGGUAGUAUAAAUCUAUUUGAAUUGAUUGCAGUAGCAAGUUGUUGAGCAGGAACUCGUAUCAAAUCUUGCGCUGAUUUGCCAAAAAUAGUGAAGUUCGCUGAACUGGUGUCAUCCGCAACAAUGGCAUUUAACUUGUACCUUUUUUCAAAAAUGACCUCUAUAUUAAUUUACUACAUGAUAAUAUAAUUUUCAAAUUUAAAAGAAAUAUUUGGUGUUUGAAAUUGUAGUUUUUAGGUUUAGAAAUGUACUAUGGUAUAAGUGACUGAUCAUUUUUUUCACAUUGAUUACACCAAAAAGUACCAUCAUAAUCUCUCACUCCUUCUUUACAAUCAUAGCGGGCCUUGUACCACCACCCAUAUGUCGUAUCAAUUUCUACUAAUUUAGCUUGACAGGUAUACUUUAUAUUCUAUAUAAAAAAGAAUAAUGAAUAAGUACAUCUAUUCAAUUAUAUAUUGAAUUAAUAAUAUGUAUAACAAUUUGUAGAGAACAUAAGAGAUAAAGAAUGAAAUUGGUAAUUUAAAGAUAUCCUAAAUAUACUCACCUCAGCUUCCAUUGGAUUUAAUGCAAGUAAUUCAGCAAUAGUUUUACAAUUCUUAAGCAUUUGUUUAUAUAGGCUAAUAGUUAGUUGUUGUGCCACUUCAAUAUGUCGAAUUAGUGCAAUAGGUAGUUGGCUUCUGCAUUCAAGUGUAUAUAAAAGUAAGUUAUAAAAAGGCUAAAUUACAGAAAACCCCCCUGUAAUAACCCGCUUUUUUACUUUCCCCCCCUGACAUUUAAAAACCUACACUUUGCCUCCCUGUAAAAUAAAAAAUGUUCACAGGGGGGUUACGAUGUGUAAAAUGACCAUUUUGCCCCUCACCAUUGUCGUCUUCUUCCCCAUCUUCCUCAGCCGCCCCUUCGUUCAGCCGCGAUUCCCACCUCAAUCGGCCGCGAUUUCUCUCCAUUUCCUUGUCCACCUGCUCCCCUUCUCCUCCUGCACCUCGUAUAAGGACUGAGAUUUUGACAGUGCAACUAAACUCUCUGUUGACGAUGUUUAUGUGUGUAAUUUAAUUACAUAAGCACUCGUCAAGUUUCAGGAGAAAUUGAGCUAAAACGGAGAAGUUACGCGAUUAUUAGUUUUCACUUAAAGUGAAUAGUAACUCCGGUUUUCCGGAGAAGCCACGGAGUAGAGUUGGCUUUCGGCGCGUAUCGGACUCCGAACAUAGGACUCCAAUAGCUCGUUUCGAUCGGUUCAGCUGUUCUAGAACCAAUGGCACUGACGGAUUUCAGAUCUGAUGCACGAUUUUCGAGAAAAAGGAGUUUUACCGAAAAGAGGGUUUCCGCUCUUUGCUUUUCUGUGCAUUCUAAAGCUUCUCGUGCCCCGUGCUUGUGACCUGGAGUAGGGUGAAGAAUGUUUCGGGUCCCUACUAGUGGUAGGGAAGUCAAUUUCUAAUGCGAAAGUUGGUUUAAUGGGUUUACACAUUGGUAUACGUACGAUAUAUGGAUUAAUUAGAGAGCGGAUGGGUUCCGUCGCGAAUCCGUGACCAAAUCUGACGAAACCAGAUGGUAGUUUUGAUGCCCUCGUCGUGCUGAACGCGAUGGUGCAAUCCGUUCGGAAAUCCGAUGAACGGAUUGUCGGAUAUUGCAUGAAGUUCGCUAAGGGGUCGAGAGUGGAAAAUCGGGAAAUUCGCAAAAGUCAUAAUAUUUUAUGUACCGUUUCGCAUAAUUUUGAACGUCGAGGUGCAUACGCGCAUAUUACACGCAUGGUGAAGGACUGGACUGAAAAUAGAAAGACUUGGGGGACCUUUCUGCAUUUUUUUCACUCUAAAUAGGUGUAGGUAUUAGGGUUCCAAACAGGAAACCCUAACCCUAGCCGAUCCAGUGCCCUAGCUGCGCCACCAGCACUUCCUCCACCUCCCUGCCCUCUCCCUGCGCAUGCUCCGGCCGCCGGCGAGCACUUCCGGCCGGCGAAAAUACCUGCAUCAUCUCCCUCUCUCUCCCUCUCGGCCAACCACUUCACCGCAGUGUGGUUGCGGACCCAGGAAGCGACCCUAACUCGAGCACCAUCUACUCUUGGCCGAGAUCCAUCUCCGGUGUCGUUCUCGACGGUCGCCGCCGCCUGCCGCCGUCGCCUGCGCCGCCGCUGCUGGUUCUGCAGCCUGCGGCCACCCCAGCCCGAACCCAGACCGAGCCAGCUCGAACUCUGCGUCCUCGCCUUACUUCGGCCGUGCCGCCCUCCAGUCGGCCCCGGCGACGUCCGGCGACCCGGCGCGCGCGUCCCCCGCCGUCCCCGCGCGCCGCCGGCCGCCGCUGGAGCUUCCUGUGGCCGCCCAGGCACGUGCGGGCCGAGGUCGGGCCCGCUCUAUUUCCAGGCGCUGCCGCCGCCCACCGAGGGGUGCACCGCCUUCCCCUCGGCCUCCGGCGCCGCACCGUAGCCGCCCCGACCUCCUCCGGCCGCCGCCACGCCGCCGGGAAGCACGAAACCGUGAGGGAGUGGGCGGAGUCGAUCUCCUCUGCCGCGCCACCGGUUGCCGCCCGCCGCCGGCCAGCACCCUCCCCGGACCUCUCGGACCGGCUGCUCCUAUCCCCGGCCGGAGUGCCCGCCUCCCGGCCGCCGGCGACCAACCCUAGCUCCCACUGCUCCGGUAUGCUAUUUUUGAGUUCCAGCAUUGCAAUUUAAGCUUUCCGGCCACCUUUCUGGUGAUCCGAUGACUCCCCGACACCUCGAGAAGUGAGCACGAUGAUCUAGGGUUCGUGCUGAACAUCGUGCUCACCUCCGACAGCGGCAAAGAUGCCCUGGUUAGCAAGUUAGUCGCGACCUUCGCGCUGUGCGCACUGUUUCACAGAUUUCGUGUCGCUCGUGCGCGCACCGCAGUGGUCGGCAGUGCUCCGAAAGGUGAGCACGGCCUCCGACAUGAUGAAACCUGUCAGCGAGUGCGACGGUCGGAUUAAUCGACCUCUGGUUUGCGUGCACGGUUCAGAAAAGCCUAGAAAUCACAUAAAAUGAUGCGAUUUCAUGUAUCGGUAUGGGCUUUUAGGACUUUUGCUUCGAUGUAGAUGCUGUUGGCAACACGUUUGGGCUAAGGAUAACCUCUGGACUGAUCGUCCAAGGCCCCAAGCCCUUGCGGAAAUCGAAAAGUGAUUUUCGAUGCGUUUUUCGGCGAAACCCGCCGAUAGAACGCGGGUUCGGUUCGGAAUUAUUCCAACGGUGCUUCGUGAGCUAUUGUGUAGUCGCCGAGCCUUGUUUGCUGGCCACUUGCGUCAUUUCGAGAGUUCAGAAAUGACGAGUGAGCGACGGUGGGUUCCGGUGUCGAAUUAGACACUUCCGGGAACCCGAAUCGAAACGACUAUCCGACGAUAAUUGUUUCGACACGAGGAGUUGUGUUCACUGCCAUGAUGCAUGAUUAUUUAUGUUUAGUGGCAGCAGGUGACUCGUAGCUCAAGUCGGUAUGUUCCGGGACAGUUCGUGGCUCCCGGCGGAGUCCCCGUGCGAUUACGGGACUUCCGGCGUAUUACGGCGAUCGGUUUGGGAAACCGAUCUCCAUGGGUUUGCUUGUAGGUUGUGGAUUUAGUGGUUAUUAGCUGUGGGUCAGACACUAACCCGGUGGACCUUCCUUAGGUCCGGUUGAUGUCCUUUUUCAGUCAGGAGACAGGCGCAGCAUUUGUACAGGUAGGUACUUCGAUCCGAAGUCGGUACAGUGGUGCACGCUCGGUGAUAUUUCUUCUAUCCCUGUUCUUCUGUUGCUAUUUUCGUAUUAUAUGUUGAGCUUGCAUCCCCGUUGUUUCUAUUAUACUCUACUCAUAUGUUUCUAUGCUUAGUAUCAUGUGUAGGAGUAGAGUAGUUCAUCCAUAUGUGAUACCGGUGACCUGAUUGGUCGGUUCUCGUACUUUGUUUCGGUGACCUGAUUGGUCGGUUCUCGUACUUCGUUUCGGUGACCUGAUUGGUCGGUUCUCGCACUUUGUUUCGGUGACCUAAUUGGUCGGUUCUCGUACUUCGUUUCGGUGACCUAGUUGAUCGGUGCUUUUAUCUUAUAUCUGUUGACCUGGUUGGUCGGUUAUUGCAUUAUGUAUUGGGUUGGUCUGCUUCUUGACUUCCGUCGUUUGAUGACCUUUGUGGUCGGUGUACCCUGAGGGGUAGGAUUGUCGGCCAUGGCCGACGGUAGUUCUAGAUUAUAUACUCAGAUGACUUGUUGAUCGAUUCUUGCAUAUAUACAGUAGUUGACCUAUUGAUCAGUAUCUACAUACUUUUGGUAGGAUGUUGAGUUGUUCCAUCCCAGUUGACUUGAUUAGUCAGUACUUGCAUACAGUUGAGAGGAUGUAGAGUCGUUGCAUCCUAGUUGACCUGAGUGGUCGGUUCUUGUGCUUCUUUAUAGUUUGAUUGCCUAUUGGUCGGUUUGCCCCGAGGGGCGGUGAUUGUCGGCUGGUUGCCGACAUUUGGCUAUUGAUCAUAUCUGCAUUGAUCGCCACAGCUCGAGUGCAUUUCACGUACACCAGCGGGUUGAUCCCCCGCAGGAGGGUAUUCUUUUCCGAAAAAGUGGUCGUACAUCCGACCCGUGAGCCCAGCGGUGUUCUCUCUGUGCUACGGUUACAUGCCAGGUGUGAGCAGGUAGUGGCUUUUGCCUGAGGUCCUUAGACCGACACGGCGGUUUAGAUUGGGUACUUUUGGACUACUUGUCCGGUUGACGCAUAUAGUUAUAGUAGCGGUUGUUACAUGUAUACUUGUAGUUCCUUCUUUACACUUAUCUUGCUACUAUAGUUUUGAUAUCCCUGUAUGUAUGCUUUUCGUUCUAUUUACAGUAGCGGUAGUUGUUCUCUCAUAUCUAUAUCUCAUUCGUCAUUAUCGUUGCUACUGUAUUUCACUUACCCAUAUACCAUUGUUUAUCUUCCUGAUCCGGUGAGUACUCCUCGCCCUCGUCGGCUUGCGGUACCCACUGGGAGGGAAGACAUGUUUACAUGUUCUCACCUCCCCCACCAUUUUUCAGGUAUUGCAGGCGUUGAGUUUUGGGACGAGACGUGAGGUACGUUCGUAGCGGUCGAUAGAGCUUCCGACCCAGGUUAUCGGCUUAGUUUUAUCCCUACUAUUCUAUUGUUAUAGCUUAGUCAGUUUAUAUGGUUCAGUAUUUUUAUUACAUUAGAAUAUGUGGACUUUCAUGAAUGUAAUAAAAGGAUUUCUGGAUUUGGUAAAAUAAAAGGUUUUCUACCCCUCGUGGUAGCUUUUAUAAAAGAUAAAAGUUUUCGCACAUGGAACGGUUUUCAAAAGAUUUUCGUGGACUUUUGUUUAAACAUUGAAUGUAAAACUACGGUGUGAAUGGUGAAUGUAUGAAUGUAUAGUUAUCUGUAUAUUCAUUUAGUUGUGGUUGUAUACUGUUUGUACUUUUGUACUUGUGUGACGCCGUGCAAAUAUAGGGGAGACUCUGUCCGUGUGAACAGUAGACUCCCUGUAUUUGUGGCGGAUCUGGCAUACUCUGGGGUCAGGUUUUCAAAAAAAAAUUUAAACGCUUUUCCGCUGUGUUUCAAACAUAAAGGGGACCCGGGGCGUGACACCUCGCCGCCCUCGAUUUCGGCGACAGUAGGAGAAAACCGAGGUGGGCGACGAUAGGAGAAGGGCAAAGAAGGCGAAGGCGAGGCGGCGGAGGACGGCGAAGGGGAUGUGGGUGAGGGCGAGGCAGUGGAGGACGGCGAGGCGGCUAGGCGGCGAGGUGGCGAGCCGGAGGAAGUCGAAGCAACAGGGAGAUGGCAGAGGGGUAUUUUCGGCAUAAAAAUAUAUUUUUUAACGGAACCCUAACGGUAGGGGGUGAAGUGUACAUUUUUUAUUUUACAGGGGGGCAAAGUAUAGGUUUUUAAAUGUCAGGGAGGGAAAGUGAAAAAACGGGUUAGUACAAGGGAAUUUUCUGUAAUUUAGCCUUAUAAAAAAUACUCGAAUAAACUAUACAGAUAAUGCGAAUUACCUAUCCAAUGCAUUUCGAAAUGUUGUAAUUUUUGGUAUUUCUAAAUUAAUAUAAAACCUUGAUGCUGAACAUGUCGACAGAUAGAUCUUAUCUGGAUAUAAAUUUGCUAAUAUUGAUUCUAAUAUUUUUUUCUUAAUUGUUAUUGCUAAUAAUUCUGAUUUAUAAUAGUUGCUUUUUAUCAGAAUGAGAAAGUAUAAAAAUGUAAAAAACAAUUUUAUCAGAUGCUUGGCAUUGCCCCGGAGAAUUUAAGAAAAAGCAAUAAUAGGGAGUGAAGAAAAAAGAAGGAGACAAAAACUAUAAAUAAGAAAAUUGAAGAAGGAAACAGAUGAAUUCAAUAUAUAUAUAUAUAUAUAUAUAUAUAUAUAUAUAUAUAUAUAUGUUGUGAAGAAAUAUGAUAACCUUUGAAUAACAUUUAUUAGCUAGUGAACAAUCUACAUGUGAAGAAAUAUGAUAACUAUUGGAACACAUUAUAAAUUAUAAAAUCACAUUUAAGCAAUGAAGGUCAUGCUCUUCGCUGCAGCUAGCAACAGAUACCUGUAGAUAAUUUUAAAACAUAUGUUACUUUACAAAGAUACAUUACAAAGAGCAGAAAUAACAACCAUAAAUUCUAACCUAAAUAAAAUAAAAAAUCAGAGUCCUUACAUAAAUUGAAAUUAACAAAAUCAUAUAAAAAUUUACAUGAAAGUAAACACUCGUAGAAUCCGAAAAUAUUGAGAAGACAAAGCAACUAAUAAUCGUCGAUAACAUUAAAACCUAUAUUGUAAAAAAAUUGAAACAAUGAUAAUUUUUAUGAUAAACUAACCAAGCUAGUCGCAAAAAGGAAAAAAAUUAAUACACUAUAAAAGGCAUAAUUCAAAUGAAUUCUUUGAAUCUCAGCCAACCAACUAAUUAUAAUAAAGCUGUGAGACCCCAGAUAGUCCUAUAUAUGAGAUAUAAUAGGGCUAAACUCUUAACUCGGCUUAAGCAUUUUGGGUGGUGGCUAGGCCCAAGAGGUUAAGAGAGUUAAGCGUGCUAGGACGGGAGUAGUCCUAGGAUGGGUGACCCCUGGGAAGUUGGGGCGUUACAGAUGGUAUCACAGACAAUUACCAGCCGAAAAUAUGAGAUGAGUCUCGGCUGAGCCAGGGUCUGGAUGACGGGCUAGCGAGACGAGUCUUACAUCGCCUGGUACUUGUGAGUCUGAGCCUGACGAGAACGUCAGAGCUUAAAGGAGGGGAGAUUGUAAGACCCCAGAUAGUCCUAUAUAUGAGAUAUAAUAGGGCUAAACUCUUAACUCGGCUUAAGCAUUUUGGGUUGUGGUUGGGCCUAACGAGUUAUUAUUGCUAGUGGGCUGGGUCGUUACAUUUGGUAUCAGAGCCGGUUCACCAGCUGGACAUGUGUGGCAAGUCUCGGCUGAGCCAAGGUCUGGAUGACGGGCUAGCGAGACGAGUCUCACAUCGCCUGGUGAUCUUGGGCUGUGUGUGUGAUUGGACUGACGAGGACGUCAGGGCCUUAACGGGGGGAGUCUGUGACACCCCAAUAAUCCCACAUCGGAUGGGAAUGGGGUUGUCAUUAGGUUUAUAAGAGACUUAGACACUAGUAAUAAUAACUGGGCUUAAGCAUUUUGGGCCGGUGGUUGGGCCCAACGAGUUAUUGUUGCUAGUGGGCUGGGUCGUUACAAAAGCAAAAACAAUCAGCAAAAAGAAGAAGAGAAGAAAAAGCUUGAAAGGUGAAAUGGAUAGAGCUAAUCUGAGUAAUGAGUUGACAAUGUAGUUGCUUCUAUUUGCAGAGCUUGCACUUUUUGUUCGAGUUCAGCAAAAUGAUGCAAUUUUCUUACCUAAAAAUCGUGCAAUUGAUUGCUUAUUGACCCAAAUCCUAUAAGAUCAAACAGAAAUAUAUAUAUAUUAGUGAAGACAACUAAACAUUAUGAAAUCAAUAGCUUGCAAACUAAAUAGAAACUGCAACUUGAAGAAGUAAGCUGAAUCUUUUGCUUCUUCUGAUCGCUAUAUUGCACCCAUUUUCCAAGAGAGUAGCGUAGGCAGUGUAGAUGCAGAUAAAUCAUAGAUCAGAGAGAAAGAGAGAGAGCAAGAGAGAAAGACCCCGAAACCUAAAAAAUCUUGAUCGGAGAGGUAGAAAGUUCGAAGUAGUAGGAUUUAUGGUCGGUAGUUGUGCAGAGUACCCGAAACCUAGAAAAUCUUGAUCGGAGAGGUAGAAAGUUUGAAGUAGUAGGAUUUAUGGUCAGUAGUUGUGCGGAGUAGUGCGGAGUAGUCUACUAUAAUUUUAUGAAACACAUAGUCAAAAAUCUGGACAAAAACAUAUAAGGCUCAGACCUUGCUACCCCCCUACAAAAGUAAAGAACCGCGUCGGCUAGCAUGCUGAAUCUAUAUCUGGAGAAGCAUCGGGCAGGCAGCGAUGAUUCCCAUAAGGCCAUCCGCAUUGGCAUGCCUUGGGACAUUAUGUUGUACCAAAAUAUGAAGUAGCACCUGGAAGGCUGCAGUGAUUGCCUGAAAGCCAUUCGGACUGCCAUGCCUUUUAAAUAGAGAUAGUAGAGAAGAAAAUAUCAAGCAGCUACCCUUAUCAUCAUUGCCUUACGUCAAAAAGCAGGAGGAGCAAGAAUAAAUAAAAGAAAAUAGAUAGAAAAUAAUGUUCAGUGCCGGCAAAAAGAACUCCAACUAAAACAAAGAAAGAAUGUAAAUAAAGCACAUAGAUAAAAAAAAGAUGCAUUGUGUAGUUUGGAAAGAAAAAAAUUUCAAAUUCAAACAAAACAGGGAUAGAACUGAACUUCAAUAGGAUGAGGCACACAAAAUGACAGAAGCAAAGCAAUAGUACCCAUAUAGAAGAAAGCAAAUAAGAACUUAUAGGGAUCAGUAACAAUAAUAAAAGACAUUAGUAACAAUAAUAAUAGACAUCAUAGCCAAAAAUAUAUAGUAGAUGGACCACCGAAGCAACAUAUUUUUGAAAAUAUAUAGCAGACGGACUAAGGAGAGGAUUGGAUGAGCUACAGAGUGAAAGAAAGAAUACCUUUCUCUAAAACAGGAAAGAAAAGAAAUGCAAGCAACAACUCUGAAACCACGAUUCUACUCGAACACAAAACAUAUCCUUAGAUUCCUUCUUCCCAAACAUAUUUUACAUAUCUUUAGAUGUUCACUUUCCAAAACAACUAGCUGACAAUUUUUUCCAAACAAAACAUAUCUUCAGAGAGAUGGUAAGUACAAAAGGCAUGAUUUUUUUUUUCCUCCAAAGAUAAAUGGAAACAAAAAGAAGAAAGUAGACAACAUCUGCAAGCCCCCACACCGACCAAACAAAAAAAUGAUAGGCCGGAUAUUUUGCAAUCAUUCUGAAGCAUUAGAGAGGACCUGAGCACUAUCUUCAUCGGGAAAAAUAGCAAUUCACACAUUCCAGUUUUCUUUUAAAAUAGGUUUGAAGGUGAAGACAAUGAAAAAAGCAGAAGUAAAAAUAUAGGGGAAGGGAAAAAUCUGGACAAAAACAUGUAAGGCUCAGACCUGGGCACCGAAAACGGUGGUAGAUUUUAUGAGCACGAUCCUGUCGAUCCAGUCUGAAACAGAAAUAGGGGGCGGAUGCUGCGGUGUAGAGAGGAGAAGAAAAGAUUUACUGUAAUGGACUGGAGAAGAAGCAAGAUCGCAUGGAGGGGGAGCGAUUUACUGUAACGGAUAAGAAGAACAUGAGAAGAAGCAAGGUCAUGAGGAGGCGGUGCGAUUUACUAUUUCGCGCGAAGAAGAAGCAAGGUUGCGUGUAUUGGUUCGGUUUGAUUUAGAAGUUUAGAUAGUGAACGGUUCGGUUCGGUUCUGUUCGGUUCAGUUCAGUUCAGAGAGAGGCAGUUCAAUGGUUCGGUUCAGAUGUUUAGAGACAAAGGUUCGGUUCGGUUCAGUUCAGAGGUUUAGAGAGAUGCAGUUCAAUGGUUCGAUUAAGAGGUUUAGAAAGAUGCAGUUCAAUGGUUCGAUUCGGUUUCAAAUAGACGAUUCGGUUCAAAAGAAAUGGUUUGGUUCAAAGUAGGUUAUAGAUAAUUUUUUUUAUUAUUAUUAUAAUAUUAUGAGGAUGAAGGGUUUCUUGCCAUGUGGCAAGAAAGAUUGUCGAUUCAUUUAGGUUAUAGAUGAUUAAACAAUAUAAAAUGUGAACCAUUAUAUUUCAUUCAAUCUAAAAGUAUGAUCAAUUAGUUCAAUCAUUUAUGAAUGUCAACAUACCAAAUAAUUCAAAUAAUUAACUAAGUGACAAAUUUAUUAGUAAUCACCAAAAAUAAGAUAAUAAAAUAAAUUCCUCCAAGAGCGCACUAGUAAUACUUCAAUGUCAUUCACCUACGAAUAUUCUCGACCUGCAAAAAUUAAAACAAAUUACAAGUCUUACUACUGCCAAGUUUUAAUUUGCGAAAAAUUAAAUAGUCUGAAAUGCAGCAUCUCCAAUUGUUUUCAAAUUUUCAUAUGAUCUAAUUAACUUUUCUGAUGAAAUAAUGGGUACUUCAAUAUAAACUUCCCAAAACUGAGUCCCCAGUCUUCCGCCCCCUACUUGUGUAAAUGGAUUUUCAAUAUUAAUAAGAUAAUAUGCAUGAACUAGAUAACAAUCAAAGAUAAGCAAUACAAUAAACAUUUUCAUAUACAAAUUCAAACAUAAAAGUAAAACAAAAAAAGUUUUGAGACAAGGAAAAUGUCAAUAUCAUAGAUUAUCUCAUAUACUUGAAUUAUAAAUACUCUACAAUGAGUAAUUUGCCCAACAUGAAAACUUUUUAUGUUAUUUGGAAUGCAAAUAAGUACUUGCUCUGGGACAUCUCAAAAAUUGCUCUGUUAUAUAUGGGUAGCUAACAAUAUUGAAUGUAAGAUGAGAUCCUGGUCACAAUAUAAAUAUAUAGAGAUUAUAAGAGAUUGCUCUCUUUUAGCUAACAGAAAAAAAAGGCAAAUAAAUAUUUAGGAAAAUUAGAUGAUUAUUCCUUUUAUAUAGAAUUAAAAAGACAAAUAAUUAUUUAAUAAAAGAUUAAAAUUAAUAAAGCAAAACUUAAAAUUUUAUAAUGGAUCAAUGCACAUGAUAAAUUAUCUAACACUUGAAUUAUUUUAUUAUAGUCUGAUACUUCUAAUGCUUUAAAUAUGGAAUAGUAUAUAUAACAGAUUAAUGAUUUUAUUGAGAAUUUGUCUACAAAUGGUGUGCUAUUUUGGUGAUAAAUAGCUUUUUGUCCAAUCAUAUUGAGAAUUACUUCAUUAUGACAAAAAUAUCUCAUCCUUCUUAUUUCCUUGGUAAUAAUUCAGUGAAAGUUGAAUAUGGUUACAUACUAAUUAACAAAAAUAUAGAAAUCCACAAAAAACCCACGUCCAAGACCAUAUGAAGAUCUGAGAGAGAAAAUAGAUAGAUAUCGAGAGACCUAUUUUCAAGAAACGACGUCAAACGACAAGAGAGCGACGAGGACCACUGGCGACAAGCAUCAAUUUCAAGCAGCAAGCCGUCGACGCAUGAACCACCGGCGAUAAGCAACAAGAUUUUUGAAGUACCGUACGAGAAGAGAAAUAAUAAAUCGUGAGGAAGAAGCCGCUUGAAAAAAAUUAGGAAGGAAACUGUGCGCGCUAAAAAUAAUUUUAGAAGCCGUUUACAAUUGUAGACGCCCGCGCGCUCGUGAAGUUGAGUGGGACGAAGGAGCGAGGAAGCGAAGUUGAGGGCGUUAAUUGAGGACGAAGGGGCGACAAGCAAACUAAUUAAAAACGUCUGCCUGGGCGAGCAAGCAAACUAAUUAAAAAGUCUGCCUAGGGUUUUUUAAUUAAGAAUAUGAUAUUCUCACUAUUUAGUUUUAGUUAUUUGGUGUUCACAUACACUCCAUUAUUGUACAUAAUACAUAAUAUCAAGAGUACAAAUAACAAAAUAAUAAAAUAUUAUUAAAUUAACACUAAUAUCUAUCUAUUAAAACAACCAGGAUUAAUAUAGUAGCUAAUUAAUUAUAGAAAAAUUAAUUAAUUAUGCAAAUAUGGAAUUACAAAGAAAAGGGCAGUGCUAUAACAGUCGUUAAUUACAACUGAAAUUGCUGCUAAGAAAUAAAGAGUAGCGGUAACUACAAAGGUCGCUAUAUAUUUAACUUAGCGGCAUAUUUUGAAUCUGUCGCCAAAAAAAUUGCCACUAUAUAGCUUAUUUCUUGUAGUAUGACGACGCUUUUUGGACUAUGGGAAGUGUUGAGCAACAGUGUUAGUGAGGUUUGAUGUUCAGAUUGUUUGAGGUCCCAAAAUCUCCCGCGGUUGAUUUAGUGCAAAUGACAAAAAUCGAGCCGAGAUCAGAUCGAUGAAUUGGGUUUCGAUUGCGUUUUCACAGAAUCGGAAUUGUGGAUAUCCUGAAUAGGUGUCAAGCCUCAUUGGCUGACCUCGCCUCGCUAUUUGUGUCCCUUGUGGCAGUGUAAACGUUGUGGGUGGUCUCAAUAUCGAAAUAAAUAUUCUGGAACCCGGUUUGAGUUACUUUUUGGAGCUGUGGCUCCUGUUCUUGCGCGUUUUCUUUACGGUUUGCCAAACACCAAAAAUAGGGUGAUUGGGGACAGCAGGAAAGAUUCGAAGAUGUUUGGUGUGACUCGGGACAUUUUGUGGCCUGACGUGACAUCCUGGUGGGUUUAUGCGGAAGUAGGCGGAUUUCGAAAAUCGAUAAGUAGGUCCUAUGUUUUGAUUGGGUCGUUGCGUGUUUGUGGUUGACUUGAUGUCACCUGGUUGGUAAUGUUGUGGUGUUGAUACUGUCGUAGGAUCGAACUUUUAUUGUGUGCGUAAUCUGACAUCAAAGUGGUGUUCCGAUUAUCGUAGCGGUGCCUUUAGGCCUUGUCGUGGGUUUAAUUCAGUGGUUGUUGUCUAGUUCGUCGAGCACUUGCCGUGCGGUCGUCCUGACACCUAAAGUGGUGUGUCUCUAAAUAGUAGAAGUGUUGUUGUGAUUUCCUGUUGAGUCUGUUCGUUAUUGGGCUUACUUCUGUGAACUUGGUUGUGGAAUUGAUGUUCCAGUCGGGUCGUGGUGCACGUUGGUAUAGGUUGAGCGUGUCGUUUAGUAUAGAUGACACGUGUGGUACUGAUUGUGACAUUUGGUAAUUGUAUCUUUUAGGUACAGGUGAUAGCUAGAUACGUUGGUCGAGUCGAGGACUUGGGUACUUGAAGAGGUAAGUACUCCAUUCUGAAAUCGGUAAAGUUGUAUCUUACUCGGUUUUCCUAUAUAUUUCUAUUGUUUUAUUAAACUCGUGAGUAGUAUAACUUGACAUCCUAAUAUGACAUGCUCGUUGCUCUACGUGUUGGUUGCUUGAUCUAUCUACUUAUCAUAUUGCUUAUAUUGGUACCAAGAAACACUUCCCCUUUCCCCCUCGCUCUCCCCCUCCCUCUCGUCGCUGCUUUUCAAAAGGAAGGAGGAGAACCCCUGAACCCUCUCAACCCUCGAUUCAGGAACCUUGCCUAGGGUAUAUCUACACGAUUCCUCUCUCUUUCUCGCUCUUUUUUUCUUUCUCACCCUCAACAUAGAGAGCCGUGGGGCGAGCAUCGAGUCGACCUCCAUUAAUGGCGUAAAGCUCUACUCCUUUUCGGGCCAGCGCUACACGGCCACACGGCUCACCCCGAGGAAGCAGAGAACAUAGAGCCCUUCGCAAGGACAAAGGUCCUCUUCUAACCCUAUCCAAUUCAGUUUGUUCUUUAUUUCUCUUUAUUUAUGUUUGUAAAGCAGCCCAAUUUAUGAUUUAUAUUUUUUGGUUUAUAAAUUGUGAAAAAAUUCAUAUUUUUUUCCGAUAAUAAGAUCCUAGUUUGAUGAAUGGGAAGUUGGGUUUUUUCUCUCGAACAAUUUAUGUUUUAUAAAUUUUAUAUUGGUUCGGUUAAAAAAUAUUUAAUCAUAGAGGAAAUAUUGUUAAAAACUUGAAAAUAAUUAUUUUUAGAUAGAAAUUGGUAGGUAUAACAUGAGGUUCAUAAAGAAAAAUAAAGGGAGAAAACUAAUACCGAGAAUUCAGUUUUGAUUUUUAUCUUUCAUUUAUCUCUAGACAUAAAUUCACAAUUCUUUUGAUUUGAAUAUUGUUAAUAUCGAUUAUAUGAAUGGCUAUUGAAAACAAUAAGUGAAUUAAUGUAUUACAAGAAAAGUUUGAUAAGUUGCAUUACAAUAUAAUGACUGAACCCUUCAUUGUGUGAUGUUCUAACCAUAGUUAGUUAAUUCGUGAAUAAUUCGCGAAUUUUUCGCAAAUUUUUGAAGAAACAAAUAAAUCAGCUGAAAUCAAUAAUUUUUUGAAAAAUUUAAAAAAAAAGUGAUUUUUUGAUCAAAAAUAAUUAUUCGUGAAUUAUUCGCGAUUUCCGAAUAAUUCGCCCAAAAAAAACGCCCGCUCGCCCGUCGCGUUUGGUUCGAGUUGUGUAAUAUUAUAUUGUACUAGUGUUGAACCCGUGCUUUGCUGCGGAUAAUUUUGACGCUAAUUCGAAAGUAUAAUUAUAAAAGAAAAAAAAAAAAAGAGAACCAAGAAAAAUUAAAAGAGAAUGACAACAAAAUAUAUCAUUAUCAACUAUACAAAUAUAUAUUUAGAGUGCAUGAUUACUAAGCAUUAAGAUAUAUUGGUUAAAUAUAAUUUAGAAAACAUAUAAAAAUAAGAAGGAAUUCUAAAAAUUGACACAAACUUAAGCAAUACAACGACCGCUGUCCAUCCCGUCAGCACGUCUUCAGGGUGGCGCAAUAUGAACAGUAUGAGCUUUCAGAGAUCCAACAAAAAUGAAAAUAUAAAGCUCAGUAUAGAAAUCAAUGUGAAAGAAAGGUGAGGUAGAAGAGACUAUUAAGGUGCAAGCUGAGGUUAAGUCUUCUCAUACGCAUAUGUGCACCUUCAUCUUUUUAACCUCUAUAUAUGGAAAAGGUUUUGGUCCAAAGGAAUAUGUUGGUCAAGAUAUUGACCCUUUCCAAUGUUGGUCCUCUUUUCAAUAUUGGUCCUCUUUCCAAUAUUGGUCCUCAUGUUGGUCCUCUUUCCAAUGUUGGACCCCUUUCCAAUGUUGGUCCUCUUUCCAAUAUUUUACCAAAUCCGGGUAAAAUUUUUUUGCGUGAAAAAAAGAGCCAAAUGUGAAGGCUUUAGGGAGAAGAGAGAAAAUGAAUGGCGUGAAGGCAUAAAUUACUUCCACGUCUAUUGUCACAACCAUCAAAUUAUGUAUUUGUAUGAAUUUCGAUAUAUCCAGAUGUCUUGGAUUUCUAAAUGAGAUUACUACUGAUGCGGUAUUAGUGCGUUUGGUUUAAUAAAGUAAUGUAAUGCUGGAUUGCAGUGUUUAUAACGUUACUAUGUUUGAUUCUGUCUAUAAAAUUUAGUAAUCUAGACAAUAAAAUAUAGUCUAUUCCAAAAUUGUCCUUAGUCAUAUUUAUUAAAUUUUUUUUACUGUUCACAAACAAUAUUCUUUUACCAAAUUUUAUUUUAAAUAAUUUAAUUUUUUAAAUUUUAAAUUUUAACAAAAAUACAAAUUUAAUAUUUUAAUUUAAAAUAUAAAUAUAAAAUUUCUAAAUUUAAAGUCUAAAAUAUAAAUAUAAAUAUAUAUAAAAUAAAAAAUUAAAAUCUAAAUUUAAAAUUCAAAAUUUAAAAUACAGAUUUGUAUUUUAAAAUUUAAAAUUUAAAAUUUAAAAUUUAAAAUUUAAAAUUUAAAUUUAAAAUUUAAAAUUUAAAAUUUAAAUUUUAAAUUUAAAAUUUANCAACAUAUAUAUUUCCCUUAAUUAUAUAUGUCGAUAAUCAAAUGCAUAUAUAGGAACGAUUGUUAUAAACGAAACUAAUUAAUUAACAGUGCUUGCUCCCAUAUGGGGCCGGGGAGAUAUAUAUAUAUAUAGAUAGAUAGCUAGAGAGUUGCUUUAAGUUUGGCACACUUAAUUAAUUAAUUAGCUCAUAUAAAGCUGUGUGUCAAAUACAAGCUAGAUUCAUAGAUUGGGCUUUUUUUGCAAAUAGCCCUCUGAUAAAUUUUAUUUUUAAAAUUGGCCCUGUCAAAAUUUUAUUUGCAAAAAUGGCCCUGGUCCCGUCACGCAAGCGCCACGUCAGCGCCACGCGGGCGGGACUGGGCCAUGUGUUUAAGUUGAACACGGUGAACCAUUCACCGUGUUCAAUACAAGGUUUUUGUAUUAGACACGGUGAAUGGUUUACCGUGUCCAAUACAAAAUGGUUAACUGCGAGGUAUUUGUAUUGGACACGGUGAAUCAUUCAUCGUGUCCAAUACAAAUAAUUGAACACAGUGAAUGAUUCACCGUGUCCAAUACAAAUACCUCCAACUUAGCCAAAAAUGACUAAGUUGUGGGUGUUUGUAUUGGACACGGUGAUACAAAUACCUCGCAGUUAACCAUUUUGUAUUGGACACGGUGAACCAUUCACCGUGUUCAAUACAAGAUUUUUGUAUUAGACACGGUGAAUGGUUCACCGUGUCCAAUACAAAAUGGUUAACUGCGAGGUAUUUGUAUUGGACACGGUAAUUCACCGUGUCCAAUACAAAUAAUUGAACACGGUGAAUGAUUCACCGUGUCUAAUACAAACACCCACAACUUAGUCAUUUUUGGCUAAGUUGGAGGUAUUUGUAUUGGACACGGUGAAUCAUUCACCGUGUCUAAUACAAAACCUUGUAUUGAACACGGUGAAGAUUCACCGUGUUCAACUUAAACACAUGGCCCAGCCCCGCCCGCAUUGUGCUGACGUGGCGCUUGCGUGGCGGGGCCAGGGCCAUUUUUGCAAAUAAAAUUUUGACAGGGCCAAUUUUAAAAAUAAAAUUUAUAAGGGGGCUAUUUGCAAAAAAAACCCUUAAAAAAAAUAUUUUCAUUUUACAUAAUAUGUAGUAUUGCCGGUUUUCAGUAAUGCAAGAUACACGAUCCCCUAUCGUUAAUAUUUUCGGUAUAAUUUUGCUUGAUUUGUAAUGUUAUAUUAACGACGAGAUUAUAUAGAGGAUAAACCAAAUACGAUAAUUCUGACAGGAUUGCUUAUAAUCCAGUCAGGAUAACUUGAAACAAACGCACCUUGAAACAAACGCACCCAAAAAGGCCAAAAAAAAAAAAAAAAAAAAAAACCAAGAAAACCUUCGGUCCGCAACCCCACCUAAAAAAAGAAAAAAAAAUCACUCGAUCAAAAAGGUUUUGCCCUAACUUCUCACCCCUGCGGCCCUGCCACCGACCCCAGCCCGUAUCCCUUCCCCUCGCCCUCUUCCCUUCCGGCCGCUCGCCGAACGCCACCGGAAGCCCCCGCGGGGCCACAUCGAAGAUCGAGUUCUUCACUCUUCAGAAAUCAGAGCCCUCCUCGUCGCCUCUUCCUCUUCCUCUUCCUCUUCCGCUUCCGCUUCCGCUUCCGCUUCUGCUCUCCAACGAUGGAUCAGUAAUCGGGUGGUUCUUUACAAGAAUUUUUAUGCUUUAGUUUCUCUCUCCCUUUUCUUUAUUUCAUCUUCUCUUAAUUGCUAACUGUAUGGUUUUGAGUAACAAGACCAUGACUACAACAUGUAGCAUCAUUGUAAACAUGCAUUUAUUAAGAUUCAUUACUUAUUUUUUUUAUCUUUAAUCUCUACAGCAUACAUGAAUAAUUGAAUAUACCCAGCAUACAAGAAUAAUCAGCAAAUAAGGUUUUAAGAAUUAAGACCUCAAAAGGUUUGAUAUGCCCGGCAGGUUGUGAGUAAGGUUUUUGAAAGUCACAAGCAUAUGCAUUGAUUAAAAACCAAGGGAGAUACAGAUUUGAGUUUGCUAUUUGCUUAAUUACCCUUAUUUAUUUAUUUUGGGGCAUAAUAUAGUUUGCUAUUUUUUUUUUUUUUACUUAAUUAGCUUAAAGAAUUAUGAGUAUUUAUGCUAAUAGCAUAAAUCUUGAGAGAAAAAAAAUUUAAUUUAAUAGUCGAAUUUUUGAUCCCGAAUUUUUAAUUGGUGAACGUAUAAUAUCCGUAUAAAUCACGUAUCCGAAUAAUUGGCGAAUCCGUUUUUUAGCCGUACCUUUCAAAGAAUUUAAAAAUUAGAAAACGAAUUUUAUCCGAAUUAUAUCCGUACCGAAUUUUUGCCGAAUCCGAAUUAACUAACUAUGCUCUAGAACAUCGACUCAGGGACCUCGGCUAGGGUCUCUCUCUCUCUUCGCACCACCCUUGACAUGGCGGGCCGUGGAGAAAGCAUCAAGUCGACCUCCAUUAAUGGUGUGAAGCUCUACUCCCUCUCGGGCCAGCGCUCCACGGCCACAUGGCUCACCCCGAAGAAGCAGAGAGCCCUUCGCAAGGACAAAGGUCCUCUUCUAACCCUAUCCGAUUCAGUUUGUUCCUUCUUUCUCUUUAAUUUAUGCCUAUAAAGUAGCCCAAUUUGAUGAUUUAUAACGUUCUAGUUUAGAAAUUCUGAAAAAUUUCAUCUUUUCUUUAGGAGAUAUAAUCCUAAUUCGAUGAAUGGGAAGUUGGGUUUUCUCUCUAACGAUCAUAUUUAUAAAUUUUGUAUAGCUUCGGUUAAAUGCAUUUAAUCAUAGAGAAAUAUUGUUGGAAACUUGAAAUAAUUGUUUUUAGAUAGAAAUCGGUAGGGAUAACAUGAGGUUCAUAAAGAACAAGCAUGUGAGAAAAUUAAUACUGAGAAUUCGCUUUUGAUUUUCAUCUUUCAUUUGUCUCUAGACAUAAAUUCACAAUUCUUUUGAUUUGAUAGUAUCAAUUUUUGUUGGUAGUAUUGUUAAUAUUGAUCAUAUGGAUGGCUGUUAUGAAAAAUAAACGGAUUAACAUAUUGCGAGAGAAGCUGGAUAAGUUGCAUUACGAUGUAAUGACUGAACCCUUCAUUGUGUGAUGUUCUAAUUCUAUCAUAUCUAUAGAAACGUAAGAACCAGGGAAGACUGCAAUAAUAGGGAAAAAUUUUAUGUUCAUCAGCUACUGCUGCUUGCAUUGGCAUUUUUUUGCCACUUGCUUCCUAAACCUCCUCAAGUUUUAUGCUGACUUGAUCUAAUCUUUACCUCCUUGUUAUUUCAUUUUGUUUUUCUCGACUUUCUAUAGUUCGGUCUUUCAAUUGAAAAAUAGAUUAAUAUCAUAAACUUUCCUAUUUUUCUUUUCAGCACUUGUGCUCACUUUGGGGCUUUUGCUAAUUGCAUUGAUUUGAAAAUUGUGCUGUUUGGAUUUUAUUUAAUUGAGAAAACGUCCGUAUGUGUUACUCUAUAAUUAGCGAGCGUCCUAGGUUGGUUGCAGUAAUAUUUCUUACGUAACAGGAGGAAGGUCAAGGAAAUUGGCUGAAUGCUUGGAACCUUUUUUUUUUUUUUUUAAAUGUCUCUUAUCUUCUUUCUUCUUUGCUAUUUUUCAUGUUGUAAGAUUUUCUUUAACUGUUUUAUGAUGGCUUGAGAGAUUUUUAUGAUUUUCAACUGAUUUAAUGUUUUUCCUUUUAUCGAGGAUUAGGUUAUCAGCAAAGAGUGGACCUAAUCCAGGACCUAAGUUUUGAGACAGCAACAACUAAAAUUAAGGCAACUCCUAAUGGAGAGUAUGUUAUUGCAUCAGGUACAUGAGUUCGUAAUCAUCUUUCUUCAUAUGGUUAUAGUUAAUUUAAUGAGAGUGAAUUGUUCUCUUUUCUUGUAACUGUGAAAUCAUGCCUUUCUAGCGCAUGGUGGUGGUGGAAUUUUUGAGUACUUCUUGUGACCAUGAUUUUUUUUUAGUUGAAACAUGUUUAAUGCAGUCAUUUGGUAUUUUGUUUUAGGUAACCAUGAUUUUAUUUGAGUUGAAACAUGUUAAUGCAGUCAUUUUGUUUUAGGUAUUUAUCCUCCACAAGUAAAAGUAUAUGAGUUGAAACAGUUGUCAAUGAAGUUUGAAAGGCAUCUCAUUUCAGAAAUUAUAAAUUUCCAGGUUCCCUCUAAUGUUCUCAUUUCUUAUUUGUCUUAUUGUGUAUUUGCUUUCCAGCUAUUUUGCAGAUCAGGCAUAUUUUUUAUCUUAUUUCCACUUCUUCUGUUGCUUGUGCAAUAUUCUUUGUUAUUUUACAAACUUUAAUGCCACUUUUUGAUAGGCCAAUAAUUUUUCUUAUAUACAAGCCACUGUUAAACAUCUUUGAUUCUUUCCCUUGUGUUGUUGACGAAGCAUAGUAGCUCAAAUUUUAGUAUUUGACAGUUCAAGGUGAUAAUUUUGUUCUAAGUGGUGAUUUGCAACAAAUAAGGCUCUUUAUGAAUUUUCAUUCCUAAGGUUUGAAAAUAUAUGGAAAUAUUGGGAUAUAAGGCGGGUUCAAAGAUUUUACAGACCACAAAUUCGAAUUUGUAUUAUUAGAUGUUCACUCUGCAAUGUUUCUACUAAAGUCGAUAGUUGGGGUGUUUAAAAUUUUAUUUUUUUUAAUUGGUAUUUUUUUAAAAUUUUUUGGUGAGAAGUAUUUGUGACCCUAUCAUUUUUGUAGAUGACUUCAAAAAAAUUUAACUUACAGAUAUUGGGUGUGAGUUGAGUCUUUGCAUAAUUCUAGAGAUCCUUGCUUUUAAGUAUGAGCUCACUUCUAUGGUCAGCCUAGACCAGUACAUUUAAUCUUCAUGUUCAUAAUAGUGCUCCCAAUUGAUGAUAAAGCCACUUAACUUAACAGAGUGCUGUGAAAUCUGGAUUACGAAUUGGAGAAAUCAAAUAGCACCAAUCCAUUUUCUCUCCAUCUUGUUUUACAAUAAUGUUGGUAUCAUCAGUUGAUGUGGGCUUUUGUCUUGUAGUCAAGGAUUAAAGUGCCGCCUCAUGCUGUACGGCACGGGGCGGCACGUACCGUGCCUAGGGGGGUCUCGGACCCCCCCUCGUGCCGCGGCACACUCCGCCGUAUCACACGAGACCGUGCGUUAUGGCAGAGUGUGCCGCGGCACAGUGCCGUGUCGACAUUGUUGUUUUAUUUUUAUUUUUUGCUUUUUGCUUUUUUUUCCUUUUUGUUUUGUUCUUUGGGAUACCAAGAAACUUCCGAGUAUCCCACAUCCCCCAAAGACAUUGCAAAUCAAAAAUCUACUUGUUGAGUAAGCCAAAAAAAUUAUAAUUUAAUUUUUUUGUUUGUCAAUAUAUUGACAAAUUUUUAAUUUACAUAUCUGAUUCAUACUGCGGGGCCGAAGCCCCCCGCAUCCCCCUCGGAUGUCAGUAGUGGGCUGCGGGCUCUAGGCCCGAGCCCUCUGUUUCUACCACAAACAUCCAUUUUUUCUUUACAAAUUAUUUUAUCAAAAUUUGUCGCAUCGUGAAAUUUUUUGCGAAUUAGGGGAACAAAAUCGAACUCAAUAAACAAAUUUUGAGGCACAUCAAACAUAAAAUUUAAUUUUUGCGUUAGAAGAUUGAAAUUACUGAUAAAAUUAAAAGCUAAAUUAAAUCAAUUGAUACUUAAAUUUAUUUAAUUUGUUUGUUAUAUAAUUUAUUGCUUAAGUUUUUUAAUAGAUUUAAUAAUUUUUUGAAAAAAAUAAUUAAAAAAUAAUUUUUGAAAAUAAUUUUGAAAAUAAUUUUUUUGUAUUUUAUAAAAGGAAGACUGUAAUAUGGUUAAAAGAAAGAAAGAAAGAAAGAAAGAUGUCUUUGCAUUUUAAAAAUUUCAACAUGUAAAAAUUUUUAUUCUGCAUCAGGUAUAGUUGUACUUUACAUACAAAAAAACUUACAAUUAUAUUAAUUGAUGAGUAUAGCAAGCUAUACAUUGCAAAUAUUCAUAAUUAUUUGAUUAAAUCUUUCAAAAUAAUAUUAUAAGAACUUAUUGGAACAAAAAAAACUGAAAUAAGUCCGUGCCAAAACGUGCCAGUAGGAGGUCAUGCGUAUCCAUCGGCACGCAAGCGUAUCAUGUAUCGGCACGGAAGCGUGCCGAUGCCGUACUGUGCCAGGCAGACAGCAGCACGCUCCCGUGCCACAGCACUUUAAACUUUGCUUGUAUUAUCUUACACAUUCUGAGUGGACAAACCCAUUAGUUCUUAUCGACUAUCCAUAUAAGUAUGCUGUAUGUUUGCUUGAAAUUUGCUUGGGAAUUAAACAUAGGCAUUGUAUAAAACUAUAUGCACCUCUGAAUCAUUUAAAAUAUACAUUCCAUUAAGGUUGAAACAAUGCCGGUCCUCUUCUCUGCAUAUUCAUAACUUUCUUCUGUGCCAUUGGCACCUUCUUUGGGGAGUUCAUGAUAUUUAUGCACUUAUGUCUGUUAAUCAAGGAUCACUCUAUUUUGGCAUGGGUCAUGGCAGAAGUCAAUACAUUUCGGGAAGCUACCAUUGCAUGAGUGACAUGAGCUUGAAAUGGAUGCGAUGAGCCUACAUGAUUUAGUGCUUGUGGGACUUGGCUUCUUAUUUUGCUUUGUACUGUACUCACCUUUAGUAAAGCAUCUGAAAAACUGAAAAGUUUGUAGCUUCUGCUGUGGUGGGAAAAUUAAAUGAGAUUUUGAGGGUGCUUUAACAAUGUCAUGUUUGUUUUGCUCCGCUUCUUCUUUUGCUUUAAUCUGCAGUCACAUCUAGAAAAUUUUGUGGCUUUUGCUGAGCUUCUGAUUUUGUGAAGAGAAGCAAUUUUGGGCUCGAGUAACAAUUCAUCGAACAUCAUUAUGCCCUGAAGAAGAGAAGGGCCUAAGUAGGCCCUUAGUACAAGGUCAAUAUAAUCUGGUGCUUGUUGCUCGAAUGGUGUAUCAAGUGCUUGUAAUGUUCUGAAAUACUACAUGCUUUUUGAGUAGCCUUGAUUUACUGAAGUAAAUAAAAAAAGUCCUAGUAAGUAGCAGUCGUUACUUAGUCCAUCUGUUUACAUCUACCUGUUCAUGCAGCAUAUAAACAACUUAAAUCCAGUGUGCUUCCUAUUUUACAAAUACCUGGGUUAAGUAAAUCUAAUUAGAGUUCCUUUUCUAUUGUUUGCAAAUUGUAAUUGCUUUUUGUUGCCUGUAUUAUUCCUUGAGAAAGAUUUGCGACAAAGUUUCAAGUUGUAUCAUGCACUUCUUUAUUGGAUUCUCAGGAUAGACUCUUUGCUGAUAACCUUCUCCCUUUAUAUGUAUUUUAUAGGUAUUUUAGAUUAGUGAGCGAUCUUUUAAAUUGUAAAGUACUUAUAGUUGUCAUUGCUGUGAUAACUAAUUAGGGUCUCUUAUAUAGGUAUUAGAUGAAGACUAUUCAAAGAUAGCAUUUUUAUGUUCUGAUCGCUCUGUGUGCCUACAUGCGAAGUAUGGAAGCCACUAUAGCUUGAGACUUCCGAGGUUAGUUUAAACUCUCUCUCUCUCUCUCUCUCUCUGUGAAUAUUCUAUGAUACAAUGUUUCUUUCUGUAUUCACUUGGUAUAGGAGGGUUUAACUGCAUUGGUGUUCUGUUAUUCCUGAAAGCCUGAUUAGUCCAAGGUUGCUGUUGCCUGUUGAACUGUUGAGCUUGCAUAAAGACUAAUAUUUUUCUAUUACCAGGAUGGGAAGGGAUAUUGCAUAUGAUUGCUGGUCCUGCGACUUGCUAUGUGCUGCUUCCUCACCAGAUCUGUACAGAAUCAAUUUGGAACAGGUCACCGUAUUAUCUUUGAACUUAAUAAUUUUUUUCUUUUCUUUUCGUGCUUUUUUUAAAAAAAACCUUUUAAGCGUGCUUCAUAUAAGCUGCCUUGAAUUUUCCUUUGUGGCUACUGGCUAGGGUCUGGUGCAUGCAAAUUACAUUGUGAAAGUUGGACGUCACUGUUUUAAGCCAUAUUUAGUAGUAUUCUGAUAUUGUAUAUGAAGAGAAGGCAAAAAACUAUGUUUACUGUUUAAUUGAGGGAAACAAAAAAGAAAGGGAGGGGGGCAAUAGAUAGAUCGCUCUAUAUAUCUGUAUAUUUUUUCUGUCUGUAUAUUUAGCCAAUACAUGCAAGGAUAGUUCUAUGGCUUUUAUUGCUUUCAUCAGAUUUGUUUGGUUAAUAUUGCGGCAUUACUAGUACGCGACUGAAAUUAGUUGCUGUUGUUAUAUACAGAUGUUUUGGUCGCAAUUUUAGUAGUCUAUGAAUGGCAAUCAGGGAGAAGUUGUGAUAGUGACUUUUAGUGUGAGACAAAUGCUAGUAUCAAUAAUCCUUUUGCUCUCUUAUACUGACUAGGUCCUUUUGGCAUUGACAAAAGCCUAUCUGCAAGGCAAAAUUUUGCUUUUGGUUUUAUAUUCGACGAGGUGGAAGUUCAAAAGUUUAUUUUUUUUACUUAUUCUUUGCUCUUAGUUCCUUUCUACAUUAUAGGUAUCAUUUGGCAUUCUCUGAUUCUGAUGCAAAUACAAAAAUCCCCAGCUUAUUUUUGAUGAUUUUGGGUUACUUCAAGUGGGAUAGAGAGUCUUGUUGAUAUAGCAAAUUCAAUUUUAUAGACUGGCAAUAAGUACCAUAGUUAGUAGCAUCUUUAAAUUUUGCUGUUAGAAUCAUCAUUAUAUAGGUAACAUACUAUUUCUCGAGUCCAGUGGACCAUUUGUCCUUGUAUAAAAUGAAAUCCUAACUUUUAUUUCUAUGAUAUACAUUUUGACAGGGACGUUUUCUAUCCUCACUGACCUCUCAAUCACCUGCAAUAAAUGUUGUCUCUCGAAGGUUGGACCUGCUAUUUAUUUGCGUAUUGUCAGACGUAUUUGUUUGUUGGUAAACUGUAUAUAAAUUUUUUUUUUAUCUCCUUGGAUAAUUUCAGCAAUAUUCAUGGGCUUGUUGCUUGUGGUGGCGAGGAUGGUGCUGUUGAGUGCUUUGAUAUGAGAAAGAAAUCUUCUGUUGGUAGAAUCAGUACUGCUGCUUCUCCUGAUGACAUAGGCCAGGUAAGUGUUUUGCUUUUUUUGUCUUAGUAAUUUUCUCCCCCUUUUCUUUCAUACAGAGGAUUUUGAUUAAAAUAUUUUUGGUGUCCCCAGGAGGUAACAGCUCUGCAGUUUGAUGAAUCUCAAGGCUACCUCAUGGCUGCUGGGAGCAGUACUGGAAAGGUAUGGUUUUUACAUCAUUAUUAUUAUUUUGUUAAUUUUGGCUUCUAGUGUUUGAGAAGUUUUUCUGAAGUGACAUGCCAUAAUCUUCACAUGCUGUCAUUCCAUUAAGAUGUAAAUUGCCUUCUCCAUUGGCAUGUAUGUGUUCUUGUUUGUAUUGUACUUCUGAAAGUCUGCUUCUAUUUUCAGAUUUAUUACUGUAUGUGAAGAAGAAUACCUCGCUGGCACUAUAAAUAAGCAAUAGUAAUUCCUAUACAAAUAAAUAUGUUAAACAAAAUGUCACAUGUAGUAUAUACAUUCUAUCCAAAUUCUGUUGCAUAAUUUUAACGAAGCAAUUUUUGUUGGAAGCUAAUUGCAUAGCAAAUGAACAUGGAAUGCCUUCUCUUGUAAUAUCAAAUUUUGCUUUCAGUACCAAAGGCUUUCUGAAAUUGCAUUAUUAAUUAUCCUCAUAAUCAACAUGAAGGAAUGCUCUAAUCAUUCUCUCUUAGUGUGUGUGUAUAUAUGGACUGGAGCUAGAAUACUAUUAAUAGUAUAAGAAUAGUAUUUACUAUUCACUUUUUACACCCUUGGAUGCUUAGGGUUUGGUGGGGGUUGAUGGAAUACUAAUAAUCCAAGGGUGGAAAGGCGGAUAAUAACCACUAUUCAUAUAACUAUUAAUAGUAUCCUUGUUCAACUCUCUCUCUCUCUCUCUCUCUCUCUCUCUCUCUCUCUAUAUAUAUAUAUAUAUAUAUAUAUUUUUUUUUUUUUUAAGUUUAUAAAAGAGCUUCACAUGUGCAACUAUGUUGGGCUAGGAUGAUAUGCUCAUUCUGCAGAUACUUAGAAGUUAUAUCUUGUUAGAAUAGAUGAGACAAAUGGGAGUCCUUUUUUUGUCUAAUUGCGGAAGCAGACUUGCAAAGGCCAUAUGAGCUUAUUUGAAAACAUUUUUUUACAGCAGCCCAAGGGGCAGGAGGGCUUCGAAGUAUUGAAGUUCCACACCUCUCUUUUAUGAAUAAUACUUAACAAGACCAUUAUGUGUUCCUUUGUUUCUUUCUCUUUCCUCUGUACAACAUAAGAUAAUGCAGUGAAUACUGAGCUAAUAAUGUGAAUAGUGAGAACUUAAGGAAACACUUAUUUUCAUUAGCUUUUCAUGCCUAUAUGUUUCUGAAAAUAUGAAGUUGUUGGAAUGAUCCUACAGUGAAUAUUGAAUUAACAUCAAUAAUCAUCAAAAAGUGGUGUGAUUUAUUCAGUAAAAUCUGUUGCCAAAAACUUAGUAGCUUUGUUUCUUAGUACUUCAAUCUAUGUAGAGCAAGAUACUAAACACCAGGCCCCCAAAAUUUUUUUAAAAAAGAAGCGAAACUUCUCUAAAAUUGCAUAAAAGUCAACUCAUGGAGUUGAGCUCUAAUGAGCAAAACCAACUGCUUUCCAUGGUUUUAGGCCUGUCCUAAUCAAUGUUUUAAAUAGCAACCGCUUGUGACACCCCAAUAGUCCCACAUCGGAUGGGAAUGGGAUUGUCAUUCUCUUUAUAAGAGACUUAGACACUGGUAAUAAUAACUGGGCUUAAGCAUUUUGGGCCGGUGGUUGGGCCCAACGAGUUAUUAUUGCUAGCGGGCUGGGUCGUUACAUUUGUCAUGCCCCGGGGUCUCUUUUAGGCUAAAACACAGUGGAAAUUUUUUUUUUUCUUUUUGAAAACCUGACCUCAGGGUAUGCCAGAUCCGCCACAAAUACAGGAAAUCCACUGUUCACACGGACAGAGUCUCCCCUGUAUUUGCAUGGCGUCGCAUAAGUACAAGACGUAUAACCAGGAUACAACUACUACAAAUGAAUAUACAACAUUCAACCAUUUAUACAUUCAUACACCAUUCACCACAGAUUUACUUUCAGGGUUUAAUCAUAAAACCACAGCUAUCAGUUAAAACGUUUCCUACUCGGAAACAGGUUUUGAAAUACUAAGUUACAAAAACCACGAGAAAAUCUUUUAAAACUGUUUCCCACACGGAAACUCUUUUUUUUUUAAACACGCUACUACGAGGGGUAGAAAACCGUUUUUAUCUCAAAGAAAACCGUAAGUUCUUUAAUUCAUUUACUAAAAUCACAUUUAUUCAAUUGAACAAAAACCAACUGAACUAAUAUAUCUAAGAUAUAACAACAGAAAUAAAAAGAGUAGCAACUAAAUUAAACCAACCGGGUCGGAAGCUCUAUUGACCGCUGCGAACGUGUCUCACGUCUCGUCUCAACCCUCACCGUCCGCAAUACCUGAAAAAUGGUGGGGGAGGUGAGAACAUGUAAAUAUGUCUCCCCUCCCAGCGGGUACCGCAAGCCGACGAAGGCAAGGAGUACUCACCGAAUCAGGAAGAGAUAAACAAUAGUAUGGGUAAGUGAAAUACAGUAGCAAUGAUAAUAAACGAAUGAGAUAUAUAUAUAUAUAUAUAUAUAUAUAUAUAUAUAUAUAUAUAUAUAUAUAAAAGCACAACAACCGCUACUGUAAGGAAGAACUGAAUGCAUACAUGGAUAUUAACUAUAGUAGCAAGACAACUGUAAAGAAAGAACUGUAAGUAUGCAAGCAACAACCGCUAUUAUAGUCAUAUGCGUCAACCAGACGACAAGUCCAAAAAUACCCAAUCUGAAAACUACCCUAUUGGUCUGCAGACCUCAGGCCCAUGCCCACUGCCACUCUACCUGUAUAUAAUCCAGUUCUGACCGCUUGGCACCCAGUCCUGACCGCUGGGCUCAUAGGCUGCAUAUAAUCUAGUCUUGACCGCUGGGCUCACAGGUUGGCACAUCUAACCACUUUUCCGGAAAAGAACACCCUCUUGUGGUGGAUCAGACCGUUGGCGAUCGUGAAAUGCGAACGAGUCUCGGGCUAUCAAUGCUGAUAUGCUCAAUGGCCAACCGUCGGCAACCAGCCGACAAUCACUGCCCCUCGGGGCUAACCGACCAAUAGGUCAUCAAACUGUAAUGAAGCACAAGAAUAGACCACUCAGGUCAACUAGGAUGGAACAACUUGACAUCCUCUCAAAUGUAUGCAAGUACUGCUCAAUGUCAACUAAUAGUAUACUCAAGUACCGACCAAUAGGUCACACGAAUGUGACAUCAUGUAUCACUGAAAUCCAGAACUACCGUUAGCCACUAGCCGACAAUCCAACCCCUUAGGGUACACCGACCUCAACGGUCAUCGACGACAGAAGUCAAGGAGCCGACCGAAUAGGUCACAGAUACGAGAUACAACGAUCGACCAAUCAGGUCACGAAACAGAUGCAAUGCACUGACCGACUAGGUCACAGAUAGUCACGAAACCGCUCUACUGUAAACAUGAUAAAGGAUAUGUAAAACAGCUAAGUAGAGCAACAAGGAACAUGGUAUAGGUGCUAGGCUCAACAUAUAGUAUAAGCAUGUAUAACAACCAGGGAGUAAGGGUAAGAAACCAUCACCGAGCGUGCACCACUGUACCGACUUCGGAUCGAAGUACCUAUCUGUACAAAUGUCGCAUCUGUCUUCUGAUUGCGGAAGAAAGUAACCUGGACCUACGAAGGGUCCACCGUGUUAGUGUCUAACCCAUAACUAAUAACCACUGAAUCCACAACCCCAAAAACAAUCCCACGGAGAUCGGUUUCCUAAAAUCGAUUACUGUAACUCGCCGGAUGUCCCGAAAAUCGCAUCGGGACUCCGUCGGGACCGACAAACUGUCCCGGAACGCACCGACUCAUGCUACGAGUCACCCGCUGACACUAAACACCAUUAAUCAUGGGAUUUGGCGGCAAACACAAGGAUACAUAACCAAACAACUAUCGUCGGAUAAUUGUUCGGAUCCGGGUUCCCGGAAGUGUCAAUUUCGACACCGGAACCCACCGUCGCUCACCCGUCAUUUCCGAACUCUCGAGAUGACGCGGGUGACCAGCCAACAAGACUCAGCGACGCAACAAUUGCUAACAAGGCACUGUCGGCAGAAUUCCGAACAAAAACCGCAUUUCUUCGGUGGAUUUUGCCGACAAACGCACCGGAAAUGCAUUUCCGAUUUCUGCAAAGGUCUGGGGCCUUGGACAAUCAGUCCAGAGGUUACCCACUACUCACACGUGCUGCCAACAACAGCCGCGACAGACCAAAAAGCAUAAAAGCCUUUACUGAUAGAUGAAAUCACAUCAUUUUAUGUGAUUUCAGGGCUUUUAUGGUCCGUACACACAAACCAGGGAUCGAUUAGUCACAUCGUCGCACUCGCUGAUAGGUUUCAGCGUGCCGGAGGCCGUGCUCACCUUUCGGAGCACUGCCGGCCACUGUGACACACGCACGAGCGACGCGAAAACCUGUGAAACAGUGCGCACAUCGCUAAGGUUGCAAUUAAUGCACAAUCCAGGGCAUCUCUGUCCCUGUCGGAGGUGAGCACGAUGUUCAGCACGAGCUUUAGAUCAUCGUGCUCACUUCCCGAAGUCUAUAAGGCUUAUCGGAUCACCGGAAAGGUGACCGGAACCUCGGAAUUCAGUGCUGGAACAAAAAAACAGCCUUACCGGAGCCGGGUGGGCUAGGGUUGGUCGCCGACGGCCGGACGGCGGGCGGUCCGGCCAGGGGAGGGUGCGGACGGUCGGUGGGGUCCGGGGUACCCGCUGGCCCGCAGCUGGAGGUGGCCGGUGGCGUGGCGGCGGAGAUCAACUCCCCAAGGUUGCUCACGGGUUCAAGGGCGCCGGCAGCAAGGCGGCGGUCGGAGGAGCUCGAGGCGGCGACGGUUCGACGCCGGAGGCCGAGGGAGAGGCGGUGCACCCUUCGGUGGGCGGCGGCGGCGGCGCUUGGAAGUCGAGCGGACUCGACCUCGGCCCGCACGAGUCUGGGCGGCCGCAGGAGGUCCCAGCGGCGGCCGGCGGCGUGCGGGGACGGCUGGGGGUGCGCGCACGGGGUUGCCGGAGGUCGCNCGGGGGGGGUCCGGGGAUGGUGCUGGCCGGCGGCGGGUGGCACCCGGUGGCGCGGCGGUGGAGAUCCAACCCGCCUAGUUCCUCUCGGGUUCAAGGGCACCGGCGGCAAGGCGGCGACUGGAGGAGCUCGGGGUGGCGACGGUUCGACGCCGGAGGCCGAGGGAGAGGUAGUGCACUCGUCGGUGGGCGGCGGCGACGCUUGGAAGCCGAGGAGACUCGGCUUCGGCCCGCCCCAAAACUGGGCGGCUGCAGGGAAGCCGAGCGGCGGCCGGCGGCAUGCGGGGACGGCUGGGGGUGUGCGCACGGGGUUGCCGGAGGUCGCCGGGACCGACUGGAGGGCGGCGUGGCUGAAGGGGAGCGGUGGCCGCACGCGAAACCCGAGCUCGAGCCUGCUCGGUCUGGGCCGACCCGAGCUGGCCGCAGCUCACUUAGUUGGCUUUGGCGGAGCGCGCGCUGACGGCGGCAUCGUCCGGCGACGGUGCCGGAGGUUGGUCUCGGCCAGGGGAUGAUGGCGCUUGGACUUAGAUGACCGGUGGCCGGGGGCGCUCGCCGGCGGCCAGGGCAUGCGCACUGCACGGGCAGGGGGAAGCUAAGGGCGGCUGGUGGGCUAGGGUUAGCUGAGGUGACCUCGGGUUAGGGUUUUAGCUUGGAACCCUAGAUCAUGUAAUAUAUACAUGAUGCAAUCUUGCAUAAAACCCCCCUAGUCCAAUAGUUUUCGACCAAGCCCCCUGCCAGCAUGUGCACUUUGCGUAAAAGUCCCUUGACGUUCGAAUUUGCGCGAAACGUCGCAUAAAAUAUAGGGUCUUUUCGCGAUUAAUCAAUUUUGCCAAAUUGACCUCUCAGCGAUCAUUUCGCAAUUCCCGAAGAUCCGUCUGUCAGAUUUUCGAACGGAUUGCGCCAGCGCGUUCAGAACGACUGGGGCAUUGAAUCUAGCAUCUUGUUUCAUCUGAUUUGGUCUCCGAUUCACGACGAAAUCAACCCUCUUUGAUUCCACUAUAAGCCACAUAUAAAAACCAUAUAUAUAAAUCCAACCUCUUUCUCUCGAUAGCCGUGCCUCAGAUCUGAAAUCCGUCAGUGCCAUUAUUUCCAGAAUAGCUGAACCAUUCAAAACGAGCUAUUGGAUCGCUAUGAACGAAGUCCGAUACGCGCCGAAAGCCAACUCUACUUCGUGGCCUCUCCGGAAAACCGGAGUUACUAUUCACUUAAGUGAAUACUAAUGAUCGCGUAACUUCUCCGUUCUAACUCGUUUUCUCCUGAAACUUGAUGAGUGCUUAUGUAAUUAAAUUACACACAAAAACAUCAUCAACAGAGAGUUCAGCUACACUGCCAAAAUCUCUGUCCUUACACCGCUAUAGCAGAAUUACUAUGCUAUUGCUACGCUAUAACAUUUAGAACGAGAUUUAGCAGAGUGGAGUUGUUGCAGCUGCUUUAGCGGCGUUGGACCUGCUAAAGCAGAUGCUAUAAAGCGGGUCGAAUCGAAGUGGGUUCUAUGUGCCCAAAAGCGUGGAAAUUGCAAAUGGGUCAAACUGUCUUAUCGUGUCGGGUUUUGAAGUUAAAUAAAAUGAUCAAACACAGUAAAUUGGUUAAAGAUUUUAGAGUUUUUUUGUUUUUUUUUGGUUUGCUAAAUCAUAAUAUUUUGAAAAAAGAUAA
RNAcentral lists this long non-coding RNA (128972 nucleotides) under Ananas comosus (pineapple). RNAcentral describes it as "long non-coding RNA (ACOM_LNC031663)". The record is from RNAcentral. Lineage: Eukaryota; Viridiplantae; Streptophyta; Magnoliopsida; Poales; Bromeliaceae.